Molecule: long non-coding RNA, 118952 nt
Filed under: Triticum aestivum (bread wheat)
Lineage: Eukaryota; Viridiplantae; Streptophyta; Magnoliopsida; Poales; Poaceae
Description: long non-coding RNA (TAES_LNC022841)
Rfam family: MIR1120/MIR1122 microRNA precursor family (bases 55758-55892)
Source: RNAcentral
GUGGAAACUUCCAGGGCACACCAAUCGGUGUGUCUAUGGACAACACCAGGCUUGCCAUUGCUGCGAUUGGCAAGCUCAUGUUUGCCCAAUUCUCAGAGUUGGUGAACGACUUCUACAACAACGGUCUUCCUUCCAACCUCUCUGGUGGGCGCAACCCGAGCUUGGACUAUGGCUUCAAGGGUGCCGAGAUUGCCAUGGCCUCGUACUGCUCCGAGCUCCAGUUCUUGGGCAACCCUGUGACCAACCAUGUCCAGAGCGCAGAGCAGCACAACCAAGAUGUCAACUCUCUUGGCCUCAUCUCCUCAAGGAAGACUGCCGAGGCCAUUGACAUACUGAAGCUCAUGUCCUCGACAUUCUUGGUCGCGUUGUGCCAGGCUAUCGACCUCCGCCACCUUGAGGAGAAUGUCAAGAAUGCCGUGAAGAGUUGUGUGAAGACUGUGGCUAGGAAGACACUGAGCACCAACAACAAUGGUCAUCUCCACAAUGCGCGCUUCUGUGAGAAGGACUUGUUGCUCACAAUCGACCGUGAGGCGGUGUUCGCUUACGCGGAUGACCCCUGCAGCGCCAACUACCCACUGAUGCAGAAGAUGCGUGCAGUUCUCGUGGAGCAUGCCUUGGCCAAUGGUGAGGCUGAGCGCGAUGCGGAGACAUCAGUGUUUGCUAAACUUGCCAUAUUUGAACAGGAGCUCCGUGCAGUGCUUCCAAAGGAGGUCGAGGCUGCCCGAAGUGCCGUGGAGAACGGUACUGCUACACAACAAAACCGUAUCACCGAAUGUCGAUCAUACCCUCUCUACCGAUUCGUGCGCAAGGAGCUUGGAACUGAGUAUUUGACCGGGGAGAAGACUAGGUCUCCCGGUGAAGAGGUGGACAAGGUGUUCGUUGCUAUGAACCAGGGCAAGCACAUUGAUGCACUACUUGAGUGUCUCAAGGGGUGGAACGGUGAGCCCCUACCUAUCUGCUGAGGAUCAAGAACUUGAAGAGAAGAUAGAGUGCUUCAAAGUUCAGAAGGCUUCAGAUAUUCUUAGCUGAUAAGUGAUAAUACUGUUUUUUCAUUGGAUUUUCUUAGAAGCCGAUGUUUUGUAAUGUUAUUACAAAGCUACUAGGUUGUUGCCAAAAAUUGCAAUUGCAUGCUUUGGUAGCGAUAGGUAGCCAAUAGAACUACUGUCAUGUAAGUUAAAAAGGGUACAAUAUGUGAUAAAUAUUCAUGAUAAAUUUACUUGUCCCUUUUUUGAGAUCAAUGGUCUAGUGGUCUUGAGACAACUUGGAACAAUGCAAAGAAUCUAUUGUGCUUUCUUAAUUGCAAAUAAUCUAUUGUUGGCAUGUUAUAUGGUGUGUGGAAACGAUGCAUCAACAUAGACCGCGGACAAGAAAGUUAAAUUAGUUCCCAGAUAAUCACUAGUCAGUUAUAUCUCUAUAGUGGCUGUUCCAUCAACACGAUGUGAUGGCUUCUCUUCUUAGUCUUGUAUCCACGUGUUGCUAUUUACCAAUUUGAGUCUACGAUGUUAUCCGAUUUCACUUGGCGAUACAAACAUAUUUUAGAUAAAUAAAGAUUUUAUUUCUUGUCGGCAGCAAAACCCAAAUACUACCUCUAUAAAUAAAUCCAAGACGUUUUAGAGACUUGACACAUUUUAUGAUCAAUCACCAGCUUUCUCCAAUUCUCUACUUUUGAAUAAUAACUUGCCUUUUCCUUUUAAGUUUCAUUUUUUAUCCUAGAAUUUCACUAGUUCCCAGUUCCCACUUUGAUAUUGAAAAAUAUAUACUCUAACAUCUUCAUGUUUUUUCUCCUCAUUUUUUAGUUUUUUACUUUAAUACUCUAUAUAUUUUCAUCGUAUUUCCAUGAGUUGUGUUAUUUAGCUGAAGUUAGAGACCACAUAACAGUAUGUCUAUACUUCUAAAACAGAAAGAUCAAAAUUGUCUGGUGUUAGAGCAUCUACAGCUGAGCAUCCCAAACGCUCCUCAAACGCCCGGGCUGCCCGGUGACGAAAUUUCGACCCAGCCGGGCGCCUCAAACGGGCCUCAAACGCCUGGGCUGACCGACACCCUUCAUAUCCAGCCCAAAUAUGGGGCGAAUAUGGGGGCGACCGGGCGUGCUCGGACGUGUCCGCCAACCCCGCUGCAGGUCGUAGGGGUCCCACCUGCAGCGACUGAAAUUCCGUCCUCUCUCAUCGGGGAACCAAAAUUUUAGUCCCACAUUGUCGGGCGAGGCGGAGGCCGACCGACUUAAAUAGUCACGCCGGCGCACGCCGGCAAGCUUCUCUGUUGUUGUGUAGGUCUAUCAAUUAUCGUUGCCUGAGCGCGAUAACUUGACAUUAGACUGCAUUUCAUUAGUAGAUGAUUGUUCGUCGAGUAUCAAGUUCAUCUCAUUCAUGCACGUCCAUACCCCUACUACAAUAACAAUACAUUUUUUAUUUUGUUCAUCGACUUUUUGUUGACAAAUUAUGAUUCAUAAAAAGCAGUACGAACAUGAUCGUUUCCCUAGUAAAGGAGAUACACCCUAACUAUGAAUCUUCUAUGUGAUACAUAAAAUAUUUAUAGUGAUAGUCUAUCUUCUUUACAAAGGAUCCAAUAAUGUGAGGAGCUUAUCGCUUCUGCACGACCCGGCUAUUCAAGCCGGUCGACUAGCUCAUCAUGCGGCGACGUGGACUAAUAUGGGUGUGAAAAUCUUAACUAUGAGCAAUUAUCGGUGUGUAUUGACAGCCCAGCCGGCCUAAGACGGACGAGAUGAUCAUCGUGCAUGGCGCUGCAUGUAAUAGUUGUUUCAGAAAUAGGGUAUAUGGUUGCAAAUGGUCAAUUUUGAGGCUUGCCCGGUGACUGUUCGCGGGCGCGUCCAGGCGCAUCUGAGGACGUUUGAGGGGUCAGAUUUUCAACUUGCAGCUGUAGAUGCUCUUAUAGCUUAGAAACCACAACCUGCAAAAAAAUAACAACUUAGAAACCAUUAAUAAACUCAAAUUUCAAUAGUAAUAACAGGGUCAAAAAUGCAUCUUUGAAAAAAUGGAGAUAGGAGGAGAAGACAGAAGCACCGACGUUAGCAAUCCUACGGCCGCCAUUAGUUGCAGCUGAAAGAUAGAGGAUGUCGCCUAGAGGGGGGGGUGAAUAGGCGUUCUAAAAUAAUUACGGUAGAAGCUUGAACAAAUACGAAAUAAACCUAACGGUUAAUUUGUCAAGCACAAAACCUACAACAACUAGGCUCACCUAUGUGCACCAACAACUUAUGCUAAGCAAGAUAAGCAACUAUGUGAUAGCAAGAUAUAUGACAAAGAACAAUAUGGCUAUCACAGAGUAAUGUGCAUAAGUAAAAGGGCUCGGGUCAGAGAUAACCGAGGCACUCGGAGACGACGAUGUAUCCCGAAGUUCACACCCUUGCGGAUGCUAAUCUCCGUUUGGAGCGGUGUGGAGGCACAAUGCUCCCCAAGAAGCCACUAGGGCCACCGUAAUCUCCUCACGUCCUCGCACAAUGCAAGAUGCCAUGAUUCCACUAAGGGACCCUUGAGGGCGGUCACCGAACCGUACAAACGGCGACCCUUGGGGGCGGUCACCGAACCCGUACACUUUGGCAACCCUUGGAGGCAGUCACCGGUACCCGUCAAAUUGCUCGGGGCAAUCUCCACAACCUAAUUGGAGACCCCGACGCUUGCCCGGAGCUUUACACCAUAAUGAUUGAGCUCCGAACACCACCAACCGUCUAGGGAGCCCAAGCACCCAAGAGGAACAAGCUCAAGGGUACGAAGCCCCCAAGAGUAAUAAGCUUCUCAACUUGAAACUUCCACGUAUCACCGUGGAGAACUCAACCCGAUGCACAAAUGCAAUGGCAAGGGCACAUGGAGUGCCCAAGUCCUUCUCUCUCAAAUCCCACCAAAGCAACUAAUGCUAGGGAGGAAAGUGAGAGGAAGAACAAGAAGGAGAACACAAAGAUCUCCAAGAUCUAGAUCCAAGGGGUUCCCCUCACAUAGAGGAGAAAGUGAUUGGUGGAAGUGUGGAUCUAGAUAUCCUCUCUCUUUUCCCUCAAAAACUAGCAAGAAUCCAUGGAGGGAUUGAGAGUUAGCAAGCUCAAAGAAGGUCAACAAUGGGGGCAAAACGAGCUCAAGAGAUGGGGAACCAUUGGGGAAGAAGACCCCCCUAAAUAGGUCCCCACGAAUCUGCCCGUUAUGUGCAGAAAGACAUAGGAGCGGUACAACCGCUAUGAGCACCGGUACAAUCGGUAACAGGCAAUAAGCGGAACAACCGGCCCACAACCGCCCAACAACCGCACCACAACAGAAGCUAGUCCGGUGGUAGAGCGGUACAUGGCCGGUACAACCUCUGGACCAAUUUUGGAGCGGUAUAACCACUCCAAACACCGGUUGUACCGGUCAACCGGUACAACCUCUCUAUGGGGCGGUACAACCUCUUUAUGUAAAACAGGCAAUAUCAAAACAGCCACAACAUUCGCAUACGAGCUCCGAAUUUGAUGAAACCAAGUUUGUUGGAAAGCUAGCAACAAGGGCUAACAAAAUCUUGAAAUAAAUAUCAAUAAGAAGCAAAUUAGAAAAGGCCCAUAAGAAAAAGGUGAGAAUCCUUCCUCGGAUAAUACCGGUAAAACCUCCAACACCGAAAACAUCAUAGAAGACGCAUGCGAACUCCGUUUUUGAUGAACUCAAGCUUGUCAUCAAGAUGACCAUAAGCUCUAAGACUCACAAAGAGAAACAAACAAGAACCAAGAAACAUGAUGCAAGGAUGCAAUGGUUUGAGAUCUCUACUAACGAUACGAUCAAGCUACCAACUUGAGAGCCCCCUUGAUAGUACGACAAACAAUCCUAUAACCCGGUCUCCCAACUACCACCACGAGACCGGUAAAAGAGAAAACCUAUCAAGGGCAAACCUUUGCCUUGCACAUGGUCCACUUGAGCUAGAUGAUGACGAUCUUGACUCCCUCAAGUUGGACCACCUUUCUUGAUUGCAUUGGCUCAAUGAAGACUAGAUGAUUGCUCCCCCAUAGUCCACUAUGGGUGAGCCUCUCUUCGGCACAUCUUCACAAGACCAUUGACACCACAAAGGAUGGAAAGAUUCAAGCACUUGAUCUCUUCGUGAUGCUCCACUUGAACUUGCACACGGCAACCAUGAUGACGAUCACCACUUGAUGUCAUCAUUUCCAUGGGUUGUAUGAUAUCUUCCUCUUGACGCAAGCCCAUGGACACGUACCUAACCCCACAUAGAACUCUCACAUAGACCAUGGGUUAGUACACAAAGUGCAAUGGACAAUGCUCACCAUACCAUGGGAUCACUUGAUCCCUCUCGGUACAUCUUCUACGCUUUGUGAGUUGAUCAACUUGAUUCACUCUUGACUUAGUCUUGAUCAACCUUGAAUCUUUCCAACUCUCUUCAUUUGGAUGAUGUCUUGAAGGUAAACAUGAAUGAUCACACAAUCUUCUUCUUCAAGACAUGCUUGCAAUAAGCUCAACACUCACAUGACCAAUCUUUGGAUAAUUACUUAAUAGCACCUUGGUCAACUCAUAAACUCCUUGAAACCAACACAUGGACUUCAAGAAAAGCCUAUGGACAAAACCUUCAAAUAUAACUCAAGGCAACCAUUAGUUCAUAGAGAUUGUCAUCAAUUACCAAAACCAAACAUGGGGGCAUCACAUGUUCUUUCAAUCUCCCCCAUUUUGGUAUUUGAUGAAAAUCACUUUCAAGAGAGUUUAUAUAAGGAAUUAUGCAUCACCAUGCAAUGCAACAACCAAUAGUGCAUGCGAAUGAGAUGCAAAUGCUAAGGAACAAAACCAAAGCAAGAGGAGACAACUCUCUAAACUUCUCCAGAAAACUCUCUGAAACUUCUCCCCCAUUGGCAUCGAUUGCCAAAAUGGGCUAAAAGCUUAGAAGGCCAAUAUAAAAUGUGUUCCUCCAUAAAUUGUGUAUUUAUCAACAAGAGAGUGGAAUGCAAUACACAUAUCCAAUGGUAAAUACUUGGAGGAAGACAAACUAUAUUUAGGCCCAAAGAUUGUAAAAGGAAGAUAUGCCACAAAGACAUAAUCAAAGAGAGAAACAAGCAAUCAAGCAACCAAAAGAUACCAAUUGAAGCAAGCUAUCAAAAGAUACCAAUUGAACCAACUAGGCCAAUGAUCCUACGAGCCACAUGAAUAAAGGAUAUUAUGAUAAGAGCAGAGCAGUGUUCUAAAGAAACUAGAGAAGCUCCCCAUGAUUUGUGCACAUCAAGAAUUUUUGUAUUUGGAUACAAAGUGCACAAAAUAGGAUCGUAGCUCCCCCAAGAUCAAUAGAACAUCACGACAAGUGCAAGAGAGCAACGGAGUGUUCUAAAGACACUAGUGAAGCUCCCCGUGAUCUGUGCACUCCUUAGAAUAUUUGCAUUAGGAUACCAAGUGCACAAAAUAGGAUCAUCACUCCCCGAAAAUCAAUAGAAACUCACAACAAGUGCAAGUGAGCAUGUAGGAAACAAAGUCUUGCAGCAAACAAAUGGUUGAGCAACAUAUAAAAGAGGCAACUUAAGAGUAGGCUCAACCAAAAUGAUGUGUGUGAGUCAUGGCAAAGCACUUGAGAAGACUAAUGUAAGGGUGAGCAUUAAGCAUCAACAUAGUCUUGAAAAGUGGAGAUACAAGGUGCAUGACAUGUCCUUCCCACACACACCAGGCAAAAGUGAUCACAAGCACACUAAAUAUGCAAAAAGAAUAACCAACACUUGUGAUAACCCAUUGUGAAGAUAGAAAGUGAAAGCCUCAUCAAGACGAGGGAUACCAAUUAAAAAACCUCAUCAAGACAAGCAUGAAGAAAAUGAUCUUCACCACACAAGAGUGCAACAAGAUGUAACGAGAUAAGACCCGCACUCAAGGCACACACUUACACGGAGCCACCAAAGAAAUAACAUGAGAAAGAAAUGAUGGACGUGAAAGAAAGGGAUAUCAACUAGAGAUGUACCUUCUCUCAAGUGUAUAAGAUUCUAGGUAGAUGAAAAUCAAGAUGAUAUCAAUCCACAAAGAAGGAUAUACACAUGAAAUAGUUACAAAAAGGAAAGAACAAGAUAUCCACAAGGAAGUCAUAAAUAUACCAAUAAGAAAUUUGCUUGAGAGCAUAGCACAUGGCUAGAUAUGGUCUUAUUGUAUAUAAAUGAAUUCCAACCACACGAACAUCAAAGACAUCACAACUAGCAACAAGAGAUCAUUGUUGGGAUGCUUUGAGAAAGGAAACAAGUAUCACAAGAAAGAAUGAAUAACAUGCCAUGAUACAACCUACACAAGGUUGAUGCAAGAAAUGUGUGCAUGAAGUAGAUGAUGAUACUUGUUACCGAGAUACCAUUGGAAGGAUAUAGUAGAUACCAAUUGAAGGUAGAUAGUAGUUCAUUGAUGAUCCUAGCUUGACUAUAGUAAGCACAUGGUGACAACACCUUCCUUGUGAGUGAGACGAGCAUCCAAUGCAUCUCCAAUUGUUCCUAGAACAAAAACACAAACAAAAUGGUACCAAAACUCAUUGGGACCAAAGAGUUAGAAACACCAAUACAUAGGACAAACUCCACAUAAAUAUGUGCACAUAGAUAGGAAAUAGAAUUUCAUGCACAUCUCAUCCAAUUUGAGACUUGGUGGAGUUUCCCUUAUAUAAUGGGUCAAAGAAAGAAAGCAUGCCAAAGAAAAUACAUGAAGGAUAUAUGCAUGCUCAAGACUUUCAAGGACCGAAACCAAAUAAAAAGAAAUACCAAGUGAAAAAAAGAUACCAAAUGAAUAAAUCAUCACUUGGAGGAUGUCCAUAAAAGAUACAUCAAGGAAUGAGAUAUCCAUUGAUACACUCAAAAAGAAAGAUGUCAAACUCCCAAAAGAGAGAAUGGUUCCAAACAAACCAAGCCCUCUACAAAGUUUCAUGAUGGCACAAAGUACCAAAAAGAAACGGCUUUCCUUCCACAACCACACACUUGAUAAGGAUCACAAGAUGAGUGUUUUAUAGAGAAUAUGAUAGCUCCCCCAAGACUAGUGCAUUAUAGAGAAUUUGAAUUUGAAUACAAAAUGCACGAGGUGGGAUCACCACUUUCACUAUAUCUAGAAAACAUUAGACAAGGUCAAGAAAUUAACAAGAUCCACAAGUGGUAUGGAAUACAAUGGGAGUUGACACAAUCCUAGGCAAGAGAUAAAGCAAAUAAAAGCAAAGGCCAACGUAAAGAUGAUCAAUAAUUUCUACCACACAUAAGUGAGUACCAAUUGUCAAAAGACAAGAAGUAUUUGGGAAUAAUUCCCGGUGGUAGAUAACAAGGAUAUCUGACAUCAUCUUCACACCAAACAAAAAGCAAAUUGUAACUUCUAGAGCUAACAUGCCACCUAGGAACAAGAUAAUUUACAAUAUCAAUUUGUGAUGCCCCCGAUUCAAUCGUACACUAAUCAUGCACGCAAAUGUGUACGAUCAAGAUCAGGGACUCACGGGAAGAUAUCACAACACAACUCUAAAACAUAAAUAAGUCAUACAAGCAUCAUAAUACAAGCCAGGGGCCUCGAGGGCUCGAAUACAAGUGCUCGAUUAUAGACGAGUCAGCGGAAGCAACAAUAUCUGAGUACAGACAUAAGUUAAACAAGUUUGCCUUAAGAAGGCUAGCACAAACUGGAAUACAAAUCGAAAGAGGCGCAGGCCUCCUGCCUGGGAUCCUCCUAACUACUCCUGGUCGUCAUCAGCGGGCUGCACGUAGUAGUAGGCACCUCCAGCGUAGUAGGAGUCGUCGUCGAAGGUGGCGUCUGGCUCCUGGACUCCAGCAUCUGGUUGCGACAACCAGAAAGAAAGGAAAGGGGGAAAAAGGGGGGAGAAAGCAACCGUGAGUACUCAUCCAAAGUACUCGCAAGCAAGGAACUACACUACAUAUGCAUGGGUAUAUGUGUAAGGAGGCCAUAUCACUGGACUGAACUGCAGAAUGCCAGAAUAAGAGGGGGAUAGCUAAUCCUGUCGAAGACUACGCUUCUGGCAGCCUCCGUCUUGCAGCAUGUAGGAGAGAGUAGAUCGAAGUCCUCCAAGUAGCAUCUCCAAGUAGCAUCUCCAAGAGCAUCGCAUAGCAUAAUCCUACCCGGCGAUCCUCUCCUCGUCGCCCUGUGGAAAAGCGAUCACCGGGUUGUCUGUGGAACUUGGAAGGGUGUGUUUUACUAAGUAUCCGGUUCUAGUUGUCAUAAGGUCAAGGUACAACUCCAAGUCGUCCUGUUACCGAAGAUCACGUCUAUUCGAAUAGAUUAACUUCCCUACAGGGGUGCACCAACUUACCCAACACGCUUGAUCCCAUUUGGCCGGACACACUUUCCUGGGUCAUGCCCGGCCUCGGAAGAUCAACACGUCGCAGCCCCACUUAGGCAAAACAGAGAGGCCAGCACGCCGGUCUAAACCUAAGCGCACAGGGGUCUGGGCCCAUCGCCCAUAGCACCCCUGCACGUUGCGAGGGCGGCCGGAAGCAGACCUAGCCUAGCAGGCGUUCCAGUCCAAUCCGGCGCGCGCCGCUCCGUCGCUGACGUCUGAAGUGCUUCGGCUGAUACCACGACGUCGGGAUACCCAUAACUACUCCCACGUAGAUGGUUAGUGCGUAUAGGCUCGUAGCCGACUUAGAUCAAAUACCAAGAUCUCGUUAAGUGUGUUAAGUAUCCGUGAACGCCGAACAGGGCCAGGCCCACCUCUCACCCAGGUAGUCUCAACCUGUCCUGUCGCUCCGCCACAAAGUAACAGUCGGGGACCGUCGGGAACCCAUGCCCACCUCUACCGGGAUGGAGCCACCUGUCCUUUCAGCCCCCAUCUUCGAACAGUAUCACAGGUAAUGUAACAGUGUAAAGUAUAUUGCCCGUGAUCACCUCCCGAAGUGAUCACAACCCAGUAGUAUAGCAUGGCAGACGGACAAGAGUGUAGGGCCACUGAUGGAACACUAGCAUCCUAUACUAAGCAGUAGGAUAGCAGGUAAAGGUAACAACAGUAGUAGCAAGGACAGGCUAUGCAGCAGUAUAGGAUUAACUGAAAGCAGUAACAUGCUACACUACUCUAAUGCAAGCAGUAUAGAGAAGAUUAGGCGAUAUCUGGUGAUCAAAGGGGGGGCUUGCCUGGUUGCUCUGGCAAGAGAGAGGGGUCGUCGGUGAUGUAGUCGACCACAGGGGCAUCAGCAUCGUCACGGGGUCUACCGGAGAGAAGAGGGGGGGAGAAACAGUAAAUACAUAGCAAGCAAGUGCAUAACAGGACAACAAGCAGAGCUAGACGUGUUCUAACGCGGUAGUAGGUGAUACCGACGAAGGGGGAAAGCAUCCGGGAAAGUAUUCCCGGUGUUUCGUGUUUUCGGACAGAUGAACCGGAGGGAGGAAGUUGCGUGUUUUAUAUGUUAGGGGUGUGUGGUGGACGAACGGGCUGCGUAUCCGGAAUCGUCUCGUCGUUCUGAGCAACUUUCAUGUACAAAGUUUUUCCAUCCGAGCUACGGUUUAUUUUAUAUUAAUUUUAAAAGAUUUAAUUCAUUUUUAGGAUUUAUUUUAUUAUUUAAAUUCAACAUUAUCCAGAACAGUGCACGCUGACAUCAGCAUGACGUCAGUAGUCAACAGAGGCGUUGACUAGUCAACUGACGUGUGGGUCCCGGCUGUCAUUGACUGUUAACUAACCUAACAGAUUAAUUAACUAAACUUAGUGAUUAGGUUAACCUACCAGGAUUAAUUAAGUUAAUUAAUUCUUUAAUUAAUUAAUUAAUUAAUUUUUUAAUUAUUUACUUAUCUAUUUUUUUAUUAUUAUUAUUUUCGUUCUGGGCGUGGGCCCCGUUUGUCAUAGGCCCAUAGGGGCCUUAGCGGUUACGGGUGUGUGGGCGCGCGCCCGAGUGGGCGCAGCGGGCGUGGCCGACAGGGGCGCACCCGACUGGGGCGAGCCCAGGCGCUGGGGAUCGGGUGAGGCCAUCGGCGCGGCCGCCGGCUCCCACGGCGCCGUCCAGCAGAAGCGGCGGAGGUGUGGAACCGGAACAGGAGGCGGCACGUCGAGGCGGGCGCAGAUGGCCGGCAGGGUGGCCGCGAGCCAUGUGCAGAGGAGGCGGGGAUGGCCGGAGCGGUGCACGGAGAGGGAAGGCGAGGCCGGGGCAGAGCCAGGCGCGCGCCGGGGCACCGUUCAGGCGCAGCGCAGGGAGGAGGAGGUGAGGACGGGGUCGGUCAGCGCGUGGAGGCGCGUGGGGCUGUAACAGCUGCAGCAAGCGCAGGGGGGGGGCGAGGGGAGCACGGGCUACGGCGACGAGUGGCACGACCACAUGAGCAGAGAGGAAUGGAGGACGUGCGGUGGAGCUCACAGGGGUUCGUAGGGGACAAGGCAGCAUGCUCGGGGAGGAGGUUGAAGAUGACGGCGACGUGGCAGCGGCGGGGUGGCACCGGCGGUGUGGUGGCGGCGGAGGGCGGUGCUGCUCGAGGGGAGGUGCCGUUGCGGCGACGGCGGGGUCGAGGCAGAGGAGCUCCGGUGAGGUUGCCCCCGACAAACGGCGAUGGCGGNNNNNNNNNNNNNNNNNNNNNNNNNNNNNNNNNNNNNNNNNNNNNNNNNNNNNNNNNNNNNNNNNNNNNNNNNNNNNNNNNNNNNNNNNNNNNNNNNNNNNNNNNNNNNNNNNNNNNNNNNNNNNNNNNNNNNNNNNNNNNNNNNNNNNNNNNNNNNNNNNNNNNNNNNNNNNNNNNNNNNNNNNNNNNNNNNNNNNNNNNNNNNNNNNNNNNNNNNNNNNNNNNNNNNNNNNNNNNNNNNNNNNNNNNNNNNNNNNNNNNNNNNNNNNNNNNNNNNNNNNNNNNNNNNNNNNNNNNNNNNNNNNNNNNNNNNNNNNNNNNNNNNNNNNNNNNNNNNNNNNNNNNNNNNNNNNNNNNNNNNNNNNNNNNNNNNNNNNNNNNNNNNNNNNNNNNNNNNNNNNNNNNNNNNNNNNNNNNNNNNNNAGGGUUCGGUGCCCCCAGUCGGUAUAGGGAGUGAGGGGUGUGGGGCGGUUGGGCCGGCCCGUUCGUGCGGCGGAGGCCAGCUGGGCCACUUGGCCCAGGGGGGAGGGGUUCUGUUGUUUCCGUUUUGUUUUGUUUUCCUUUCAUUUGUUUAUUUUUUUAUUUAUUUUCCUUUCUGUUUUAUUCAAAUUAAAAUAUUUAUGUAUUUUCUAAAAAUGUGUUUACUUCACCAUAAUUAUCUAUGCAAUAUUUGACACGGUCCGAACAUUUUUAUUUUAAUGUCUGAAAACUUUUAUUAUUUACCAAACUUUGAAUUUGAUUUGGACCGGUUUUGAUCUAAUGAUAGAUUAGUAGCGGUAACCGUGGUGACGUGGCACCAUUAGCGUGGGAUCACUGUAGCUUAAUUAUCCGGGCGUCACACAAUUCUAGGUGACAAUAUCUCAAAUAUACACAUUUUCUAGGCUAGUAAUAUACACAUAUCAUAUUACUCCCCCCAUAAUGUGAUACCAAUUAAAGAUAAACAAGAGGCAAAAUAACGAUCCAACACGAGAUAAUUAAUGGACAAUAUAGAAUUUGAAUUUCUCAUGAGAAGACAUACCACAUAGCGAUUAGAUAAUCUUGAAAUAUCAAUACUAGAUGGUAUUACUCAUGUACACACAUAUAUAGGAUUGUGAGGUGCACAAAGCACAUCACUCCCCCAUAAUGGGAUAUUCCAUUAAUCUCUCACAAGAGCCAACUAAGAAAAGAACAAGAUGCAAAAAGGCUCAAUGCAUGACACACACGUACAUGAUGUGCAAACCAACACACAUACUUGAUUGCUCAAGAUAAUCAAGUUGGAAGCACAACAUAUACAGACACAUGCAAGGAACAAAACCAAACAUGCAAAGGGGUAAGUAACUAUCAAUGUAAACACUUUAAGCACGAGUUACCGCAUGGAGAAACAUUGGAUAUAAGAUAGAAACUUGAUAAUUCAAAUAACUUGGCUUGAGACAAUUAGAAUGAUGAAUUCCCCUUAAUUCUUCAUAAAGUAGACAAGUCUCCAAUGCCCUCCAACAACACCUAUUGAUCAAGUUUGAGCUUGUUGGUCCCCAACCAAGUUGGGUCCUAAGAGGUUAGUCACAAUAGGCUUGGCUACCCAAAUGGUUCUCUUCUUGACACCACUUUGAGUACCAACAACUUUGGAAAACACAUUGCCAACCUUAUCCUUCCCAAGAGAAUAGAUAUCAUCAAUAAUAAUUGGGUUGGAUAAGUUACCACUAGUGCAUGAAGAGGCGAGAUGACCUUUCUCACGACAUAAGUAGCAACGUCUACUCUUCACUUUCUUCUCACCUGAUUUCUCAACUUGAGAAGCAUUAGCUUGAGGAUUCUUGGGAAGAGGACUUUCUUCAACUUGUGGUUGAGCAUGGGAUCGAACUUGUGGCCGCUUCCCUUGUUGCUUGUCACUAAUGGCCUUCUUCUUCAAUGGGCAAGAUCUAACAUGAUGCCCUUCUACUUUGCAGUUGAAGCAAACAAUCUUGGCCGAAUUCUUGACUUGUUCUUGGCCCUUCUUUUUGUUCAUCUUGGACUUCUUCUUCUUCUUGGAGUUGAAUCCAAGUCCACCUUUGUCAUUGGGGGAUUUUUGCACACUCAAGAUAUUGUUGAGUGUGAAUUUACCUUCAUGACUCUUUUCCAAGUCUUUCUUCAAGGAAGUGACUUGGGCCUUGAGCUCUUUGAUUUCCUCUACAUGGUUAGUCUCAACACAAGUACUAGAGGAACUAUAAGCUUCAUUGUUAGAGCAACAAGGCAAGGAAAGCAAUUCAUCACAAGAUGUACCAACAUUGUGAGUAGAUGAAUUACAAGGACUAGCACAUAGCAAUAUAGCAUUUUUGACUAGAAGUAGUGCUAGUAUCCACAUGAGGCUCACUAGAUGUUACCUUAGCAAUCAUGGCCUCAUGAGCUAUCUUUAGCACAUUAUGGGAUACUAGAAGAUCAUCAUGAGAGCUUGCGAGCUUUUCAUGACUUUCUUCCAAUUCCCAUAAUUGCUAGAUAGCAACUCAAGUUGAGCCUGUAGCUCAACAUUCUCCUUCAAAAUGGAUGCUUCACAAGUAAUAGAGUUAGUAGCACAAGCAUCAUCAUUAACAACAAGAGGAGAGGACAACUUGGAAAGCUCUUUUAAAUAAGAAGCUUCAAGUUGAGCAUGAGACUCGGUGAGUUUGAUGAGCUCACCCUUAAUGACCCUUGAGCCAUUUUCGAGGUGCUCAAAAUCCUCAAGGAGUCUAGCAUGAGCAACUUCAAACUUAGCAUUUUUAGUUUCAAAAUCAUUGGCCACCACAAGAGCUCUAUCACGAGAUUCCCUUAAUCUAGAUAAUUCUGGAGCAAAAGUCUCCUCAAGAGAUUCCUUGGUGGUUUGUUCAAGUUCAAGAGCUUGAGAGAGGUCCGCAAUCUCAUUAGCGUAAUCACGCUCAUGACCUUCCAUUUUAUCAAUGGUGACCUCAUGCUCCUCAAGACGAGAUUCCAACUCAUCAAUAUAUUUCUUGCCCUCAGUAGUAAUAUACAUGAUUUCCAUGAAGUUGGAACGAGCAAUUUUAUUCUUAAGAAGAGCUUUAAAAAUCAUUUCCCCCUUAAUUUUUGAGGAGGCAACAUCAUCAUAAUCAACAUCAUCAUCACUCUUGCCAUCAUCAAUAUCAUCACAAGAUAUAUUGGGAUUCAAAGUGGGAGAUACCUUUGAAGCCUUGGCCAUAAGGCAAAAUGCAAUAGAUGAUGAUUUAGGAUCCCUUGAAGCACCAUCCAAGACCACAUCUUGUUCCAUGGAGUGUUGGGUUUCCUCUACAUUGUUAGCACAAUAACUCGAGGAAAUACAUGCAUUUUCAUCAUGGCAACAAGAUAUAGCAAGCAUAUCAUCAUAAGAUUUAGUCAAGCAAUUUCUACAUGAUAUGCAAGGACUAUCAACACAAGCAUGUGAAACAUUUGGAGUGCUCGAAGUGCUAAAGUCCAAAGAUGAAGCAUUGCAAUAAGAAAGUGAUGAAGGAUUAUCAACAAUGAGCCCACUAUCAUCAUUGCAAUGAACACCACUACUCACCAUGUCAUUACCUUGUGGCAAACCACACGUAGGUGAAGUAGAAGAAGUUGAGAACACAACACGGCCGGAGGUGGAGGAAGAACAAUCACCCCCACAAAACUUGGACACGCCAUAUUUAUCUUGAAGCUUUGUCCACAACUCAUGAGCAUCCCGGAACGACAUGAGUUGAAAUAUAACUACAUUGCUCAAAGCAUCGAAAAGCACAUUAGAAGCUUGAGCAUUGAGAUACGAGUUUUUCUCAUCCUCUAAAGAUAAUCUUAGGGGAUCCUUUGGAGGAGAAAAACCCAUAUCUACAAUUCGCUCUAAAUUUGGGUCCAUGACCCUAAAGAGGUUAAGCAUGUGAAUUACCCAAACAUCAAAAUUUGUGCCAUCGAAACUAAGAGUGUCGGAGAAUCCUAAUCCCCUAGUCGACAUCUUUACUCUCUAGGCGUUUAAGCCUAGCAAAGAGAGACGAGGCUCUGAUACCAAUUGAAAGAUCGAGGAUGUCGCCUAGAGGGGGGUGAAUAGGCGUUUUAAAAUAGUUACGGUAGAGGCUUGAACAAAUGCGGAAUAAACCUAACGGUUAAUUUGUCAAGCACAAAACCUACAACAACUAGGCUCACCUAUGUGCACCAACAACUUAUGCUAAGCAAGAUAAGCAACUAUGUGAUGGCAAGAUAUAUGACAAAGAACAAUAUGGCUAUCACAGAGUAAAGUGCAUAAGUAAAAGGGCUCGGGUCAGAGAUAACCGAGGCACUCGGAGAUGACGAUGUAUCCCGAAGUUCACACCCUUGCGGAUGCUAAUCUCCGUUUGGAGCGGUGUGGAGGCACAAUGCUCCCCAAGAAGCCACUAGGGCCACCGUAAUCUCCUCACGCCCUCGCACAAUGCAAGAUGCCAUGAUUCCACUAAGGGACCCUUGAGGGCGGUCACCGAACCCGUACAAAUGGCGACCCUUGGGGGCGGUCACCGAACCCGUACACUUUGGCAACCCUUGGGGGCAGUCACCGGUACCCGUCAAAUUGCUCGGGGCAAUCUCCACAACCUAAUUGGAGACCCCGACGCUUGCCCGGAGCUUUACACCAUAAUGAUUGAGCUCCGAACACCACCAACCGUCUAGGGAGCCCAAGCACCCAAGAGGAACAAGCUCAAGGGUACGAAGCCCCCAAGAAUAAUAAGCUUCUCAACUAGAAACUUCCACGUAUCACCGUGGAGAACUCAAACCGAUGCACAAAUGCAAUGGCAAGGGCACACGGAGUGCCCAAGUCCUUCUCUCUCAAAUCCCACCAAAGCAACUAAUGCUAGGGAGUAAAGUGAGAGGAAGAACAAGAAGGAGAACACAAAGAACUCCAAGAUCUAGAUCCAAGGGGUUCCCCUCACAUAGAGGAGAAAGUGAUUGGUGGAAGUGUGGAUCUAGAUCUCCUCUCUCUUUUCCCUCAAAAACUAGCAAGAAUCCAUGGAGGGAUUGAGAGUUAGCAAGCUCAAAGAAGGUCAACAAUGGGGGCAAAAACGAGCUCAAGAGAUGGGGAACCAUUGGGGAAGAAGACCCCCUUAAAUAGGUCCCCACGAAUCUGCCCGUUAUGUGCAGAAAGACAUAGGAGUGGUACAACCGCUAUGAGCACCGGUACAACCGGUAAUAGGCAAUAAGCGGAACAACCGGCCCACAACCGCCCAACAACCGCACCACAACAGAAGCUAGUCCGGUGGUCGAGCGGUACAUGGCCGGUACAACCUUCGGACCAAUUCUGGAGCGGUACAACCGCUCCAAACACCGGUUGUACCAGUCAACCGGUACAACCUCUCUAUGGGGUGGUACAACCUCUCUAUGUAAAACAGGCAAUAUCAAAACAGCCACUACUUACGCAUACGAUCUCCGAAUUCGAUGAAACCAAGUUUGUUGGAAAGCUAGCAACAAGGGCUAACACAAUCUUGAAAGAAAUAUCAAUAAGAAGCAAAUUAGGAAAGGCCCAUAAGAAAAAGGUGAGAACCCUUCCUCGGAUAAUAAUGGUAAAACUCCAACAUCGAAAACAUCAUAGAAGACGCAUGCAAACUCCGUUUUCGAUGAACUCAAGCUUGUCAUCAAGAUGACCAUAAGCUCUAAGACUCACAAAGAGAAACAAACAAGAACAAAGAAACAUGAUGCAAGGAUGCAAUGGUUUGAGAUCUCUACUAACGAUACGAUCAAGCUACCAACUUGAGAGCCCCCCUUGAUAGUACGGCAAACGAUCCUAUAACCCGGUCUCCCAACUACCACCACGAGACCGGUAAAAAAUAAAACCUAUCAAGGGCAAACCUUUGCCUUGAAUAUGGUCCACUUGAGCUAGAUGAUGACUAUCUUGACUCCCUCAAGUUGGACCACCUUUCUUGAUUGCGUUGGCUCGAUGAAGACUAGUUGAUUGCUCCCCCAUAGUCCACUAUGGGUGAGCCUCUCUUCGGCACAUCUUCACAAGACCAUUGACACCACAAAGGAUGGCAAGAUUCAAGCCCUUGAUCUCUUCGUGAUGCUCCACUUGAACUUGCACAUGGCAAUCAUGAUGACGAUCACAACUUGAUGUCAUCCUUUCCAUGGGUUGUAUGAUAUCUUCCUCUGGACGCAAGCCCAUGGACACGUACCUAACCCCACAUAGAACUCUCACAUAGACCAUGGGUUAGUACACAAAGUGCAAUGGACAAUGCUCACCAUACCAUGGGAUCACUUGAUCCCUCUCGGUACAUCUUCUACGCUUUGUGAGUUGAUCAACUUGAUUCACUCUUGACUUAGUCUUGAUCAACCUUGAAUCUUUCCAACUCUCUUCAUUUGGAUGAUGUCUUGAAGGUAAACAUGAAUGAUCACACAAUCUUCUUCUUCAAGGCAUGCUUGCAAUAAGCUCAACACUCACAUGACCAAUCUUUGGAUAAUUCCUUAAUAGCACCUUGGUCAACUCAUAAACUCCUUGAAACCAACACAUGGACUUCAAGAAAAGCCUAUGGACAAAACCUUCAAAUAUAACUCAAGGCAACCAUUAGUCCAUAGAGAUUGUCAUCAAUUACCAAAACCAAACAUGGGGGCAUCUCAUGUUCUUUCAGCAGCCCUAGGCCAAGUAGGUUGCAUGGUUUACCAUUGUAUCAGUUGAACUAGUCCAUUCAUCUUUCUUCACGUGUCACACUUGCACCAACUCAUCAAAAGAACGCAUGUCUAAAGAGGGUUGGGCGCCUAGCUGGGUUGAAGCUUAGAGCAUCUCCAACAGGCGCCCAACGUGCGUCGCUAAAAUCUGGUUUGCGGCGCGCCCAUCGCCAGGUUUGGCACGUUGCGCAACGCUUGCUCCAGCAGUAGCGCUAAAAUGCAGCGCGCGCGUAGCUCCAGCAGCGCACUAAAAUGUAGUGCCAGCGAGCAGCCGGCGCACACAUUUGUUUUCAUUUUGGGCACAAAUUUCACACAUCAACACAAAACACAUGACAUAUAUUGAAUCACAAACAUCAUUCCAACCAAGAUCGUGCCCAAAAGUUCAUGCCCACAAGUUCAAAUUCAUGCCCACAACAUAAUUCAACCAAGUUCAAAAUGCAAACCAAGUUAGGAUGACACAAACAAAAGGCACAAGAAUCAAGCCUCGUCUUCAUCUUCGUCUUCAUCCUCAUCUUCCUCCGAUUCAUCCUCAUCAUGUGAAGCUCGGAAGGUGUUGCCAAGAUCUUCAACAACAUCUUCAUGCGAAUGUGGCACACCGGAGCCCGGAGGUGCACCCAUGCCCCCAACGAGAGAUGCAAAACUCAUGCCACCCAUGCCACCCAUAAUACCCAUGCCGUCCAAGCCGCCCGGAGGUGCUCCAAAGCCACCCAUGCCUCCCAUGGUCUCCAUGGUAGCUCCAAAGCCACCCAUGGAACCUAUGCUGCCCAUGGUAGCUCCAAAGCCACCCAUGGCACCAAUGCCACCCAUGCCGCUAAGGCCACCGCCACCCAUUGUGCGAAUCAUGGCUCUUUUUUUGAUCAAGACUUUUUCACGGGCAAGGUUGAUGUCGGUGUCAAAACUGGCAGAUCUCGGGUAGGGGGUCCCGAACUGUGCGUCUAGGCGGAUGGUAACAGGAGAUAAGGGACAUGAUGUUUCUACCCAGGUUCGGGCCCUCUCGGUGGAGGUAAAACCCUACUCCUGCUUGAUUAAUAUUGAUGAUAUGGGUAGUACAAGAGUUGAUCUACCACGAGAUCAGAGAGGCUAAACCCUAGAAGCUAGCCUAUGGUAUGAUUGUUGUUCGUCCUACGGACUAAAACUCUCCGGUUUAUAUAGACACCAAAGAGGGCUAGGGUUACACAGAGUCGGUUACAAUGGGAGGAGAUCUUCAUAUCGUAUCGCCAAGCUUGCCUUCUAUGCCAAGGAAAGUCCCAUCCGGACACGGGAUGACGUCUUCAAUCUUGUAUCUUCAUAGUCCGAGAGUCCGGCCAAAGGUCAUAGUCCGGCCAUCCGGACACCCCCUAAUCCAGGACUCCCUCAGUAGCCCCUGAACCAGGCUUCAAUGACGACGAGUCCGGUGCGCAAAUUGUCUUCGGCAUUGCAAGGCGGGUUCCUCCUCCGAAUACUUCAUAGAAGAUGUUGAACACAAGGAUAGUGUCCGGCUCUGCAAAAUAAGUUCCACAUACCACCAUAGAGAGAAUAAUAUCUGUAUAAAUCCAAUCUAGUGACGCAUUCUGUAGCGUGACAUCAUGCCACGGCCAAGCCUUUAUUUGAAUCAUUUUACUGUUCCACCUCAGCGUGUUUAGCGAGGCGGUUUCCUUGGCACGUCUUGUCAAAGCAGAGAUCGUGUCCCCUUAUUCCGGGAUUCUCAUCAAUACGGGCGUGGGUAACCCAACUGCGCCAUUAACCGCGGCGCUUGGGAGAAAAGCGAUUUUUAUUAGGCUGGUGGGGGCUGGUAGUUUCGGUCGCCCAUAUAAGGGGAUAAGGAUCUACCCUUUCCAUUUACGCCUUCUUCCUCCUUUGCUUAUUCCUUCCUGCGCACUCGAGCUCCAAUGCCCAAGUCCGCUCUUCCCACCUCAACCUUCUCCAAUCAUGUCCGGAGCGGGAGGUAGAUGGAUGGCCUCCUCCAUUACGGAGGGGCAAAUCAAAAAGUUGAGGAAGGCCGGAUACUUGUCUGAUGACAUCGCGCACCGGCUUCCAGAUGAGGGGCAACUCAUCCCCACCCCUAGGCCCCAUGAGAGGGUUGAAUUUCUUCCCCAUUUCCUCCACAGACUGGGCUUUCCUCUUCACCCGUUCGUCUGGGGGCUCAUGUUCUACUAUGGCCUGGACUUUCACGAUCUGGCCCCGAACUUCAUCCUCAACAUCUCGGUGUUCAUCGUCGUGUGCGAGGCCUUCCUCCUCAUCCAGCCCCAUUUUGGCCUAUGGCUGAAGAUCUUCAGCGUCAAGCCGAAGGUCGUGAGCGGCCGCCAAGCGGAGUGCGGAGGCGCCAUGGUGGGCAAGAUAGCUAACGUUACAUGGCUCGAGGGCACCUUCGUAGAGACCAUCAAAGGGUGGCAAUCGGGGUGGUUCUAUAUCACCGAGCCGCGUGACCCUGAAUGGGCGGCGGCCCCUGAAUUCUGAUCUGGCAUCCCGACACGGCUCACAUCUUGGAAAGAGACAGACCUGUUGUGGGGUAAUUCGGUAGAAGUGACCGGACUUCAAACCUGCAUCAAGGACAUGAUCGGCAGGAAGGUCAAACUUGUCACCGUAGUCUAGGUCAUGCUCUUCCGCCGGAUUCUCCCGUGUCAACGACGGCCUUUCAACUUGUGGGAGUUCGACCCGGCCCGGCACCAGACUCUAUCCCGGCUCUUCGACACAAAGCACGAGGAUGCCUGGAAGGUGCUAUUCAAGAGCUCCGAGGUCUCCCCUCCCAUCACUGAGGAUCGCGGAUUCUGCGCCAAGCGCCAAGCCAGCGCGGUGAGCUUAAUUUUCCCACUACGGGGUACGUGUUUUACAUAGUUUGACUCUAUGCGGGAUCUAAACUCCCUUACCUUUGACAGGACUGGCUGGACAAGUCCGGGCAGAUCAAUUGUCCGGCCCCUUUGCCCGAAGACCCAGUGGAUGCUCGUCUGACCAAGAUGCUGGUUCCGGCACCUCACAUGGUGCCGGAGAAGAAGGCCAAGAAGAAGGCCGCGGGGACUCGAAAGAGCUCCCGGCGCCUGGUGGUGUCAGAUUCAUUGCCUGACAGCCCCGACGCACCCUCCGCCUCUGAAGACGAGGAGGAGGAGGAAGAAGAAGCCUCUCCCCCUCCAGCGGGGGGAGGAAAGAAAAGGAAGGCUGCCCCAACUGGGGAGGCCGGAGGGUCCAAGAAGGGGAAGACCCUUCUGCCGGACUACGCCUCCGAUGCCGAAGACGGCAGGGAGGAAUGGCCAUCUAGGGUCAAGCCCCUGGAAAAAUCGUAAGUGUCCGGAUACCCGUAUAACUUAUGGCUCUCCUCAAUUAUUCGGUAUUUUUUGAUGCCAAAUUCAAUCAUGUAGUCCGCCCAAGACUCAACUCGGCGAUUCGUCGAGCGGCUCCCUGGAUUCGUCGGAUGUGAAUAGUGCUUCACUUCCAAUGGCUUCCUCCCCGCUUCCUGCGGACGACACCGAGGUGGAGUCCCAAAAGGGACUAAACCAGGAGGAGGUGGUCCUGGAGGCGCCGCAAGGCGACCUCCCGGACUCCAGGCCCAAAGGGGGUAAAGUACCGGAGGGAUCUAAGUCCGGCCCUGGGUCGGACACUGCUCCGGAACCAUCAACAGUUCCAGGGUCCGACAGGCAGCGCCUUCGUAAGAAGGGCAAGCCUACGACACCGGCGGCCUCCGUCCAACCGGAGGCGCCGGACAAUUUGCUGGAGGUGCUUAAUGGCGCCUCCAUCGACGAGGAACACCGCACUGUUAUGAGUGCGGUGAUUCAGAAGGUUCAGUACGCCAAGAGCGGGCUGACAGACGCAUGUACAAGCCUGUUAACAGGCUUUGAGGUAUGUAUUCAAAACAUAUAAAAGUGUUACCGCAUAGACAGUAGCCCCUGAUGCUCAGUUUGGCGUUCGGAAAGAAAAACCGAGCUGAGGAUCUAAAAAGAUAUAUGCAGGAGUCUAACAUAAAUAUGUCAAUAUGGGAAUGCAGGCUGCGCUGCUGACCUCUACCGCACUGACUGCAGAGGUCAAUGCAUUGAAGGAGAGCCUCGAGCGGUCCGAGAACGAGCUCGGCUGUGCCAAGAAGCAGCUCGAGGACAAGGACGGUAUGUAAUACCGUAUGUAAAUGUAUAUAGAAAUACCUGGUUGCAAAUAAUGACAGGACCAACGUUAAUGUUGCAGGGGCCACGACUGAGGUGGUGACCCUGAAGGAGGCGGUGUCCAAGGCCGAGAACAGUGCAGCCUUGGAGCGCACCGAGCGAGAGAAGCAAGAGGCGCGGGUGGCGGAGGUGCGGCAAGAGCUCCAGGCUCUCGUGGAAAAACACGAGAGUUUGGAGCAUGACUCGAAGGCUCGAGAGUCCGAGCUCGCCUUGGCUCUUGAGAGUGCCAAAACUGCUAAGGCCGAAGCCCAGAAGGCCCUCUAGGAGAUCGAGGCGAUAAAGAAAAUAGCGGCGGGUAAGGCAUUCUUUAUGCAAAGCAAGCAUGUAAAAGUGAAUUAUCUGUUACUUACCUGAAUCCGGAGCUCUCCAGGAGCGUUCGCCGAUCUGCCCCGUAGUGUGUCUGAUGCUGCCGCAUUCUACCAAGCCGAGGAGGGGAGCUCGACGGAAAAGGUGUUCUGGUCUCAAUAUGCUGAGGCCGGACAUCCGGUGCCCCUGAGCAACCAGCUGAAACAGCUGGUCGAGCUCCACAAGGCGGCCGAACAGGCCAUGAAGGGCCUCAUAGUUUGGCUGUGGCCUGGAGAAGCCAUGCCUGGGAGUUACUUCGGUCUGGUGCGGCGGCUGGUGGACGCUUAUCCAUGGAUUGAAGUCAUCAAGCGCUCCAUCUGUAUUGAAGGUGCCCAUCGGGCCCUCACCCGUGCCAAGGUGCACUGGGGCAAGCUGGACGCUGAGAAGCUAUUGACGGACGCGCCACCGCCGGGCAAGGAGUAUCGCACGCCCGAGAUGUAUUAUAAGGGCGUCCUGAAGGGUGCCCGCCUUAUAGCGGGUGAAUGCUCCAAAGAUGUAAUUUUUGAGUAGACUCGCAUUUGUUAUCCUGUGCGCUGAAACUUUGUUCAUAUGCGCUAAGCAACGCUUGUUAAUUUAAAAUAUUACCUUCUGUGCGGCCGUUUAUUAAAUCUGAGAGAUGCAAGUCGUCGGCUUCUACCCCCAUGCCACGAGUGCUGGGGUGUUCGGGAUAAACCUGAGCGCUCUUGUUCCCAUUUUUGGGUCCAUCUAGGGAGGCGCUCAGCACAUUUUUGGGUCCAUCUAGGGAGGCGCUCAGCACAACGAACAAGGCCAUCAGACUUAUAGUGCUUUAUCGCUCUCACUUAGCCAUAGAAUUCUAUAAUUUUAAAUUUCGGCGAAGCCCCUAGUAUUCGAAAGACCGAGUUCGGGGCGCUAUCCACGCCUAGGCCAGAUAAAUCCGGCUCCUCGCUCUAAGCGGCAUAAGUCUUUAGGGACUCGAAAAACCUCACGAACAGCGACCUGUCUCUCGCACUAUCAUGACAGUCAGUUUUAACUUUAUCUACUGAGGUGUUAACCCAGCUCAACUGGGGCACAAUCGCAGUAGUUCUCCCAACGCAACCUUAGCCAACAUUGCGGAACGUAAGGUACCAAAACAUGGGAGCCGGGCAAACCCAACUAUUGACCCAAGACAUGAUUCGGAGCCGAUGCAUAUAGUGCUAUAAGUUCGGGGUGCCGCACUCAUGAGAGUGUUCGGUCUUCUCACACCAUGUUAUGGGGUGCUUAAGCCCCUGGUGUAUUGGCCGUACCAAAGUGUAUGGUUGCAUAAUGUCAUGACUGAACAUAUUUGUAUAAAAAUAGAUGAAUACAAUAAUAGAUAAGAGCUAUGUAUUGUUUAUUAAAAAAGAGCUACUAAGAAAGCAGAACGAUACAAAUAGUGCGAUAAGCAAGGAAUGGGAUUAUUUGACAUGUCCCCCUCCAGGGGCAAGCUGCGUGAAUUGAAGUAAAAUGGGUAUUUAGCUCGUUAUAGAGACCACCUGGACAUUCGACGCAUCUUGUUCUCUCCCUGGCUGUUGCAUCAUGUGUUCGGCGAGUGUAUUGCCGGACAGGCCUUCCGAAUAGUUGGGUCCUGAAAGUAUAUAAAAAGAAAAGGAAACGGCAAAAUAGGGAGCCCCUAAGUGCGGUUGAGCCACAUUCUGGGCGUGCCGUAGUUGUGCCCCUCCCCUUAUGCCCAAGGUAUUUUCAAAGCGUAAUUAUGUACGCGUGGUACCGAUAUCACCAUCUGGCGAGGGCUGGGGUCGGGGCCGCACUGCUAUGCUUGCUCGGAACGUGCCAGCCGGCAUUGUUGGAGGUUGCUUCGGGCGCGCUUGACGUUGUCCGGACGUUUAACACCCGGAUUGGAGAGUUGCCUUGAGAGGCUGCUCUGUAGUUCCGCCGCCAGGGCCGCUGUGUGCUCCUCCGUUCGGAGAGAGUGUUCGGUGUUUCCAUUUACCAUAAUGACAACGCGAGGACCUGGCAUCUUGAGCUUGAGAUAUGCGUAGUGCGGCACCGCAUUGAAUUUGGCGAAUGCGGUUCGUCCGAGCAGGGCGUGAUAGCCACUGCGGAAUGGGACUAUGUCGAAGAUUAACUCUUCGCUUCGGAAAUUAUUCGGGGAUCCGAAGACCACUUCGAGUGUAACCGAGCCUGUACAGCUGGCUUCUACACCUGGUAUGACGCCUUUAAAGGUUGUCUUUGUGGGUUUAAUCCUUGACGGCUCUAUACCCAUUUUUCGCACUGUAUCCUGAUAAAGCAGGUUCAGGCUGCUGCCGCCGUCCAUGAGGACUCUAGUGAGGUGAAAUCCGUCAAUGAUUGGGUCUAGGACCAGUGCGGCGAAUCCGCCGUGAUGGAUGCUAGUGGGGUGGUCCCUUCGAUCAAAAGUGAUCAGGCAGGAGGACCAUGGGUUGAACUUUGGGGCGACUGGCUCCAAGGCAUAACGUCCUUGAGAGCAUGCUUCCGCUCCCUUUUAGGGAUGUGGGUUGCGUAUAUCAUGUUCACCGUCCGCACUUGCGGGGGGAAUCCCUUCUGUCCUCUGUUGUUCGGCGGCCGGGGCUCCUCCUCGUCAUCGCUACGCAGCCCCUUGUCUCUGGUUUCGGCACUUAACUUGUCUGCCUGCUUGAACACCCAACAAUCCCUGUUGGUGUGGUUGGCUGGUUGUUCGGGGGUGCCAUGUAUCUGGCACGAGCGAUCGAGUAUCCGGUCUAAACUGGAUGGGCCCGGAGGGUUUCUUUUGAAUGGCUUCUUCCUCUGACCGGGUUUAGAGCCUCUGAAUCCGGCAUUAACUGCCGUAUCCUCAGUAUUGUCACCAUUAAUGCGGCGCUUGUUGCUUGUUGCGACGUGACCUGCCAUUGGUGUCCUUGGUAUCCGAAUUGCCAGGGCUCUUUCUUAUGUUAUUGCUACGAGCUAGCCAGCUGUCUUCUCCCGCGCAAAAGCGGGUCAUGAGUGUCGUGAGGGCUGCCAUAGAUUUCGGCUUUUCCUGUCCUAGGUGCCGGGCAGGCCAUUCAUCUCGGAUGUUGUGCCUGAAGGCUGCAAGGGCCUCGGUGUCCGGACAGUCGACUAUUUGAUUAAUCUUGGUUAGGAACCGUGUACAGAAUUGUCUGGCCGAUUCCUUUGGCUACUGGAUUAUGUGGCUUAGGUCAUCGGCGUCUGGUGGCCGCACAUAAGUGCCCUGGAAGUUGUCUAGGAAUGCGGAUUCCAGGUCCUCCCAGCAACUAAUUGACUCUGCUGGCAGGCUGUUAAGCCAAUGCCGAGUUGGCCCUUUAAGCUUGAGCGGGAGGUACUUGAUGGCGUGUAGAUCAUCACCACGGGCCAUGUGGAUAUGAAGGAGAUAAUCCUCGAUCCAUACCGCGGGAUCUGUUGUGCCAUUGUAUGAUUCGAUGUUUACGGGUUUAAAACCCUCUGGGAUUUGAUGAUCCAUUACUUCGUCUGUGAAGCAUAGUGGGUGUGCGGUGCCCCUAUACUGGGCUAUAUCGUGACGUAGCUCGGAUGAGCUUUGUCUGUUGUAUUCAGCCUAGCCGUAUUUAUCAUAUCCGGCGUGGCGGUUAUCGUCACGUGACGUAGGGAGCCCACGCGAUCCGUAGAUCGAUCUUGUUUGCCUUGCCUUAUCCUCCAAUAUGUCUCGCAGGUCUGUUGCGUUUCCCCGUUCUCUGGUAUUCUUGGAGCGGCGCCGGGGUGCGGCUUGGUUUGAGGGCCGAAAGGCCUCUCUGUCACGGCCACGGGGUGGCCGAUCGGGCGCAUCAUACGCUAGUGAUGUAGGUUUAGUUGCUUCCUCCUCUAGUUGGGGUAGCAGCCUGUGCUUUGGGUAACUCUUGUAGGGGCGUUCGAGUUUAUACUCUUCGGCCGCUAGGACCUCAGUCCAUCUGUCGGCCAGCAAAUCUUGGUCAGCUCUAAGCUGCUGCUGCUUUUUAUUGAGGCUGCUUGGCGUGGCCAUAAGCAUGCGUUUGAAACGCUCUUGUUCGACGGGAUCCUCUGGCACGACGAAUUCGUCGUCGUCGAGGCUUGCCUCGUCUUCAGAGGGAGGCAUAUAAUUGUCGUCCUCGACCUCCCUGUCUGCCGUUCUCUCAUGAGGGUUGGCUCCUUCGUCCUCCUGUGCCGGAGUGUUGACGUCUCCGGUGCCAGACUCAUCGUUUUUGCUUUGGCGGGAUUUAGAGCGGCGCCGCUGACGUCGGCGCUUGGGUUGCUUCUUAGAGGGGUCGUCCUUCGUUUUUUCAUCGCCAUCCCAUGUGAGGGAGUUCCGGACUAGGGGGUGUCCGGAUAGCCGAACUAUCAUCAUCGGCCGGACUCCAAGACUAUGAAGAUACAAGAUUGAAGACUUCGUCCCGUGUCCGGAUGGGACUUUCCUUGGCGUGGAAGGCAAGCUUGGCGAUACGGAUAUGUAGAUCUCCUACCAUUGUAACCGACUCUGUGUAACCCUAGCCCUCUCCGGUGUCUAUAUAAACCGGAUGGCUUUAGUCCAUAGGACGAACAACAAUCAUACCAUAGGCUAGCUUCUAGGGUUUAGCCUCCUUGAUCUCGUGGUAGAUCUACUCUUGUAACCCACAUCAUCAAUAUUAAUCAAGUAGGACGUAGGGUUUUACCUCCAUCAAGAGGGCCCGAACCUGGGUAAAAACAUCGUGUCCCUCGUCUCCUGUUACCAUCCGCCUAGACGCACAGUUCGGGACCCCCUACCCGAGAUCCGCCGGUUUUGACACCGACAUUGGUGCUUUCAUUAAGAGUUCCUCUGUGUCGUCACCGAUAGGUUCGAUGGCUUCUUCGAUCAUCAACGACGAUGCAGUCCAGGGCGAGACCUUCCUGCCCGGACAGAUCUUCGUAUUCCGCGGCUUUGCACUGCGGGCCAAUUCGCUUGGCCAGCUGGAGCAGAUCGAAGGCUACACCCCUGGCCGUCAGGUCAGAUUUGGAAGUUUGAACUUCACGGCUGACAUCCGCGGGGACUUGAUCCUCGACGGAUUCGAGCCACAGCCGAGCGUGCUGUACUGUCACGAUGGGCAGGGUUUAGCUCUGCAGCCGGACAGUACCCUGGAGGCCGCACUCGAACCCGCUCCGAUCUUCGACUCGGAGCCGGCUGCGCAGACCAAGGAUGGAUGGCUAGACACCACCUCGGAGGCUGCAACCUCUACGGCGAUAGAGCCGAACACCGAUCUUGUCCCCCAUGAAGCUCGUGACUCCGAGGUGCCGCACUCCUUGCCGGACUCCGGACCUCCCGCGCCCCCUCCAGUCGAAUCCAAUUGGGCGCUGAUCAUGGAGUUCACCGCGGUGGACAUCUUUCAACACUCACCUUUUGGCGACAUCUUGAGUUCGCUAAAGUACCUCUCGUUAUCAGGAGAGGCCUGGCCGGACUGCGGCCAGGACGGUUGGGAUGCGGACGACGAAGAAAUUCAGAGCCCACCCACCACCCACUUGGUAGCCACUAUCGAUGACCUAACCGACAUGCUAGAUUACGACUCUGAGGACAUCGACGGUAUGGACGACGAUGCCGGAGACGACCAAGAACCAGCGCCCACCGGGCACUGGAAAGCCACCUCUUCAUACGACAUAUACAUGGUGGAUAUCCCAAAGGAUGGGAACGGCGAUGGAAUAGCGGAGGAUGACCCCUCCAAGAAACAGCCCAAGCGCCGGCGUCAGCGGCGCCGCUCUAAAUCCUGCCAUAGCAAGAAUGAGGAUUCCGGCACCGGAGACAAUAAUACACCGGAUAGCGCCGAAGACAACCCACUCCAGCAAGAUCCAGCACAGGAGGAGGGGGACGCCAGCCCUCAUGAGAGAGCGGCCGAAGAAGAGGUAGAGGACUAUAUGCCUCCCUCCGGAGACGAGGCAAGCCUUGACGACGACGAAUUCAUCGUGCCUGAGGAUCCCGUCGAACAGGAGUGUUUCAAACGCAGGCUUAUGGCCACGGCAAACAGCCUCAAGAAAAAGCAGCAGCAGCUUAGAGCUGAUCAAGAUCUGCUAGCCGACAGAUGGACCGAAGUCCUCGCGGCCGAAGAGCAUGAACUCGAACGCCCCUCCAAAAGCUACCCCAAACGUAAGUUGCUCCCCCGAUUAGAGGUGGAGGCAUAUGAUCCCGCUUCACCAGGAGGCAAUACGGCUGAUCGACCAUCCCGUGGUCGCAACAGAGAGGCCUCAAGGCCCUUCACUAGACCCGUACCCCGGCAUCGCUCGAAAAGCACAAGGCCACAGGGGAACACUCCGGACCCGCGAGACAUAUUGGAGGAUAAGGCAAGACAAUCAAGAUCGAUCUAUGGAUCACGUGGGCACCCCACGAUACGUGACGAUCACCGUCACCCUGGACACAGUAAGUCCGGCCGGGCCGAACACAACAUACAAAGCUCUUUUGAGCUCCGUCGCGAUAUCGCCCAGUAUAGAGGCGCCGCACACCCACUGUGCUUCACAGAUGAGGUAAUGGAUCAUCAAAUCCCAGAAGGGUUUAAACCCGUCAAUAUUGAAUCUUAUGAUGGCACAACAGACCCCGCGGUCUGGAUCGAGGACUAUCUCCUCCACAUCCACAUGGCCCGCGGAGAUGAUCUCCACGCCAUCAAAUAUCUCCCACUCAAACUUAAAGGACCAGCCCGGCACUGGCUUAACAGCUUGCCAGCAGAGUCAAUCGGGAGUUGGGAGGACCUGGAAGCCGCAUUCCUCGAUAACUUCCAAGGCACAUACGUGCGACCACCAGAUGCAGAUGACCUAAGCCACAUAAUUCAGCAGCCAGACGAAUCGGCCAGACAAUUCUGGACACGGUUCUUAACCAAGAAAAACCAAAUUGUCGACUGUCCGGAUGCCGAGGCCCUCGCGGCCUUCAAGCAUAACAUCCACGACGAGUGGCUUGCCCGGCACCUGGGACAGGAAAAGCCGAAUUCCAUGGCAGCCCUUACAUCACUCAUGACCCGCUUCUGUGCGGGUGAGGACAGCUGGCUAGCACGCAGCAAAAACCUCAAAAAAAAUUCUGGCAGUCCGAAUAUCAAGGACCGUAGUGGCAGGUCGCGUCGCUACAAAAACAAACGCCGCAUUAAAAGCGAUAACAGUGAGGAUACGGCAGUCAAUGCCGGAUUCAGAGGCUCUAAACCCGGUCAACGGAAAAAGCCAUUCAAAAGAACAACUCAGGGUCCGUCCAAUUUGGACCGAAUUCUCGACCGCUUGUGCCAGAUACAUGGCACCCCUGAAAAGCCAGCUAACCACACCAAUAGGGACUGUUGGGUGUUCAAGCAGGCAGGCAAGUUAAUUGCCGAAAACAGCGAAAAGGGGCUACAUAGCGACGACGAGGAAGAGACCCGACCGCCGAACAAUAGAGGACAGAAGGGUUUCCCCCCACAGGUGCGGACAGUGAACAUGAUAUAUGCCACGCACAUACCCAAAAGGGAGCGGAAGCGUGCACUCAGGGAUGUAUACGCGAUGGAGCCAGUUGCCCCAAAGUUUAAUCCAUGGUCCUCUUGCCCGAUCACCUUUGACCGAAGGGACCACCCCACCAGCAUUUGCCAUGGUGGGUUUGCCGCAUUGGUUCUAGACCCAAUCAUCGAUGGAUUUCAUCUCACCAGAGUCCUGAUGGACGGCGGUAGCAGCCUAAACCUGCUUUAUCAGGACAAGGUGUGCAAAAUGGGCAUAGACCCCUCAAGGAUUAAACCUACCAAGACGACCUUUAAAGGCGUCAUACCAGGUGUAGAAGCCAAUUGUACAGGCUCAGUUACACUGGAAGUGGUCUUCGGAUCCCCGGAUAACUUCCGAAGCGAGGAGUUAAUCUUCGACAUAGUCCCGUUCCGCAGCGGCUAUCAUGCCUUGCUCGAAUGUACCGCGUUCGCAAAGUUCAACGCGGUGCCGCACUAUGCAUACCUCAAGCUCAAGAUGCCAGGCCCUAGAGGAGUCAUCACGAUCAACGGAAACACUGAACGCUCCCUCCGAACGGAGGAACAUACAGCAGCUCUCGCGACAGAAGUACAAAGCAGCCUUUUAAGGCAAUUCUCGAGUCCGGCUGCUAAGCGGCCAGACACAGCUAAGCGUGCCUAACCUACAACACGACCACCUGGCACGUUCCGAGCACGCGUAGCAGUGCGGCCCCAACCCCAACCCCUGUAAAACAUUAAGACAGACCCUUCGUGUACUCCAUUACGCUCUGAAGAUACCAUGGGCAUGGGGCAAGGGGCUCGACCACGAUAAGACCAAACUGCGGCUCAACCGCACUAGGGGCUCUUAAGUGCGUCGUUUCUUUUUCUUUUUCCUUUUAUUUUUUACCCACAGGACUCCGUUCGUCAGAGGCCCUGUCCGACAGCAGACAUGCCGAACCCACGAUACAACAGCCAGGGAAGGAGAAAGGCUACAACGAAAAUCCAGGUGGUCUCCAUUAUGAGCAUUAAAUCUGUUUUAUGCAUUAUUCCGUAGCCUACCCCUGGAGGGGGACAUGUUAAACAGUCCCAUCCCUUGCUUACCGCACCACUUGUAUCGUCCUGCACUUACAGCAGUUUUUAUUUGAAUAAAGCAAUGCAGCACAUUUUUGCUUCUAGUUGCAUUUCUUUCUUACACAUAUGUUCAUCUAUGACAUGUUGCAUCCAUACGUUUUGGUACGGCUAAAUACACCAGGGGCUUAUGUUUCCCGCGUUAUGGUGUGAUAAGUCCGAACACUUUCACAAGUGCGGCACCCCGAACUUAUAGCAUUAUAUGCAUCGGCUCCGAAUCAUGUUCUUGGGUCAAUAGUUGGGUUUGCCCGGCUCCCAUGUUUUGGUACCUUACGUUCCGUUUUAUCGGCUAAGGUAGCACUGGGAGAACCACUGCGAUUGCACCCCAGUUGAGCUGGGUUAACGCCUCAGUGAAGAAAGCUAAAACUGACCGUCAUGAUGAGGCGAGAGCUGGUCGCUGUUCGAGAGGUUCUUUGCGAGUCCCUAAAGACUUAUGCCGCUUCGAGCGAGGAGCCGGAUUCUGUCCGGCCAAGGCGUGGAUAGCGCCCCAAAUUCGGCCUUCCGAAAACUAGGGGCUUCGCCGAAAUUUAAAAUUAUAGAAUUCUAUGGCUAAGUGAGAGUGUUCAAGCAUUAUAAGUCUGGUUGCCUUGUUCGUUGUGUUGAGCGCCUCCCUAGAUGGACCCAAAAAUGGGAACAAGAGCGCUCGAGUUUAUCCCGAACACCCCAGCACUCGUGGCAUGGGGGCUGAAGCCGACGACUUGCCAUCUCUCAGAUUUGACAAACAGCCGCACAAAAGGUAAUAUUUUAAAUUAACAAGCGUUGCUUAGCGCAUAUGAACCAAGUUUUCAGCGCACAGGAUAACAAAAUGCGAGUCUACUCAAAUAUUACAUCUUUGGAGCACUCACCCGCAAUAGUGCGGGCGCCCUUCAGCACACUCCUAUAAUACAUCUCGGGUGUGCGAUGUUCCUUGCCCUCUGGUGGGGGGUCCGUCACAAGCUUCUGGGCACCCAUCUUGCCCCAGUGCACCUUUGCGCGGGCAAGGGCCCGACGCGCACCUUCAAUACAGGCGGAGUGCUUGAUAACUUCAACCCACGGGCACGCAUCCACCAGCCGCCGCACCAGGCCGAAGUAGCUCCCAGGCAUAGCCUCCUUAGGCCACAGCCAAACUAUGAGGCCCUUCAUGGCCUGUUCGGCCGCCUUGUGGAGCUCGACCAGCUGCUUCAGCUGGUCGCUAAGGGGCACCGGAUGUCCGGCCUCAGCAUACUGAGACCAGAAGACCUUCUCCGUUGAGCUCCCCUCCUCGGCCCGGUAGAAUGCGGCAGCAUCGGACACGCUGUGAGGAAGAUCUGCGAACGCUCCUGGAGAGCUCCGAAUUCGGGUAAGCGACAGGUAAUUAACACUCAUAUGCUUACUUUGCAUGAAAAAUGCCUUACCCGCUGCUAUUUUCUUCACCGCCUCUAUCUCCUGGAGGGCCUUGUAGGCUUCGGCCUUAGCGGCUUUGGCACUCUCAAGAGCCGUUGCAAGCUCAGACUCUCGAGUCUUCGAGUCACGCUCCAGGCUCUCGUGUUUCUUCACGAGAUCCUGGAGCUCUUGCUGUACCUCCGCCACCCGCGCCUCCUGUUUCCCUCACUCGGUGCACUCCGCAGCCGCACUGCAUUCGGCCGUGGCCACUGCCUCCUUCAGGGUCGCCACCUCAUUAGUGGCCCCUGCAAUACCCCAGUUAUCCUUGUCAUUUUUCUUGCAACCAAAUCCUUUUCUGUAAGGUACAAUUUUCAUAAGGUAUUACUCACCUUCUUUUUCCUCGAGCUGCUUCUUGGCAUGGCCGAGCUUGUUCUUGGACCUCUCGAGGUUUUCCUUCAAAGUAUUGACCUCCGCAGUCAGUGCGGCGGAGGUCAGCAGCACAACCUGCAAUCCCAUAUUGACAUAUUUUCAUGACUCCUGAGAUUAUCUUUCUAAAGAUCCUCAGUCCGGCUUUUCUUUCCGAACACCGAACCGAGCAUCAGGGGCUACUGUCUAUGCGGUACCAUUUUACAUAUAUUGAAAUUCUUACCUCAAAGCCUGUUAGAAGGCUGCUGCAGGCUUCGGUCAGCCCGCUCUUGGCGAGCUGAACCUUCUGAAUCACCGCACUCAUAACAGUGCGGUGUUACUCUUUGAUGGAGGCGCCGUUGAGCGCCUCCAGCAAAUUAUCCGGCACCUCCGGUUGGACGGAGGCAGCCGGCGUCGCGGUCUUGCCCUUCUUCCUAAGGGGUCGCCCGCCGAACUCCGGAGCCACUAUGGGUUCCGGGGCUGAGUCCGGUGCAAAGUCCGGGAGGUUGUCCUACGACACCUCCGGGGCCCUCUCCUCCUGGUGGGUCCCUUCCUGGGAUCCCACCUCGGCAUCGUCCGCAUCAUGGGGGGUGGAGGCAGUCGGAAGAGAAUCCAUAUCCGACGCCCCUAAGGACCCGCUCGACGAAGUGGGGAGAUCAUCCUUAGGCGGACUGCAGGGUUGUAUGCGGCAUUAGAAAGACAUAAUGUGGCGGAAAACGAAAACCUUGAAGUUAUUCGGGUGUCUGGAUACUUACGAUCUCGCCAGAGGCUUGGCCCUUGGAGGCCAGUCCUCGUCGUCGUCACUGGCGUUGGCGGCACAGUCCGGGGGAAGAGUUUUUCCCCUCUUGGACCCUUCGGCCUCCCUUGUUGGGGAGGCCUUCCUUUUCUUCCCUCCCCCUGCUGGGGGAGAGGCUUUCUUCUUCUCCUCCUCGCCUUGGUGGGAGGAGUCGGCCUCGGAUUCAUCGUCCGAUAGCACCUGAAAAUGGGAACUCUUCCGAGUCCCUGUGGCCUUCUUCUUGGCCUUCUUCUCCGGCACCACGUGGGGUGCCGGAGCCAGCAGCCCCGUUAGGCGGGCGUCAGCUGGGUCCUCUGGCAAUGGGGCCAGACAGAUAGCCUGUGCGGCCUUCUUCAGCCAGUCCUGCCAAAGGAAAGGGAGUUUAGAUCCCGCAUAGAGUCAAACUAUGAAUAACAAGCAUCACGUAAAGGACAAUAUCACUUACCUCGUCAGCUGGACGCUGCAAGCUGAAUCCGCGAUCCUCGGUAGCGGAUGCGGGAGCCUCGGUGCCCUUGAACAGCACCUUCCAGACCUCUUCGUACGUAGUGUCGAAGAGCCCAUUCAAAGUCUGGUGCUGCGCCGGAUCGAACUCCCACAUAUUGAAGCCCCGUCGUUGGCACGGGAGAAUCUGGCGGAUGAGCAUGACCUGGACUACGUUGACAAGCUUGAGCUUCUUGUCCACCAGCUUUUGGACGCAGGCUUGGAGUCCGGUCAGCUCCUCCGAAUCGCCCCAAAUCUGGCCGCUCUCUUUCCAGGAGGUGAGCCGUGUGGGGAUGCCGGAUCUGAAUUCGGGGGCCGCUGCCCAUUCAGGAUCACGCGGCUCGGUGAUGUAGAACCACCCCGAUUGCCACCCCUUGAUGGUUUCCACAAAGGUGCCCUCCAGCCACGUAACGUGGGACAUCCUGCCCACCAUGGCGCCUCCACACUCCGCUUGGCUGCCCUUCACAACCUUCGGCUUGACACUGAAGGUCUUGAGCCACAAGCCGAAGUGGGGCUGGAUGCAGAGGAAGGCCUCGCACACGACGAUAAACGCCGAGAUGUUGAGGAUAAAAUCCGGGGCCAGAUCAUGGAAAUCUAGGCUGUAGUAGAACAUGAGCCCCCGGACAAAGGGAUGAAGUGGGAAGCCCAGUCCGCGGAGGAAAUGGGGAAGGAAUACUACCCUCUCAUGGGGCCUAGGGGUGGGGAUGAGCUCUCCCUCGUCGGGGAGCCGAUGCGCGAUGUCGCUGGACAAGUAUCUGGCGCUGCGCAGCUUCUGGAUAUGCCCCUCCGUGAUGGAGGAGACCAUCCACUUGCCUCCCGCUCUGGACAUGUUUGGAGAAGGUUGAGGUGAGAUGUGCGGGCUUGGGCGCUAGAGCUCGAGUUUGCAGAGAUGGAUAAGCCAAGAAGGAAGAAGGCGCAGGUAAAAAGGUUGGAUCUUUAUCCCCUUAUAUGGGCGGACAGAAACACGCGUCCCCAUCGGCCUGGUAAAACUCGCUUAUCCCCCAAGCGUCGCGAUUGAUGGCGCGGUUGGGUUACCCACGUUCGUAUUGAUGGGAAUCCCGGAAUAAGGGGAACAUGAUCUCUGCUUCGACAAGACGUGCCAAGGAAACCGCUUCGCUAAACGCGCUGAAGUGGUACAAUAAAAACGUUUCAAAUAAAGGCUUGGUUGUGGUGUGACGUCACGCCACGGAAUACGUCAGCAGAUUGAACUUGUGUGAAUAUUAUUCUCUCUACGGUGGUAUGUGGAAAUUAUUUUGCAGAGCCGGACACUAUCCUGGUGUUCACAAUCUUCUAUAAAUUAUUCGGAGGAGGAACCCGCCUUGCAAUGCCGAAGACAACAUGCGCGCCGGACUCGUCAUCAUUGAAGCCUGAUUCAGGGGCUACUGAGGGAGUUCCGGACUAGGGGGUGUCCGGAUAGCCGAACUAUCAUCAUCGGCCGGACUCCAAGACUAUGAAGAUACAAGAUUGAAGACUUCGUCUCGUGUCCGGAUGGGACUUUCCUUGGCGUGGAAGGCAAGCUUGGCGAUACGGAUAUGUAGAUCUCCUACCAUUGUAACCGACUCUAUGUAACCCUAGCCCUCUCCGGUGUCUAUAUAAACCGGAUGGCUUUAGUCCAUAGGACGAACAACAAUCAUACCAUAGGCUAGCUUCUAGGGUUUAGCCUCCUUGAUCUCGUGGUAGAUCUACUCUUGUAACCCACAUCAUCAAUAUUAAUCAAGCAGGACGUAGGGUUUUACCUCCAUCAAGAGGGCCCGAACCUGGGUAAAAACAUCGUGUCCCUCGUCUCCUGUUACCAUCCGCCUAGUCGCAUAUCCCGUGACCCCCUACCCGAGAUCCGCCGGUUUUGACACCGACACCCUGUUUUGGGGGUGUCCACCAUGUAUAUGUCAUAUGACGAGGUGGCUUUCCAGUGCCCUAUAGGUGCUGGUUCUUGGUCGUCUCCAUCGGCGCCCAUACCGUCAAUAUCUUCGGAGUCGAAGUCGAGCAUGUCGGUUAGAUCGUCGAUAGUGGCUACAAAGUGGGUGGUGGGUGGGUUUCGAAUUUCUUCGUCGUCCGCGUCCCAACCCUGCUGACCAUAGUCCGGCCAGGGCUCUCCUGACAAAGAGAGAGACUUUAGUGAAUUCAGGAUAUCGCCAAAGGGCGAGUGCUGGAAGACGUCCGCGGCGGUGAACUCCAUGAUCGGAGCCCAAUCGGGUUCGAUCGGAAGGAGUGCAAAAGAUUAGGAGUCCAGAACGGAGUCCGGCACUUUGGAGUCACGGGCCUGGCAAAGGACUGAAAGUGCUAGUAUCGACUAGAGGGGGGUGAAUAGGCGAUUUUUAUGAAAGUCUUCAAAACUUGAAAGUUUCAAAGACAAACAAUAGAAAUGACCUAGUUGAUAUGCAGCGGAAGAUAGACUACUAUAAGCAAACCAUAGUCAAGUAUGCAAUGAUGUGAAAGUACAGGACUAAUAGCAGCUAAGUAGUAAGGAUCAGGAUGGAAGAUAGUAUGAAGCCAAUCAACAGUAGUAGUCAAGCAAUGAAGUCAAACAGAUACACAGAUAGGCAGUGAGUUCACGAAGACAAACUUAAGUAAAGGAUGGAAAGGGAUAGAACCAGUCGCUUGUUGAAGACACAAGAUUUCUUGGACCAGUUCCAGUUGCUGUGACAACUGUAUGUCUGGUUAGGGAGGCUGAGAUUUAACUCAGAAGACCGUGUCUUCACCUUAUUCCCCUUGAGCUAAGGACACCCAGUCCUCGCCCAAUCACUCUGGUAAGUCUUCAAGGUAGACUUCCAAACCUUCACAGACUUCGUUCACAGGCAAUCCACAAUGACUCUUGGAUGCUCAGAACGCGACGCCUAACCGGCUGGAGGAUACACAGUCCUCAAGUGUAAUAAGUCUUCAGGUCACACAGACAGAAAGACUUCAGUGAUGCCUAACACUCUUUGGCUCUGGGUGUUUGGGCUUUGUCCUCGCAAGGAUUUCUCUCUCUCAAAUGCUUCGAGGUGGGUUGCUCUCAAAACGACAAAAGCCGUAAAAUAACUCUGAGCAGCCACCAAUUUAUGGUGUAGGGGGUGGGCUAUUUAUAGCCACAAGGCAACCCGAUCUAAUAUGUCCGAAAUGACCCUGGGUCACUAAGGAACUGACACGUGUUCCAACGGUCAGAUUUCAAACACACGCGGCAACUUUACUUGGGCUACAAGCAAAGCUGACUCAUCCAGCUCUGGAUAAGAUUUGCUCUCAUUGUCUUCGCUCGAAUACAUAGGAUUUGGGUUGAGCAUCACUUCAGUCACUCUGACUUAGUUCACUUGGACCCCACUUAACAGUACGGUGGUUCCUAUGACUCAACAAAGAAGAAAAGGAAACGACGAAACCACACAGUCUUCGCGCUCCAUUGUCUUCACGCAAUGUCUUCUCAUGUCAUAGUCUUCAAUAUGAAUAUCUUCUCAUACCACCAUUGUCUUCAAUGUCUUCAUACAUUUUUAGGGGUCAUCUCCGGUAGGUAAACCGAAUCAAUGAGGGACACUACCUGCGUUAUCCUGCAAUUCUCACAAACGCAUUAGUCCCUCAACCAACUUUGUCGUCAAUACUCCAAAACCAACUAGGGGUGGCACUAGAUGCACUUACAAUCUCCCCCUUUUUGGUGAUUGAUGACAAACUGGUUGAAGUUUUCAACGGGGAUAAAGUAUGUGAACUUGUAAGGAUAGGAAUUGUCUUCAUAAGUAGCAAGGGCUCCCCCUGAAGAUGUGCAUAUUAAUAACUUGCUUUUGGAUUGCAAAUGCACAUGGCAGGUUGUACUUAUGGAGAUCCACUUCAACUUAUGAAGAUAAUUCAUCAUGCAUGAAAUGAUAUAACAAGUAGAAUGACAUGCAUAAUGAAAAAUGGACGUCUGCAGGAUGAUCUAAGUGCGGAAGUUAUCAUCGCAUCAGAGUAAAGCAAACACGUAGCAGAAGUAGCAGACGACCAUCAAGUUUAGGUGUUACAACUCAAAGAACCAAAUGUAUCAAAAUGCAAGAGUUGUAAGCACGCAGCAAAAUAUAAUGCAACCGCCCAUAUGAACCCGCUUGAAGACUAUCAAUUCAUACGCUUCUCCCCCUUUUGUCAGUAAUGACCAAAAAGGUUUGAAGACAUAGAGCAUCUACUCGUCUUCUUGAUGAGUAGGUGAAGCAGCAGGGUUGUUGUCGUUGGGUGGCGGUGCAGAGGAACUUGGUGCAGUGUCGAUGCGCACAGUAGUUGGAGGUGGUGAAGUAGCGUCAUCUUCAUCAUCGAUCACUCUGGCAUUAACUGUUGCCGCGGAGGAGGAAUAUUCAGAGUCUUCAAGAGAUGGAGUUCUUCGUAAGACAACAUUCCAUGGAGGAGUGGAGUCAAACUGAAAUCUUUCAUUGAAGCCAUUGUCUUGAAGAUCUGCUUCAGCACUAAGCAGGGUCAAACUCUUCCAUGAUCUCCAGCAAGUUUCAUGAGCAACAAAGGCAUUCUUGGUGGCAAGGUUGCGAAUGCGAUUGACAUCCACCAAGAUGCUUUGCAUCUGUCUCUUGAGCCAAAAGUGAUGUUUAUCCUGUUUCUGAUGAAGGGCCACAAGAAGUUCUCGGUCAUUGAGAACGCGAAAACGCUUGCGAGGCCUUUGGGCAAUGGUGCUUUCAGUGGCUUCAGUGGGCGCUCUGUGAGGCAGACGAGUGUUACCAGCAAAUGGAUAGAUUCGUGUUGCUGCUUGAACACCUUCAAUGGGUUGAGUGAAGCUUUGGUGCUCGGCAUUCUGAAGACAAAGAGGCUUCUUGGCAGGGCCAGGAUAUAUAGCUUCAACUGACAUAUCAACCUCAGGUAGAAAAAUCACAUGAUUGCGAGCAGAAGGUUGAUAGUUGACAGUAGAGUGUCGCUUUAUGAGGCGCAUGACCCAUGGAGCAUAAAACUUCAGACCAAAGAGAUCAAAACCAGAGGCAGCCAGUUGUCUGAUGAAGAAAUCUUGUGCAUUGAAACUGAUGCCAUUGUAAAUGUAGAAGACCAAAGUCUUCAUAGCUCCUUCAAGCUUUGCCACUGAUGAAUGUCCUUUGAUAGGCCAUAGAGUCCGCCUGAUGAUAUGAUAUAUGGUGUGUGGCAGAUACUCAAGGUCUUCAACAAAGAACUCUGUUGGAUAUUCAGCAUCACGGAGCAAAGGCUUCAUCAUGCUCAACAUCUGACUCAUAUUGGGUUCAGGCCUAUGAAAGAUGCUUUCCAGGGCAUUGCGAUGAUGUUGACAUCCAGGUUCAUACAGUUCUCCAGGAGUGGCAAGCCCUGUAAGCUCGAUGAUGUCCAUAGCUUUGGCUUCAUGAUAAACAUUUCCAGUCAUCCACUCGAGAACCCAUGUCUUGAUGUCUCUGUUGUAGCCGCGAAUGUGCAGAGUGGCAUAGAAUUGAAGCAAUAGCUCUUCAUUCCAAUGUUCUUUGUCUGUCACAAAGUGGAGCAGACCAGCAUCACGAAAGCAAUCAAGUGCUUCUUCUAAGCAUGGCAGUCCAGCAAUGGCUUCAGUGUCAAGGCGCAUAUGAGGGAAAAUGCGCCCUUGAUCAUAUAACACGCAUGAGUAAUAGCUUCUCUGUUGAUAGCUCCAGAACCGAUCUGAUGCAAUUCUUGGCUUCGUGUAGGGGUUCUUCGAGCUGUCAAAGAAUGUGUUGUGGCUCUUGAAGCCAUUAGCAUUGAAGGACCCGGGGGAGUUGGCAGUACCUGGAAACCUCGGCAACCUGGCCUUUGGCUUCUGUACUUGAGGCCUAUGCUCAAUAUGAUAGUCAAAUUGCGGUCCUGAGGCAGAGGGUGGAGGCACCAGAACGGGCCAUCGGACAGUAGUGAGCUGACCAUGACUAUAUGCUUGCUCAAUUGUGUGAGGCCUUGGAGGCGGAACAGGAGCAGAGGCAACAUCGGAGGCAGGCUGCACGACAGGUGCUUCGGGAGCAGUUGUCAUGUUGACUUCAGGUGCAGCAUCCUCAUUGGCUUCGGGUGCAGCAUCCUCAUGGACUUCAGGUUCAGUAGCCACAUUUGCUUCAGGCACAGUUAGUUUAGGCUCCACAUUAGCAUCAGCCAUGACUACGUCACUGGCUAUAUUGACAUUGGUGGUGGCAGCCUCAACAUUUUCAGCCUCCACUUGAGGAGCUGGAGGGUCAGAUACAGACACGUUCAGAUCAUGAACUGCUUCUUCUUGAAUGGGGGGAGUAGAGACACGUUCUUCUUGACGCUCUUCAUCGGCUGAUACAGCCGGAUUGUCUUCAGCAGCAUGUGCUUCAGACUCGGAGACAUUCACAGUUGGAGCAGGUUCAGAAAGUACUUGCCGUGCAACAGGUGAACGUUGCACUUCUCCUUCUGGAACGCUCGACAGAGGGACUUCAGGCCUUUGUCCUCUACAAAGCCUGCGAAGAGCUGGCUUCACUUUAGGAGAUGGAGUUGGCUGAGCCUGAAAGUCUUCAUCCUCUUCUUGCACGUUGGGGGUAGCUUGUUGUUGUUGUAGGGGAGUACUGGGGAAGUCUUGUUCUUGUGGGCGAUCAGCCCAUGAAUCAUCCUGUGCAAUUGGCGUCAGAGGACGACCAAUGCUGAUGAGUUCGCUGUUCGUACGAACAGGCGAUGAUACCAUAUUGUAUUCGAUCUGAGGAAGAACUUCAUCAUCUUCAACAUUAUCAUGAUGACCAAUGUCUUCAGCAGCGGUGGGUUCAGCUGCUGGAAUAUCUUCAGCUUCAGGAGCCUCUGUGGAAGCAGGCUCAUGCACAGUCAUGUGAAGUUCUUGGGAUGCAGAUGCAGGAUGAAUCACUGAGAGGGGUUCAACAAAAAGGGACUUUGUGGGAGCAGCCCGAUUCUUCUUGGUCUUGCGCUUCUUCUUGGAGGGAGCGGCAUCAGAGGCUUCGGUAUUCUUCCUCUUUCUAGCUUCUUCCUCUGCAGCCCUCGUUUUCUUCUAUUCAAAAGCGGUUGUGGUGACCUUUGGCUUUGAGCCAGUCAUGCUACUUGGGAAGAUAAUACGUGGAGCUUCUUGGCUUGAAGGCGCAGGCUGAUCAGCAGGAAACUUCUUCUUUUUCUUUGCAGCCAUUCUGGGGUCAAUGCCAAGACGGACAAGUGACUUGCGCUUCUCAGCCUCAUUGUAGGCAAGCACACACUUAUCAGCCAAACUCUUCAUGCGCUCACGAGAGCCUUGAGCUUCUUGGCGCUUCUUCUGAAAAGCUUCUUUAAGCUCAUGCAGCAUGACCUUAAAGUUUCUGACGUCCUGAACACUUAGCUUGGCCACAUGCUUCUUGAAUUGAGCCUUCUCAUAAUCAAUCUUGUGCUUGAGCUCAACGAUUCUCUGAGCGAGAGCCAGCUCAGAAGCAAUGGCGCCAUUCAAAGAGACGCUGAGGCCAAUUGGAAGCUGUAAAUCUUCAAAGCUGACAUUUGGGGUGUCGAACCACUCAUCAAUGAAAUUGUGGAUGAUGGCCACAUCAAAGAGAGGCAAGUUGUUGAAGAUUUCUGCUUCUUCCUUGCUCUUUAUCAGCUGCUCAAGAGCAUCAUCCGCAAGAUCUUCAUCACUUGAUAGAUCAAUGGGUUCUUCACGCAGAAUAACAGCAGGAGUCAGAGCUUGAUCAGCACGCCUGGCAAGUUGCUUUUUCUUCUCCGUCCUCUUGGAGAUACGGGAUUGAUCUUCAGACUGCACACUGGCUUCAGGAGGUGUAGUGGCCAAUGGCUUCACACGAGAAGCUUUUGGUGGUACGGGUUUAGAAGCCUUUAGCUUCUUUUGCUUCUGUGGUUUCGAAGGAGGAGUUGGGGCUUCAUCAGAAUCAGCCUCAUUGUCAGAAUGAUCCACUUUGGCACCUUGUACCAAGAUGUAGGAGAUGAGGCCAUCAAGGUUCGCAAAGGGGCCAAUUCUAUUUUCUUCAGCUUCACGAGUCCCAUCCUCACGGGGAGCAGAGGGACCAGGAUUGAAGCCCAACCCCCAUGACUUCUUGUUUUCCUUUGCCGAAGCCACAGCAAACUGGAAGUUGCGCUUGAAGAGAUUGUCGUCGCGACACCAGAGUAAUGAUGAUGGGUCGGCUUCUUCAGGCUGUGGUCGACGGACCAUGCAAGGAUAGAAUUCUUGCUCAAUGGCUUCAGCUCUGUUCUUGGGUUGAAGGCCUUGAUAGAGAAUAUCGCCCCAAGGACUCUUGAUAGCAUUUUUCUCUGCAUAUUCCUUGGUGACGAACUUGUACUUGAAUCCAUUGGAUCCAUUGGAUUCAUGUCUUGCGCUGAUGAUAAGUCUCUUUGGGGUCUGUCUUGUACAGUUCUGCUAGGUCAUCAGGCAGAUCUUUGGAUGUUCCUCCUUUGCGCUGUCUGCCACCCUUCCUUGCUGAUUUUUCUGCAGCCAUGAACUUCAAGCUGAAUGGCUUCAAUACAUUCAGAGGCUUUAGAGAUUUACGCUUGCUGGUCAAGCAGGAACUGGCUUCAGGAGAAUUGAUAUGAUGGUGUAAGUAUUCUCCAAACGAAUGCAGACUAUGAGAACCAAGGGAUUCUCCCACGGACAUGUACCUGUGACAGCAUUAGAGAUGCGAGGGAAGGGGAAGAGGUCAUAUGCAUUCUCAGAAGAUUUUGAAGAUAAAUCAAUUUGAAGACAUUGACCUCAUGAUGCGAAGACAUUCACUUAUAUGUGGUGAGUUGGUUCCAGAUUUGUACCAAUCCGUGAAUAAGUACAAGUGAGGAAUCAAACUAGAUAGGAAAUCUAAGUGAAUAGACUAGGCAUUAUGAGAUGCAGAUAGAAUAGAUCUAACAUUUAGUAGGCAGAAACCACUUUCGGUAAGUAGGAUGAAUCUAUGAAGAUCAAAAAGGUGGUAAAAAUAGAGUUAUAAUUACCACACGAAGAACUACUAGAUGGGAAGAAUGAGAGACCGAGCAGUUCAGCCCACCAUGCCCUAACUUGGCCACGGAGGACACCUACGGCGACGGCGGAGAGAAAGAUGUCUGCGGCCGGUGUGAGGACGGCGUCGGAGAAGUCGCGGCAGCUAAGCGCUUCGUCGCCGGCGUCGUCAAGAGCUAGCGGUGGCGCUAGGGUUUUGACGGAGGUGGAGAGGUGGAAGAAGGAUUUCUUUACCGCAGGGGACACAUAUUUAUAAGUAGGUGUGCAGCACAACGCAAUUAUGCAGGUGCCCCUGUCUGUUCACAUCCGUGGGGUACGUGGCAAGCAUGCAACAAAGAGUUGUCCCACGUUCCCACGCCCGCCAGGUAUGUCGGAUGUUCAUUCCGGCUUCUCCGGAUAUCGACAAUUAAGAUGAUUCAUUUAAAUAGAACUUGAUGUUUGUCUCUGUGUCUUCUGCUGACAAGGAUGCAGAGAAGACAUUCGACAGUUUCAAUAGAAUGCAUAUGAUUUAGACAGAUAGAGUUUGAGAUAGUAAGCAGUGAGAGAUUAGGGUCCGAUCACAUUCACUUAGUUCAAAAGAUUCAACAGUGAAGACAUAGCUAUAAGUGAAUGCUGUAGAGGACAGAACGCUAGUAUAUAUAUAUAUAUGCAAUCAAAUCACUAUAGCGAAGAAAAAUCACGAAGAUAAAUUGAAACUGAAGACAAACCAAAUGCGAAAUCUUUGCAAAAUAACGCCAUGAGUGAAACACUUCAAAUAGAGAAAUUUGGUGGUGGCGUUACCCACCGUAUAGGAAGUAUUAGACCCAGACAGGGCGCACAAUUAUCGUGGCGCUCCGAAGUCAAAUUCCAUGUUAAUGUAUUCACACUCAGAGUGUAAAUCUUCAUUGAUUGAAGAUAUACAUUACUUUGUGUGUUGCACAUCUAAGUCAUCAACAUGCAUAAGUGUUAGGAUGUGUGCCUGAUCACAGGACAUUCGAGGAUUCCAAGAUAUUUAGCUCACACCGUAACUUGCAAAACCUUUUCUCGUCCAAGGGCUUUGUGAAGAUAUCUGCCAGUUGCUCUUUAGUAUUGACGUGCAUGAUAUCUAUAUCUUUCUUCAUAACAUGAUCUCUGAGAAAGUGAUGACGUAUUUCAAUGUGCUUUGUCUUCGAAUGCUGGACUGGAUUGUUGGCAAUCUUGAUGGCACUUUCGUUGUCGCAGAAGAGAGGGACUUGCUUCAGAUCGAUGCCAUAGUCCUUGAGAGUUUGCUUCAUCCAUAGAAGCUGAGCACAACAAGAUCCAGCAGCAAUGUAUUCAGAUUCAGCAGUUGAGAGUGACACAUAGUUCUGCUUCUUUGAAGACCAACAGACAAGUGAUCGACCGAGAAAAUGACAUGUGCCUGAUGUAGACUUGCGAUCCACUUUGUCACCAGCAUAAUCAGCAUCCGAGAAUCCAACCAGAUCAAACCUUGAGCCCUUUGGAUACCAUAAUCCUAGUGUUGGGGUGUAAGCCAAAUAUCGAAGAAUUCGCUUCACAGCUAAGUGAUGCAAUUCCUUUGGUGCCGCUUGGAAUCGAGCACACAUGCAAACACUAAGCAUAAUAUCUGGCCUAGAUGCACAUAAAUAAAGCAAAGAACCAAUCAUGGAGUGGUAUACCUUUUGAUCGAACUCUUUACCAUUGUCGUCGGGACCAAGAUGGUGCUUGGCUGGCAUUGGCGUCGUGUAGCCUUUGCAGUCUUCCAUUCCAAACUUCUUCAGACAAUCUUUGAGGUAUUUUUCUUGAGAUAUGAAGAUGCCAUUUCGUUGCUGACGAAUUUGAAGACCAAGGAAGAACUUCAGCUCUCCCAUCAUGGACAUUUGAUAUUGCUCUUGCAUCAUGUACCCAAACUCAUCACUGUACUUCUGAUUGGUGCAGCCGAAGAUUAUGUCACCCACAUAUAUUUGGCACACAAACAGUUCACCAUCAUAUGUCUUCGUGAAGAGUGUGGGAUCGAGAGAUCCAGGUUUGAAGCCUUUGCUCUUCAGGAAGUCUUUGAUUGUAUCAUACCAGGCACGAGGAGCUUGUUUGAGGCCAUACAGUGCUUUGUUCAGUUUGUACACCAUAUCAGGAUGUUCUGGAUCUUCAAAGCCAGGUGGUUGUGCAACAUAUACUUCUUCUUCAAUCUUGCCAUUUAGAAAUGCACUCUUUACAUCCAUUUGAUAUAGCAAGAUGUUGUGAUGAUUAGCAUAGGCUAGCAGUAUGCGAAUAGCUUCAAGCCUAGCAACCGGAGCAAAUGUUUCAUCGAAGUCAAUUCCUUCAACUUGAGUAUAUCCUUGAGCCACAAGACGAGCUUUGUUUCUGACGACUUGACCAUGCUCAUCUUGCUUGUUUCGAUAUAUCCACUUUGUUCCAAUAAUGUUAUGCUUGCGAGGGUCAGGUCGCUUGACAAGUUCCCAAACAUUAUUCAGCUUGAACUGUUGAAGUUCUUCUUGCAUGGCUUGAAUCCAUUCAGGUCCCAUAAAAGCUUCAGCAACUUUCUUGGGUUCUGAUAUUGACACAAAUGAAAAAUGCCCACAGAAAUUUGCUAGUUGUGUUGCUCUUGAGCGAGUGAGCGGACCAGGUGCAUUGAUGCUAUCAAUAAUCUUCUCUAUUUGAACUUCAUUUGCAACACGAGGAUGAACAGGACGAAGAUUCUGCUCUGGCUGAUCAUUGUCAUCAUUGGGAGGAUUGUCUUUGGUCUGAGCAUUGUCUUCAGGUUGAUUUGGUGCAGAGAUGAUAAGUUCCUCUUCAGGCUGUGCUUCAGAGGGCAUGAUCUCACCAGUUCCCAUCAACUUGAUAGAUUCACAGGAGGGAGCUUCAUCCAGUGUACUUGGCAGAAUUUCUCUUUGUGAACCAUUGGUUUCAUCAAAUCGCACAUCCACUAUUUUAACAAUUUUGUAGUGGAAGAGGUUGAAGACUCUGUAAGAGUGCGAAUCCUUUCCAUAGCCAAGCAUGAAGCCUUCGUGAGCUUUGGGUUCAAAUUUUGACUUGUGAUGGGGAUCCUUGAUCCAACAUCUAGCACCAAAGACUCUGAAGUAGCUAACAUUUGGCUUCUUGCCAGUGAGGAGCUCAUAGGAUGUUUUGCCCAGGAGCUUAUGGAUGUAGACACGGUUGAUGAUGUGACAAGCUGUAUCAAUGGCUUCAGGCCAGAACUUUCUUGGUGUCUUGUACUCGUCAAGCAUUGUUCGAGCCAUCUCGAUGAGGGUUCUGUUCUUGCACUCUACAAUGCCAUUUUGCUGAGGUGUGUAUGGAGCAGAAAACUCAUGAGUGAUUCCCAUUGUAUCUAGAUAAAGAUCAAGCCCGAUGUUCUUGAAUUCAGUGUCGUUAUCACUUCUGAUAUGCUUGACCUUGACACCAUAGUUGUUCAUUGCUCGAUUGGCGAAUCGUCUGAAGACAUCUUGUACUUCAGUCUUGUAGAGAAUUAUGUGCACCCAUGUGUAUCUUGAGUAGUCAUCAACAAUGACGAAGCCAUAGAGACACACCGUUGUUGUGAGGGUGGAGUAGUGGGUAGGUCCAAAUAAGUCCAUGUGAAGCAGCUCGAAGGGUUGAGAUGUUGUCAUGAUUGUCUUCGAUGGAUGCUUGGCCCUUGUCAUCUUUCCAGCUUCGCAGGCACCACAUAGAUGAUCUUUCUUGAACUUGACACCUUUGAUGCCUAUGACAUGCUUCUUUUUGAUGAGAGUAUGCAAGUUCCUCAUGCCAGCGUGCCCCAGCCUUCGAUGCCAGAGCCAACAUUCUGAAGCUUUAGCAAGAAGACAUACGACAAGUUUUGGACCUGCUGAGAAAUCUACCAUGUAUAGAUCACCUUUCCUAUACCCUUCAAAGACUAGAGAUUUGUCAGAUUUCAUUAGUACAAGGCAACGAUAUUUUCCAAAUAUCACAAUCAUAUUUAAGUCACAAAGCAUUGAGACAGACAUUAAGUUGAAUCCAAGCGAUUCAACAAGCAUCACUUUAUCCAUGUGUUGAUCCCUUGAGAUUGCAACUCUACCUAGACCCAAUACUCUGCCUUUACCAGUGUCAGCAAAUGUGAUUUUACUUUUGUCGAAUGGACAUAAGGUUGAGUCCAUGAGAAGACUUUGAUUACCAGUCAUAUGAUUAGUGCAUCCACUGUCAAUAAUCCAUUCUGUAGCUUUUGGUGACAUGCCCUACAGUGCAGUUAGGAGGAUAGGCUUCACAAGGUAUGUUGUGAAGCAUAAGCAUUUUACACACACAUGGAUUAUCACAGUUCAGAUCAAGAUUAGCACACAGUAUGACAGACAAGAGAUUCAUAUGUGGAAUUCAUAGUAAGUCAUUUUAUCAUGCGUCCCUCUAUGUUUUAGGUCCCCAGCAAUUAUAUCGGACGCCAUUGAUUGUUGGCUGGAGACCACAUUCUGCAAAAGAGAGUUAGUUCUUCUUCACCACCCACAUUUUCAGGGGUGGCUUAGAAGCAAUGAGUCUAAGUGCAGCAUCUAAGAAUUUCGGCUUUGAAGCCCUAGCAAAUAGCCUUGCAGGAGAUGAAUGAUACUCAUGUGAAUAAGCAGAGAAGUUCUUAGUUCUAUGAACAUAUCGAUUUGAAGACACACACUCAUAUUCAUGAGUCUGAGUAUGAUUUCCCUGCAAAACAUUGGCGUUAGGGUGACUCAAGUGAGUCCUGUGUUCGCAAGUAGCCGUUGGACCAUAUGAUGCCUUUGGUCUGGGGUUUGUCUUCUUCACUGGUGGUGUCAUGAUGACAUUCACUGGAAGAUUCUCAAGACAACUUUUGGGUACCCAGAUCUUCUUCAUAGGAGGUCCAUUCCUGCAGUUAGUACCAAUAUACCUGGCAAACACUUCACCAUUCUGAUUUUUGAAUAGUUUAUAAUUUGCAUCAAAGGAUUGAUCAAUAAUAAUAGGAUUAACACAGGUAAAUCCAGAUAAAGUGGAUGGAUCCACUGAAGGUUCCUUUAUAGCAACCCAUGUGGUUUUGGGAUACUGCUCAGGCUUCCAGUAGGAACCAUCAGCAUUCAUUUUCCUCUCAAACCCAACACCCUCUUUCCUAGGGUUUCGGUUCAGAAUCUGCUUUUUGAGGACAUCGCAGAGAGUCUGAUGUCCCUUCAAACUUUUGUACAUCCUUGUUUCAAGCAAUGUCUUCAACCUAACAUUUUCAUCAGCAAUACUAGUGGUAUCCUCCGCAGAGGGGUUAGUAACCACAUCAAUAGUUGAAGACAAUGAAACAGCAGCAGCAGUGGAACAUUCAGCAACAGAUGUAGCGUUAUCACGCUCAAUGCAUUUUAAACAUGGUGGUUCGAAUUCAUCCUGAGUAACGCUGAUGUGUUGAGCAAGGAAUGAAUCUCGCUCCUUCUGAAGAUCUUCAUAAUCCACUCUUAUCUUUUCAAGGUCUAGCUUUCUUUGAAGACAUUCAGAAGAAAGCUUCUCAUGAUCAGACAAGAGAGCAUUAUGUUGAUCUUGAAGGGCGUCAAACUUAGCAUGAAGUCUCUGAAGACUAUCAGCCAAAGCUUUUGACUGAUCCAUUUCUUCACCCAACAUAUCAUCAGUCUUACAAAGCAUGUCUUGAACCUUUUCCAAGAUUCUUUGUUGUUUAGUGGCAAGGGAAGCAAGUUUGACAUAGCUGGGGCCAAACUCAUCACCUGAUUCAUCAUCACUAGUUUCAGAAAGAUAGCAUUCAGUUACCUUAGCACCCCCUGCCAUGAGGCAUGGUGAAGAUGAAGACGGUUCAGGUGGAAAGGUCAUCUCUUUAAGGGACUCCUUGUAGUCAUCAAGCCAAGGAUCAUGACGAUUAAGAUGACUAUCAUAGACAUCAGCAAGUCGGUCCCAGAUUAGCUUCGCGUGAUUGAGGUGCAUGACGUUCCUGAACUGAUUUCGGGACAGGCAGGAGCAGAUGACAUCCUUCGUAGUGAGGUUCAGUAGAGUGUACUUACGAAUGUCAUCAGCCUCCGCCAUCUUGCAUAGAUCGGUGAGACCAAUCUUGGUGACGGUCCACAGUUCGCUGCCCAUAGCCAUGAGUCGCUUCUUCAUCAUGGCUUUCCACCGGGGAUACUCAUGACCGUCAAAGGUGGGGCAAGAUACAUUCCUCAAUCCUGCAGUCGACAUAGCUAAACUCCAGGUGGUUAAACCGAAUCACACAGAACAAGGGAGUACCCUGCUCUGAUACCAAUUGAAAGUGCUAGUUAUCGACUAAAGGGGGGGUGAAUAGGCGAUUUUUAGGAAAGUCUUCAAAACAUGGAAGUUUCAAAGACAAACGAUAGAAAUAGCCUAAUUGAUAUGCAGCGGAAGAUAAACUACAACAAGUAAGCCAUAAUCAAGUAUGCAAUAGCAUUAACGUUUGAAGAUUAAUAGCAGCUAGGUAGUAGGAUCAGGAUGGAAGAUAGUAUGAAGCCAAUCAACAAUAGUAGUCAAGCAAUGAAGUCAAUCGGAUAAAACAAUAAGCAAUGACUUCACGAAGACAAACUCAAAGUAAAGGAGGGAAGAGAUAGAACCAGUUGCUUGUUGAGGACACAUGAUUUGUUGGACCAGUUCCAGUUGCUGUGACAACUGUACGUCUGGUUAGGGAGGCUGAGAUUUAACUCAGAAGACCGUGUCUUCACCUUAUUCCCCUUGAUCUAAGGUCACUUAGUCCUCGCCCAAUCACUCUGGUAAGUCUUCAAGGGAGACUUCCAAACCUUCACAGACUUCGUUCACUCGGCAAUCCACAAUGACUCUUGGAUGCUCAGAACGCGACGCCUAACCGGAUGGAGGAUACACAGUCCUCAAGUGUAAUAAGUCUUCAGGUCACACAGACAGAAAGACUUCAGUGAUGCCUAACACUCUUUGGCUCUGGGUGUUUGGGCUUUGUCCUCGCAAGGAUUUCUCUCUCUCAAAUGCUUCGAGGUGGGUUGCUCUCAAACGACAAAAGCCGUAUACAAACUCUGAGCAGCCACCAAUUUAUGGUGUAGGGGGUGGGCUAUUUAUAGCCACCAGGCAACCCGACCUGAUUUGUCCAAAAUGACCCUGGGUCACUAAGGAACUGACACGUGUUCCAACGGUCAGAUUUCAAACACACAUGGCAACUUUACUUGGGCUACAAGCAAAGCUGACUCAUCUAACUCUGGAUAAGAUUUGCUCUCAUUGUCUUCGCUCGAAGACAUAGGAUUUGGGUUGAGCAUCACUUCAGUCACUCUGACUUAGUUCACUUGGACCCCACUUAACAGUACGGUGGUUCCUAUGACUCAACAAAGAAGAAAGGAAACGACGAAACCACACAAUCUUCGCGCUCCAUUGUCUUCACGUAAUGUCUUCUCAUGUCAUAGUCUUUAAUAUGAAUAUCUUCUCAUACCACCAUUGUCUUCAAUGUCUUCAUACAUUUUUAGGGGUCAUCUCCGGUAGGUAAACCGAAUCAAUGAGGGACACUACCUGCGUUAUCCUGCAAUUCUCACAAACGCAUUAGUCCCUCAACCAACUUUGUCGUCAAUACUCCAAAACCAACUAGGGGUGGCACUAGAUGCACUUACAGUGCGGAGCGGUCAAUUCCACUCAUGUUGCAAAGAUCAAAGUGUUCUUUCAUCCGGAGCCAAUAAGCAUCUCUACUUUGAUCACCUCCAACGGAUGGAUCCCUCGACACGUCCAACCAAGUUUUGCAUAGCACAACGUCUUUGUCGUUGGUGUAGUUGCCUCCUCUUUCUUUCGGUGCGUCGACAAUGCCCUCACCAUCCUCGUCCACCUCGAACUCAUGGUCUUCAAAAAUGCAUGUCAUUGGUUUGAGACCAAUGCGAAUUGUUUGAGCCAACACCCACAGUUGACAUGUAUGCAUCAUCGUUCACACUACAAAGUAUAUAGAACAAUGCAAUAAGUUAUCUAUAUGUAUGCAUUCAAAAAAUAAAGAAGAAAAAAAGUUCGAGAUAUUUUUUACCUUUGGGGCAUAUCGUCGAACACAUGGUGCGCGUCGGCCGCCGGCGCUUCGCUAGCCGCCACGCUCUUGACACACCCUGCAAGCUUCUUCCUUGGCGCCUUCGAGGUGCCGGGGCCGUCCGCCGCCUUGUUCUUCUUCGCGGAUGUCUUGCCCUUCUUCGGUCGCGCCGCAUUUGGAAGCUUUGAGGGGGGUGCACGUGGCUUCAUCACGGCGGGCGUCGGCGCGACGCUGACCUCGGCGGCAUGAAGAGGCCGCGUGAGAGGCCGAUGCUCGAAGGAGCUCCGGCGGAGGCGUGGCCAACGCUCCCAGCGCUAGGGUUUGCGGCAGCGGCGGUGGAGAUUUUGCGACUGUAGGAUGGGGUGAGGCGGGUGCCGGCGCGUGCGUCCAUCGGGUCAGCUUGUCGACGCCGGCGCGUGCGGGGAGAAGGUGGCGCGGGGGAGAGAGUGCGGCGUGACCGCUCAUGUGUGCCGGGCGCGGAAGCGGGCGCCCCAAAUACGCAGCGCGAUAGCGAUUCGGACCGCGCGCCCAACUCUAUAUGCCGCGCGCGCGGUUAUUGCGUGCCUGCUGAAGACACACUACCGAUUGCGCGCGCCUAAAAUGGGUAAAUUUGCGGCGCGGCGCUUGUUUAGCGCGGCUAUUGGAGAUGCUCUUAGGGUUGCUGAAAUUCUUCACCUAUGCACGUCCAUGGCUAAUUUAUUGUAUAAGUACGUAAAAUCUGUCUAUACUAUAACCACGUCUUUGAAUCUUGGACAUAUGCCAGUAACUCUCAGUCAACAAAUUGAUUGUUGAUAAUAAGCGGAAUUGUUGGCAAUCAUUGACAAUGUCAAACAUCAAUGUGCUGGUCAAACAAGUCAAAUAUAAGGGAAACCCUUCCUAUCUAUAGUCUGAUAGAAAACGAGCGCCAGACGAGUCGACGGCCGCCGAUUCAAUUUAAAUCCGACGGUCACAACAAGCUCUUCAUAUCUCUUCCUAAUCUUUACCUCUUUAUCUUUACCUCUUUAUCUUUAUCUUUAUCUUUAUCUUUNNNNNNNNNNNNNNNNNNNNNNNNNNNNNNNNNNNNNNNNNNNNNNNNNNNNNNNNNNNNNNNNNNNNNNNNNNNNNNNNNNNNNNNNNNNNNNNNNNNNNNNNNNNNNNNNNNNNNNNNNNNNNNNNNNNNNNNNNNNNNNNNNNNNNNNNNNNNNNNNNNNNNNNNNNNNNNNNNNNNNNNNNNNNNNNNNNNNNNNNNNNNNNNNNNNNNNNNNNNNNNNNNNNNNNNNNNNNNNNNNNNNNNNNNNNNNNNNNNNNNNNNNNNNNNNNNNNNNNNNNNNNNNNNNNNNNNNNNNNNNNNNNNNNNNNNNNNNNNNNNNNNNNNNNNNNNNNNNNNNNNNNNNNNNNNNNNNNNNNNNNNNNNNNNNNNNNNNNNNNNNNNNNNNNNNNNNNNNNNNNNNNNNNNNNNNNNNNNNNNNNNNNNNNNNNNNNNNNNNNNNNNNNNNNNNNNNNNNNNNNNNNNNNNNNNNNNNNNNNNNNNNNNNNNNNNNNNNNNNNNNNNNNNNNNNNNNNNNNNNNNNNNNNNNNNNNNNNNNNNNNNNNNNNNNNNNNNNNNNNNNNNNNNNNNNNNNNNNNNNNNNNNNNNNNNNNNNNNNNNNNNNNNNNNGAUCGUUUCUGGUCGUCCGUCAUUAGCAUUUUUGCAUAAAACCCCUUAAAGUUUAUAUGAAUCAACCCGCAGUCCUAAUGAAGUCAACCCGAACAGUUAGACAGAGAAAAAUCCUCCAAGCGCAUCGCCACCCGCUGCCGCGAGCCGCCGCCCGCCGGCCCCAGCCCCGCCACAGGCUACAGCGCGCCGCCACCGCCUACCCCGCCGGCACUCCUACCCCUACCCCAAGUGCCUCCCACGCUCGCUACGUUCUACCGCCGGCGACACUCGACGCCGCGGCCGUUGCCGGCUCCCACACCCGCGGGCCUUUAUCUCCCCGGCGGCCGCCGCCGCCGCCCUGCUCGUCCAGCGGGCUGGCCCUGUCCAUGGGGCGUACGGGCUACCCGCGCCCUUCGACGCCCGCACGCGCCUCCUUCUGCCCUUCCGCCGCGGACGAUGCCGACUUCUCUGAGUCUAAUGCGAUCCUGGUGGUGGCCACGCCCUGCGAGAGUCUGUUGCUGCUCAGCCCAGCGUCUUGCCGUGGCGGGCGCCUGUCGUCGGAGCUCUGGUUGUCGGUUCCAGAGUCGGGUGGUUCCACACAGGGGCGCAUAUCCCGUUGUGCCACCAAUCACUUAAUUCGGCUCUCUUGAGCUGCCCGGCUUCGGCGGCGAAGAUGAUGGCGAUGCCUAGGACACAACGGCCACAUGGGAUGAAACUAGCAGAGAUGAAGAAGGCGGUGGUCGUUGGGAGGAGAAGAUUGCCCGGAAGCUGGAGGACGUGCACCAGCUGCGGUUGCUGGACAACCGCUACGUUUAGUGGCUGAGGGAAUUGUUGGGCUACGAGAAUCAGUCGCUGAUAAGAGGGCUGAGGCUGAGAAGAUCAAGAGGGAUCAGAGAUUGUGCUCAAUUGUUGGUGGUCAGGACGUCAGGUAACAAAUUUUCUGGCACAUUUUGCUUUCUGAAUAUUUGGAGGUUGUUUUAUAGGCCUUUAUAAGUGAUUCUUAGAUAAAUGUAUGACUAUUUAAGUUGAGCUAUCGAAAUGUUUCAAUUGGAUAUGUCACGUGAAUGAAUUUAUUUCCUCACUUGCAUGAGAUGGAGCCAUAAAAGGGAUAUGACUCAGCAUCACCACCUUCACUGUUUUGAUCUCAGUUUGUCCAACUAUGCGCCAACUGAAGUAUGACACUAAAUCGUCUGUUGUAUAUUAUCUACUCCCAGUGGAGUCCUGAAAUUUUAACAUACAACUACAUUCAAUAUGUGCCCAAUGGAUAUUUCGUGUGUGCACUAGCAUCAGCACAUUUAGGAUGAUUUAUGUGUAAGUGGUUCAAAUUAAAAAUAAUAAUCUGCAUACAUAGUUUACUCUGGUUUCCCUCUCUAUCUUGCUGGAACAACCCUGCUCGUGAUUGGUGUUCCGAUGGUGCGCGUUGUGUUGGUCGUAAUCGCUGGAAACCUCACUCGGCUUUGCCCAUCUAGCCUGAGUUGGUCUUUAAGGCAAUGCUUACUAAUUUUAUUUUGUGAAGUUUGCAGGAGUUAUCUGAAGAAAGGACUCACUAUCUGGUUAAAUGUUCCAUUGGAUGCCCUUGCAAGAAGGAUUGCUGCGGUGGUUCAGCGUCACUGCCCCUCCUGCAUCAACAAUCUGGUGAUCCAUAUGCAAAGGUAGGUAGCUACUGAGGCUCUUAUCUAUUUCUGCAAUUUCAGUGUGGCAUGCGAACAGAGCUAAUAAUGUGUUGUUUUCUUAUGCAACCCUAUGCAAAACUUACAUCAUUUUCUGAACAAAGAAUAGACUCAUAUGCCAAUGCUGAUGCCCGAGUUUCCCUUGAAAGUAGUUCAAUAACACCAAUAUACAUAAUUCUGGUUUUCAUUCCAGUGCUUGAUGCUACUACAAAGACGUACACAGUUCACCGAUAUGAUGCUUCUAGCUCCCUGUAAAUACAAUUAUCCAUAACGCAAACAUUGCAUUCAGAAAUUGGCAUAAUGACUUGGCCAAGAUGAUCUUUUAAACUAUGUUUGUCUAGGAUUUCUACCUUCCAUUCUUGAUAUAGAUGGAAGCUUUCUUUUUGAGAAGGCCGUGGUUAGAACCUCAUGGUAGAUUGUCGGCAAGAUCAAGGCCUACCAGCCCCUUUGCACCGUGCUAUAUUGUGAGUCCUGAAAAGCCGUUUAGAUAACAACAGCAGCAUUGUGAAUGAGGGAAAAGAGUUUUCCAGUCCUCUUAUUUGGAGGUUCACUUUGAAAGAGAACAGCUUUGGUGUGGCACAACUAUUCUGUACUAUAUCGCACAGCUAUUGGGGAUCGUUCUUUAGUAAAACAAAUCUGUACUAUAUCGCACUUCUAUUUGAUUGGCGUGGCACAAUUAUUCAUUUUAGGAGAGUUGAGACUUCUAUCUCAUAAGAUAUUCAAUGGAUAUUAUGUUAAACUAUUCUACCUCGGUGUUUGCCCAGAAGAAACAAACUCAUGUGAGUGAUAUUCAGUAGCCUUAUAGUAGCUAUUUGUGAGUGAGUUCGCCUGCAUCCUUAAUGUAUAUUGUGGCUUUCGCAGGUUCAGAAGAGCUAUUUUGUGUACAUGAGUUGCUACUGGCAGUGGACAGAUUGUCUAUGCAGAGUGCGUAGAGAAAAAAGUGAGUGGUUCAAUUUUAUGUGAUGGGAAUUUUCACAAGGCUCUUAAAUUUUGGAGAGAAAUAAGCCCAUAAAGAAUUCAGAACUGUGCUUUAACAUGAUGCACCAUUAACUUAUUUUUUUAGAUGCUCACAUACAAACACAAACGACAUCCAGUAGGCGCUUGGAACACCCGACAGAUUGAAAGCACAGAAGCAAAGAUUUCCAAUACGAGGCCACGAUGCCCGACAGAGAUGUAGCCAAUAUGUGCCCAAUCCUUAUUUCUUGAUGUUGGAACAACAAGUAAGAGCAUGUUCAUGUUUACUUAUUAUGUUUUUUGAGAAAUUUAUGGGAUUUACAAGCUGAAAUUAUUGACUGCUUCAAAAUAUGUUUUAACCAAAACUGUUUGCACGAUAUUUCCCUGGUUCUGCAUUCAUGGAAUUGCUAAAAAAAUGAACAAGUUCAGUGAUAGUUUUGUUCCUAUUAAUAUUUCGUCCAAGGUGCCAGUUUGUUUCUUAAGUUUUUCUUUUAACUUCAAAAUUCAGAGGAAGUCAAUGUUUGUUUUAUAGUUCAAACCAAUCACUGGUAAGAUCUAUUCCAAAACGAUAUUGUCUCUUGAUGCGAGGUUACCCAAAUAUAUUCUUCAUCAUGGCCAAAGAUAAAUUUAAUUCCGGGUUAAAAACUUUAGAAUAACUGUGUUUAUAGAUUUUCUAGCUAAGGGUUGCUUUUGUUUAGCUGGAACUCAAAUCAUGAUCAGAUGUACCUAAAAUGAUGAUUUCGGCUCCGUGCUAGCUAUUUCUGAUUUUGAAGCUAUCCUUGCACAUUACAUUAUACAAGUUGAAAACUGUGCGGAGUGGAAGUUGGUACUAAAGCGGACUGCUCUUUUUGAUCUGCACACAAAUUUCAGUUAUAAUAUGUGCCACUCAUUUUGUUACCAAGUUGGGAUGAUUUUUACCACUUUGUUUUAAUUCAGUAAUUCCCGCGCUCACCUAAUAUUCUUUUAGGAUGCUUCCCAUCUCGACAAAUUUAUCAUACCACAAUUUAUGCAUAAUGAUACUUCCUCUGUCCCAAAAUUCUUGUCUUGGAUUCGUCUAGAUAUGGAUGUAUCUAAUAUUAAAACAUGACUUGAUACAUCCGUAUUUAGACAAAUUUAAGACAAGAAUUUUGAGACGGUGGGAGUAAAAUACUCAUGGCAGUAUGCCAAACGCAUUGUAGUAUAUUCCCGUUGGUUAUGUAGUGAUUUUUAGCACAAAAAUGGGACCCACUGCCAUUAUAGGUAUGAGGAAUUACAACCCGGUGCUGGGAGGGGAUCGCAAAAGCUGUGUGCUAGAGUGUAAUGCACAAGCAAUCUGUAGAUUUUUUUUGGUGGAGGGGCUUAAUAAGUCUUUUGCCCCCUCAGAAAACUAUGUUCCGUGUUUGGUCCCUCCAGGCAUUCCUGUGAGACUCUGCCUCUGAUGUAAUGACCAAGCUCACCACCUUGGGGUUGAUCACAUUCGUUGUGAAUAGGUGGACGAUGUGACCAUUAUCGACAAUGUGGUGAGCAGGAGAAGUGGAAAUACAGACUAUGACGUACAAGGAUUUGUUUCUCUCAUUGCAACGCACGGGCCCUUUUCCUAGUCUCUCCCUAAUAAUAAAGCAUGGAUUGGGUCUUCGGGUUCACCGUCGCGGUGUUUUUUAGAAAAGUCACUCUCAUUUUAGGUAAUUGAACCCGCAAUCCUCGUGAUAAACACCCCGAACCGGUACGGGGGGAGUCACACCUGCACGACCCUUCCUGCAUCCUGCGGUCCUGCCACGCCCCACCUCACCGAGCGUCUCCGGCCACCCCCUGCCGCCGAGCGUCGCCCCCGCGCCUCUGCCUCACCUAGCGCCCGAUCCAGCCGUCGUUCAUCGCCAGCACACGUGGAUCCGGCCGCCCCUCGCCUUCCCCAUCGGCUGCACCUCCUAGCGCCACCGCCCCUGCCAUACUCCGCCGCUGGAGGAUCUCCGCCCUGCCUGGAUCCACAUCCCCGCGGCGACACCGGCAGUCGGCGACGAUGGACGACCACGGUGUAGUGCCCUUGGUCCUCGCCGUCCCCUUGCCUGUAUGUAUAUCUCUGUCAGAUCGAUCACUAUUUUGAUAGGAAUCCACUUCCCGGUGAUAGUUCGUUCCUUCCUGUACCUCAUUCAUGUGUGCAGAUAUGCAAGUAAAAGCGACCAUGGUUCAGGCAUCUGUUGGUUAUUGAAAAAUCUGACAACCGCAAGAGAAUAAGAGCUGCAGACUCAGAGUGUAUGUGAUAUCCCUGCCAGAUUGCUACAGCAUAUUCAUGCUGGUACCCUUCUUGCUGCCUUUUGCACAGUAGCAGGCAAUGCAAUCACAGGCUUGUAAUGCUCUGUUUCUACCGUGUCUUCACUUUCAUCUCAGUGGAGAUUGAAAAUCGAAACCAUGUUAUUCAUGUAGUUACUGAAGUUUCAAAUCCCUCCCUUAGUCAUUCAUGUCUGUUUGUAUCCACAAGGGAGCAUGCUCCCGCCAGAUGGUCUCCAUGGCACUGCAUAAAUUUUAUAUUGGAAUGAUGUGUUGGUCAAUUCAUAGAUGGUUUGUGAUAUAAUCAUAUAAAGAUUCUCGCGUUACUUUUCUAGCUCUAUGCUCUCUUAUGUACAGGGGGUCAAUGUUUCUCAGCCUAAUGUUAUUCUUAUCAUUAUGUAUGCUCUAUGAUACAGGUGUUGAGGCAGGGAAAAGGCAGCAGUAGAGGCAUGGGCACUUCAGAAAAGGGUGUUGACUGUUCUGAUUGAGGCCAGGCAUGAAAUCUCUUAUUUCAUUGUUUGUUCUUUGUUGAAGUUGUACUUAUUUUGCAUAGUAUUUCAGGCAAUGUUUAGACUUUAGAUAACACAUGUCCCUAGAUUACAUAGUAUGCAUGCCCUCUGUUACCUGCUGAAUGUCUCUGGGGUAACUAAAAAUGUUCAGAAUAAUCUAAAUUUCAGAAAUUCUUCGUGGAUUAUGAUUGGCAGUUAUAUGCCACCAAAUAGCAAGACUGCUACUUGAACAGUUUGUUAUCCAUGAAGCUUAGGCGUGUACACGGACUAAAUUUGCUAUCAUUUUUCACCAUUUUUUCCUAAGGCCAUCAGAGCCAUUGGCACAGUUUGGCUGCCCUAAGGGAGUACUUUUACCCUUUUUUAGUCAAUCAUACACCAGUCACCACAAGUGCAAAUAAUAAUAAAGCACGGAUUGACUCCGUGGGUUCACCGUCACAAUACGCUUCUUCUCGUGAAUUUACGCUUUUAGUUUUUUUUAUAAGAUAAUAAAAAGGUUCUCACUUCUAACUAAACAUUUUGUUAAUUUCCAGUUGAAGGCUUCCACGUGCCACCUCCUUCGCCUCCUACGCCGCGUCGAGAAAGGCGGACACGUGCGGUAGGAGCCAAGGGGGAACAGGGAAAGGCGGACACGAGAUUCGUGAACCCAGAGAAGAGAAUGUAUGCGAGCUUGUCCACCUCGGCGGUGUCAGCCGCCAGUGCCACCGUGUCCCGCCUCCGCCUGGCCUGGUCGCAACAAAAGUAUGACUGCAGGUGUGGUUCAUUCAGUUUUGAAGUUUGAUUUACUUGCUUGUGCAUGUGUGUGUGUAUUCUAAGAGAGAGGGAGAGAUUAUUCUGUUCUAGCCAGUCGUAUUUCUGGACAAAUCUGCUCCCCUCCACUCCUUUUUUAUUUGCCUUAAAUCUGAACAUGAAAAGCAGUUACAAAUUGAGAGCAACAGAGUAAACGUUCAAAAGUUCAGAGCGGGUGCAUGCUUUUGAGAUUCAAAGGAUGUGUAAGCUGGAAGAUGGGUUGCCAUGCUUUGUAAGUACGAUUAGUUGGAGUACUAUUCCAUCCAAUGGCAGUGCAAAGUCGAAGUAGGCGCUGACGAAGGACGUUAGGGUCUGUUCUUCACAUCAACACUUCAUUGUCCAAACAACGGCAAUUGCUUUCCCGUACGGGAAAAGAAAGUUACAUUCAAAUCUCUGGGGGAGCCAAGCUCUUGUUCCUCCUGCAUCCCUCUGAGCCUCUGCCUUGACGGAUCGAACUUUUUUUCAACCCAGGGACUUGUGGAAGCAGCGGCCGAGAAGAUGUUGUUGUAGACCAGGAGUGUGGUCGGUUGCAAUUUGUGAAGCAAAUCGCUUGCUCGGAGAAGAAAAUGUGAGAAGGGCAUGUAGAAACUGAAAGACCACGAAAAUCGAUCGAAUCCGAACAAAUGUAGCCCCCUUCUCCAAUGACCAGGCUAGGUUGGGCCGCCACUGAAGGUAGCCACAUGCUGAGGCUAAGACGCCAGCCCAGACCACCCACGACCCACCAACGCACGCGCAGCAGCCGGCCCUCCUACCAGGGCACAACAUCUCCGAAGGACCUCCUCGUCGCCUUCACCAGGGCACAACAUCUCCGAAGGACCUCCUCAUCGCCGACGGCACUGUGCAGGCUUUGCCCGGCGGUGUACCAUGGCGGCGUGGAGAGGAGAAGAGGUGAUCUAGGUUUUCUUAUGGAGGCGGGUGAAGAGCAGAAUCAUACCUCAACCUAAAGCAUAGCUUAGCGACAAUUCAACCGCGGCAACACAAAGGCACAUUCACCUUAUAGCGAAUGAAGGUAACCUUAUUUUUGACAUUUGUUUGGGAUAUAAGAAGUGGAGUGUAGUGGAACUUGGAGCAGGAGCAGGGUUUACAAAAAAGAUCUCCCGGUACAAACGCACAGGCAUUUGUACUAUCUCUCCCUAAUAAUAAAGCACGGAUUGGGUCUCCGGGUUCACCGUCACUUGUUCACCGUAUAAUGUAUAGUAUUAUUUCGUUAUCCAAGGUGGUACUAAAACUAUACAUGAAACGUUCGGCUCAAAAAACGCUUCUAAACUCCCGCUUGGGCCACGUUCGUAGCGCCCUUCCUCCCCGGUGCGCCCACAACUGGCUGGGCCUCGGCCUCUCAAAAAGGACUCGAACCUAGGAACUACAGGCUUAUUGCUCAAAAAAAAAGGAACUACAGGCUUGGAUCUAGCCUUGGUACGAUUGAAAGACGAAGCAAGUUAUCAAUCCGAGAUAGUUCCCUUAUUCCUCUUCCCAUUGAUCCCCGUACGCACGUCUUCCCUCAAGACGCGGACUCUGUGUCCAACUCUGUAUCGCUGCCUCCUCUAAUUCCUCCCAUAAAUAUGGAUUGAUUCCCGUGGAGGUAGAAGAGCUGCGCUAGGGUUUCAGGGAUCGGAAGUGAUUUUGAUGGCAGGCCCAUGGCAUCGAGCGCGACGGCGAGGGGAUGUGGAGGCUGUGGCCCUCUGACAGAGGAGGCAACGAAAGUCGGCUUGGCUGACUUAGAGUGCGGCCUCGCGUCCCGCUCCGAACACAUCAACGCAAGCGCCGUGCUCCGCCGCCGCGAUCUCUGUGUAUCGCGAUCACGAGCAGUCUGACUCCCUUGCUGCUGCAGGCUCUAGGAAGGGUCUAGGACGCCGUGGGCAUCAAUGAGAGCCUGAGGGCGCUCUGUGCCAGGAUGGACUCCACGGCGUUCUUCUGGUUCGUUGCAGCGCGACACAAGAGAUCGAUGCAGCCUGCGCUCAGGUGUUGCUUGGAUCCGGGCAAGUCCGUCAUGAACACGAUCACCGACGUGUUCCCGAUGGACCGACUGGAGUUGAAAAACCUGCAACCCUUGCCUGGGGCCUGGGCAUGCAUGCUCAUCCAGGAGGAAACCGUGCAGACGCUGCCCAGCCCGCCCAUACCCGGAGAUCAUGCUGGCACGACCCUUGCGGCGGGCUACGCAAACCAUGCGCAAGGACCUAGGCCGUCUCCCUCGCGUGACCCACUCGCCAAACUCGACGGCUCCCGCUCCGGCUCGCAAAGGUCGCUGCUCCUGCUGGCCGGCAACUGUCCGCUCGCCAACCUCGCAAUCAAGGCCGCAGCUUCCCGAAACAAAGGUCCCCACUCACGUCUCCUUUGUGCUGCAGACAGGACUGGAUAACCCUGCUGCCAUAGAUGUGAUCUAUAUUCCGAAUGUGGCAGUGGCACAAGUAAUGCAAAGCAACGUCCAAUCUCUGUAGUUUUUCAUCCAGUGACCAGUAAGUUAGCACGGCAACAGGUAAUGACGGAUGUCAGUUGAACUUCCAAAUUCUCCGGCUUCUAAUCCUACGUGAAUGAUUAUGCUGAAAUAACAACACAAAGCAUUGUUGAAUUUUAAGAGAAUUCAUAUAUAGUAAAAACCAAAAAUCCCACAGAUAUGAGAAGUUGUCUAUAGAAUUUUAUGCUGAACAUGUUAGUUUGAUCUCCUCCGACUAUCAGUUAUAUGAAUGUUCCAUGAUUUAAUCAUCGACGGACAAUAUUGAGCAUUUAACAUUUUAAUUAUCAUUUAUACACCUCCGGAAGUGCGUUCAAGCAAAGAAGAAACUUAAUUAUGCUAAUAGUUUUUGUAAAUUAAUUACAUUGUGUCAGAACUUUUUAUUAAAUGUUUUUCCCAGGCGUAACACCAAAAUAUGGAGUCACAAUAAGCCCUUAUUUUAGUUUUGAAGAUACACUAAGUGACACAGAAAAAAUACGAACAUAUGACAUGUCUGCAUGUAUUUCUGGCUUUUCAUUGCCACGGUUAGAUUAAAACUGUUGAAUGAGAGGCUUUUAAUUUUCAGUUAUCAAAUUCUAAAGCUGGAUCCCUUCAUCAGUUGGUGAUUUUGUAUAUGUUGUGCCACAUAUCUCAUUCACGAUUUAGUGUCUUCGGUUCAGUAAAUCAGUUUUUCUUCUCUCACACAGAUGCUCCAUGUCAUAAAUAGUUUACGGAUCAUUUUGGUAUUCCUACAUAUUUAUGCAAUAAUGUUGCUUCGAACAUAUACUAAUCUGGAGCUCUCAAGUUAUAAACUUGAGUUAAUCAUCGACGGACAAUAUUGAUCAUUUAACAUUUUAAUUAUCAUUUCUUUACCUAAUAAUGAAGUAAAUUGGAUUUCUUUCGUCCGUCAUGGCAUUUUUUAGAAAAGUCUCUCUAUUUCAAAAAAUUCAAGCCACAGUCCUAUUUUAAGUUAAAACGAAUCUUUUUUUCACAUUUUACACAAAAGUCUCUGUGUUUUGUUGGAAUCAACCCGUAGUCCGGAUUUAAGUCACACCCGAACUGUUAUUUUACAUUUUUCGAAACCCCACCUGCUGUUUUAGGUAAUUCAUCCGCGGAUCAUAUUUAUGUCAAACAAUGUUUUUUUAAAUCAUCCAUAUCUUUUAAACCAUAACUCCGAUUUGAACAUGUUAUAUAUGAAAUUUGAUUAGAAAAAUAUAUAGAAUAUGAAUAUGAGAUCAUUUUCACCUGUUAAGUAUUUUCAAAUAUUAUUUUUGAAUAUAUUUAAGUCAAACCAAUGAUUUUCUAAAUUAUCCGUAUCUUUUAAAUUGUAACUUCGAUUUUAACAUAUUAUAUAUGAAUUUUAUUCAAAAAAUAUGUGGAAUCUAAAUAUGAUGUUAAUUUUACCUGUUAAAUAUUUUUAAAAUAUCAUUUUGGGAGCAAAAUUAUAAUUUAUAGCGUAAUAUAUGUUUUCCUUUCGUACCGGCGGUGACCCGGAUUGCAAAUAAACACCCCACUAUAACAAUAUAAGGAAGAGAAAACAUCGAUAACUACACAUGCAUACCUUUAAUAAAUCUCGCAGGGGAAAACAACAGAUUUCUCAUUGAGAGAGAGAGAGAGAGAGAGAGAGAGAGAGAGAGAGAGAGAGAGAGAGAGAGAGAGAGAGAGAGGAGAUAAGCGGCAACAAAAAUACACGUUUUUGUUUUGUUUUCUGUGAACACCGAGGCCAUCGCCGGCCGGCGAGGGUGAGAAGGAGGAUAAGCGGCAACACAAAUAUGAUGCCUCGCAAAAAUAAAGGAGAUGGACCUAUUGUGGUCUUGAGUGAUGGUUGUUGGGUUAAGAAUGUAUGUUAUGUUUUCUCUCCCGUUGCAACGCACGGGUCUUUUUGCUAGUAAUAAUAAAGCACAGAUUGACUUUGUCGGGUUCACCGUCAUAAUACGCUUUUUUCUCAUGUCAUAAUAUGCUUUUACAAUUCGUGUAGACAAAAUCAAAAUCCAAGAUGGUACUACUCCCGAGAGCUCUAACAGUCGAGCUUUGCCUGAAACCUAAUCAGGCCGGCCCGGUCGAGCUUUGGCUGAAACCUCAGAUACGUAAUCGGGCCGGCCCAGUCGAGCUUCGGCUGAAUCCUCACGUAAGUAACCGGGCCGGCCCAUAACCAGGAAACGAGAACAUGAAAAUAGCACGAAAAACAAAACCACACUUGAUGGGUUCGAUCUCGCGACCUCACGCUAGGUAGCAGGGACACCAACCACAUGAGCUAGCUGUUGAUAAUGCUCAAAUUGCAGCGCCCAAGUUAAAGUAGUUUAGCGACAGGUCUAUUUAUUUUUCUUAAAUAUUUUCAACAAUUCUUGGAAACAAGUGUGGACAAUUUUCCUUAAAAUAUUUGAAUAUGAAUACGUUUUUAAAAUCGUGGAUAAAUAUCGAAAAUUCGAACAAAAUUUUUAAACCUGAACAAAUUUUGCAAUUCCAAACGUUUAUUUAUUUUUGAUAUACGUUGUAUUUUUAGAAGAAUAUACAUUGAACAUUUCUUUACAUAAAUUUUACAAUUUUACAUACAAAUUGAACAUUUUUCUCCCGUUGCAACGCACGGGUCUUUUUGCUAGUAUGUUCAAAAAGGAGAAAAAAAUCCCAACAUCCGGGCAUUAACUUCCCGCAACUCCCGCAUCUAACCUGUUCCUAAUUUCUCGCCCCACAUGCCUCCCGAUUCCAUUCGCCGCCAACAGCACGCACAGGCCCAAGCUCGCCUCGCCCAGAUCCCUUCCACCACCCCCGCCUCCAUCGCCCAUCGUCGUUGUGUAUCGUGGACACCUCAUCGGUCAGUCCUCUUCCUCUACUCCUCCCCACCACAUCGUCUGUUCAUUGAUCUACCGAGCUGCUAAUUCUGCAUGACAAUCAUGGCCGUGAUCUGCCGAGGUGCUAAUUCUCCACGACACCACGACCAUGAUCCGCCAAGGCCGAUGUGAGCGGGCACCAACAAUCGUGAGCAAGAAGUUUGAUGGCCGUUCCUUUUGGCAUGGUGAGCGUCACAAAGAGUUGAUUCCAAUGUGUGUUCCUCACUGAUUUUGCUGGUUGCGUCGCAAUGAUUUAAUUCUCCUAUGCUUGAUUCAUAUGUGCUUGAUUAGUAGGUGGCCGUGAUGCCCAUCCCAGCAGGGAGGAUGGAUAGGCAUCGGGCAAUCACCAAGUGACAGGAUAAUGCUCCCUUCUCCUGGAGUGCCAUCCCUUCUCGACAGCGACCAGAGCACGCCCGGCCGGUUGCACAUCGGCUUCACGUCCUCGGUUGACCUCAUUUUAAUUUGAUAUUCAGCUAUCCUACUUUGCAGUAAAGGAGGUCUCGGCUAAUGGUUCAUCGUUGUUGCAGCGCCGCUCCAUGCAUGCCAAUCCUUCUUAGUGCCGCUAACCAUGGCGAUAAAGGAAGCAUGCCUACCAUGCACUUCCAGCAUUGGCAGGACGCACGUCCGACAUCAAAUAGAAGCACGAUUACAAUCGCAACGAAGCACGACCAACUUCUCCAUACCAAGUUCCCUAAUGUUGAGUUCCCUUAUUUUUCAUGCAUAUAAUUAUAUGGUGAUGAAUUUUUGCCUUAACCGAGUUCCCAUAACAUGUUUUUACUCUAGUGUGUCUUUUAUGUAUGUUGUGAGAAAAUGAAGAUAUUACAUCCUAGCAACCAUGCUUCAUAGAUUAUUGCAUAUGAUUCUAUGGUGAUGAAUUUUUGCUUCCACCAUUGUAAGUGUGUGCUACUCUGACUGUACAUUUUUUUUGCUUCAACCAUUAUCCGAUACUAGUGUCUCUUCAACCACUACUACUCUCUGCUUCAACCAUUUGCUUUUGUUCAUGAAUUUCAUUAUACAACCAUAUUGCUUUAUUUAGUGGAUUUUUGUACAAGCUACUAAAUUUUGUGCUUCCUUCUUUCUCACUGAAUGCUUCAGUUGUACAGAUUCCCAAUAAUGAUGCAAUGUGUGUUGAUUACUAGACCAACCGGGCUCUAAGUUGUCGGUUCUACGACGAGCGAUGCAGAGCUCAUGGCAAACACAGACAUUGUCAUGAUCGGAUUGCCGCCCUCCGCUAUGACGACUACAACAAAAUGAAAUUAUUGUUGUAAUAGUAUUUUACUAUUGUUGUAAAUGAAUUUGUAAAUUUGUGUUCACAAAGUAUUAGUCUGUUUCAAUGUAUCAUCAUACAUGUCCUGCUGCCACAUGGUUUGCGAAGCAGAAAAAAUCUGUAUACGAAAAGAUCGUUUCGUUUGCAAUUUUAUUACUACUUUGGUUGGAAGCAAUUUUAUAGUUGAUGGAAACAAGAGAUUGAUGCUUUUGAAACAGGUCUAAAUAAUUUUUCUUUUUGAUGGAAGCAAAUCACUGUUUGGUUGAUGAAAUCUCUAGUCCAUGGAACAAUGCUUCCGACAGAAAAUAUGUGAUACUAUGAGAUAGUUUUAUAUGGAAGCAAAUAUUACAAACGAAGAUGGAAGCAAAUAUUGGUGUGUGGAAGAUGCUCAAUGUCAUACAUUAUGCUUCCUUGAUCGACGAAACUCUGUUAUGCACAAGCAGCAAAAUUUCCAGUAUCUAGAAAAAACAAAGUUGAAUAUAAGCAAGUGCACGAAGCAUAUAAAAUUGUGUAUGAAGCAACUAAAAUUAUAGUAAACCAAAUAAAAUGUGCCCACAAAACAUAGUUUUGCAAAGCAAGCAAAUUAAUCUAUCUAUGGAAGCAUAGUUUUUUUUUCCAGGGAUGCACGGGAACAUACAGUGUUGUGCUGGAAGCAAAAUAACGAAGUAGGAAACAUGGGCAUGGAUAGAGGACGGAGAAUACGGUAGAUCACACGUGAUUGACGGAAGCCGAGAUCCAUGCAUCAUGCAUGUAAGCUAGCUACCGGCCUACGUUACCUCAAGCCCACGUAUUACUCGCGCAAAAGCUGUAAGUGUGAUGGAUGCGGGGACAGUUAUGACGAAGCACUCAAUUAACGAAACAAAUUAGCUAAACUCACGGCCUGACUAGUAGUACUACUUACAUCGGACGUCUACCGUGCAUUGGAUCGAACGGACAAGGACUGGUCUGACAGGCAAACAUCAGUAGUCUGAUGCCUAGCGGUGCCCAUAUAAACAGAGUUGGAAACUAUGCAUGCUUGUAUGCUGGAUAUUUCUUUGGCUUUGGCUUUAUGCCCUCAGACUGGUGUAAACGUACUUCAAUUAGCCGGAAAGGCUCCACUCGUUGGGAAGAAACUGCAUGGACAUGUCGAAUGGCUUUCGUUACAGAGACGUGUCUAAAGCAAACAAUGAACAACCUGUAUGUGCCUGAAAGAGGCUAAGCAUGUAGGGACCAAAGACCACAGGAAUUUUCCACGAUAUUACUCGGUAACUACUAAAAAGGCCAAACAACAUGCAUUUUCUCCUCCAAAAGGACUGCUAUGGUGCCACCAAAGUUCUUCAACAAAUGUCUUUUUCUCCCCGGGAAAAAAAAGAAAUGUAUAGCCUGUUUUCGACAGACUGGACCAGAAACAAGGAUCUGCGGUGUAUGUAUGCAUCUGACUGGACCAGAAACAAGGAUCUGCGAUGUGACCGACGACUUGACCACUCAAAAAGAUCUGGUCGACAUUCCGACGCGAAAACGAUCCCAACGGCGCAAAAUUCUUUGUGACGGUGUGCACGGCUGCACGCGGAUGACCGACGAGAACACUGACCGGGAAUUCCCCUGUUUCCUUUCGCUUUCGCUCCUGCCUCGUGGUGAGACUGUCGGAGUCCAAGGCUAAACAGACUGAACGAACGACCACGGCCGGAGAGGACGCCCAUCAGUUUUCGACCUGGACCUGAUCGAGUAAUCCAAAAAUUCCGAGGCAGCCUACAUGACUGAAUUUGAACGGGAGACAUGCUUAGGGCUCACCUGCAGUCACAGUCCAGAGAGAGUCUUCAGUGCAGUGCGGUCACAGCACCACUGAAAUUCUUUGCACUUACCCAUACACAUCACCCCAAUUUCCAACUUUGAAAAUGAGAAGAGAACGUUACCCCAAUUUCCAGCGUACAGCGUUCUAGGAAAUCAUGCCAGAAUUUCCACUGAGCUCACCCAAUUUCUUUAGAUCAGUUGUGCUUGCUAAAGGAAGAAAACACAUGUGAUUUUGAUCACCGCCCAGCUUGUGCCGCGAGACUCUUGACCGACGGACCGCCUGGCGGGACUGACCGGUGGCCUGUCUCAUUUUAAACACAACUGUUCUUCCCAACAAAUUAAUUUCAUAAUGUUCUGAAGACAGCAUGAAAGCGUCAAAUUGCAUUAGGAAAUACUGAAGGUCACGAGUUUAAUCAAAACCACAUGACCAUGUGCGGCCCUGAAUUUUAAUAGGAUAUGUGGGGUUGGUCGCACCCCGAAGAAAAUACUAGUGAGAGGCCUAUGGAUCAAUGGCAGACUCCCAGUGGAUAGCAGAACCCCACAUACAUUUUUUGGAGUUGUCAAAGCAAGGACCGUUAACGGUUUUCUAAGAUUUCUUCUCUUGUACUCCCUCCGUCCGAAAAAUCUUGUCCCAUGUUUGUCAUUCAAAUGGAUGUAUCUAGCACAACACAAGUUUUUCGGACGGAGAAAGUAGUAGAUGAUAUGCAGACGCCCCUCUUGUUUUAAAUGUUCCAAUGUCGACAAAAGGAUAUGCUUACAUUGGUACAAGUUGCACGUUCAUAUCUCGAAGUAACUUGUGUUCUGGCGCCAAUUAUGUAAAGCAACCUUCAGCAACAGGCUGUAGAAUGCAGCAGACAGACGCCACUCCAGUGCACCAAUAGAAGAACACUACUCGCUUUGCCUCUCUUCUUCUUCUAAUGUCUUCGUGUUUUUUCUUCUCUUCUUUUAGUUUUUUAUUUUAAUAUUCUAUAUAUUUUCAUCAAAUUUCCAUGAGUCGUGUUAUUUAACUGAAGUUAGAGAUCACAUAAUAUUAUGUCUAUACUACUUUACUAAAACAGAAAGAUCAAAAUUAUCUGAUGUUAUAGCUUAGAAACCACAAUCGGCAGAAAAAAAGAGCUUAGAACCCACUAAAAAAAUUCAAAUUUCAUUAGUAAUAACGGGAAGACAAAAAUGCAUCUUUGAAAAAAUGGAGAUAGGAGGAGAAGACGGAAGCGCUGACGUUAGCAAAUCCUACGGCCACCAUUAGUUGCAGCCCAAGGCCGAGUAGCUUGCAUGGUUUGCCACUGUAUCAGUUGAAUUAGUCGGGUCAUCUUUCUUCACGUGUUGCACUCUCACCAACCCAUCGAGGGAAUGCAUGUCUAGGGUUGCACUCCUAGCUGUGUUGAAGCUUAGGAUUGGUGAAAUUCUUCACCGUGUGCACGUCCAUGGCUAAUUAUUGUAUAAUUACGUAAAAUCUGUCUAUACUAUAACCAUGCUUGGGGUUGGUAAUUCUCAGUCAACAAACUGAUUGUUGUUAAUAAGCAGAGUUGUUGGCAAUCAUUGACAAUGUCAAACAUCAACGCGCUGGUCAAACAAGUCAAAUAUAAACAGAGUUGGGAACCAUGCAUGCUCGUAUGCUGCAUAGUUCUUGAGUUGGCUUUGGCUUUAUGCCCUCAGACUGGUGUAAACUUACCUCAAUUAGCCGGAAAGGUUCCACUCGCUGGGAAGAAACUUCAUAGACAUGUUGAAUGGCUUUCGUUACAGAGACGUGUCUAAAGCCAACAAUGAACAACCUGUAUGUGCGUGAAAAAGGCUAAGCAUGUAGAGACCAAAGACCACAAGAAUUUUUCACGAUAUCUGUCGGGGGUUGGGUGCGUCAUAUGCCAAAGGAUGGCUUAUCAUGGCGGGAGUGAGUAGAACGUCGCCGGUGCCUGGAAGCGGGAUAAGGCAUAGACAUGCACGCCGGCGCACUUUACCCAGGUUCGGGGCUCUCCUAGGAGAUAACACCCCUAGUCCUGCUCUGCGGGGUCUCUGCAUGAUCACUAAGGCACAAGUGAUACAAUGGUGCUCCUUGAGCUGUGUGCUAGAGGCAGAAGGAGGCAAGGCUAGCUCUUUUCCUGCUCUAGGGGGAGUGGCUAGUUCUAAUGGAGUGGGAACCCUUUGCAUGGGUGCCCUGGGGGGGGGGGGUUAUAUAGGCCUACCCCCCUGGGGUACAACGAUAAUCUGGUCGGGUGCUGGACCCGGCUGUCAGUGUCUCUGGUCUCCGGCUUCUCCACUGACUACUGGGGCCCGCCGCCUAGUGGGCCCCGCCGACUGGUCCAGUACGGAGCCGACAGGCCGCUAGCGGGUCUGGUUGGUGGUUGCUUACUGUAGCCGUGCUGCUAAUGAUGCGGGCUUGGUCAGCUGAGUGUGGCUACAGUCCCGCCGCCUGGCGGGAGAUCAGUGUACGUAGCCACACCUUGUCUCAUUAGGUUAAUGGCGUGCUGACUUCGAGGGAGGGAACGGCCGCCUGCUGCAGGCCGGCCUCCCCCAAGUUCGACUGGUCCAGCAUCCGCCGUCUUCCGGGCUGUCACUGUCUGAUAGGGCCCGCAGCCCAUACCGAUAGGUCAUCGUGGGGAACAGGGCUCCGCUCGUCUGGAGUGACGUCAAGGGGGGAGUGGCAACAGUGCCGCGUUGUGCGGAGAUCUCCGCCUGUACGGGGCACUGUGGCCACGCCAAGCCCAAGAUUCGGGGGUGAGGGACUUCACUGUAGCAACGCCCUGUCUUGUCCUCUUGAUGGGGGUGCAGACUCUGAGGGCGCCAGGUGGCCGCCUGCACGACGCCGUCCUCUCUAGAGGUCGGUUGACUGGAGCCGGCCACUCUUGGUGCCGUCUGCUGGUGGUUGGCCGUCCUCCGGUGGCCGCCCGUUGAGCCAGCCGGCCUCCGGAAGGCGGAGCUUUAGUUUGGGGUAUUGCGGGGCGAAGUCGGCCUUCAGGGACUCGGGUGAGGCUACCCGUGGCACAUUACUCCGACAGUAGUCCCCGAAGCCGAUGAGGCAUUGCGGUCGAGGGGUCGCGAAGUCUCAACGGCUUCCCCCCUCACCGAGCUCUAGGAGAAUGUUUGAUCCGCCUUGCGGUGCGCCGAUUGCUGGAGUUGGCUUUGACAAGGCGGGAUCGUCAGCCAAUUUUGAACACCAAGGCGGGAAAAAAGGUGGCGUGCCUGCUAAGCUUCCCAGGCCCGCCGCCCGCCACAAGCACGCCACGCGGCGCACGUCAGCCCGGCCAGCCUACCAUCUCACGCUCCUGAUGGGACGUGACAGUGGGCCGGGCCCGCCACUUCCGAGCCUCAGCACGCAGGCGGAUCCGCUGCGGCCGAAGCGGGCGGUUGCGAUUCCUGUGAGCGUUUAAGGCGCAGUAACUUCACGCAGUAAUAGGGGGGUCGUGGGGUCGUGGGCGCAGUUAAUCCCACGAUCCCCCGCCCCGCCCCCUCGGCUUCGCAGCCCGAGGGCUUAUAAGUAGGGGAAGGAAGGGGAGCGACGGAGCACGCGCGCCCUCCUCCCCAUACUCUCUUCCUCCUCUUUCUCUCUCCGCCACUGCUGCUGCCGCUGCUUAGAGCUCGCCAUAGUGCUGCCACCGCUCGCCGCCGUCGUGCUCCUCCUCCCUUCGCAGCUCCACUCGAGGCCAUGGCGCGUGAGAAGGGCGGCGACUGGGACGGCUCAACGGUAAUCGAAGACCACCUUACCUUCCUCCGGAACACGCGCCGGAUGCCCAACACGGCAUUCAUCAAGGCGCGGGUGCUGCCGGCGGAGGAGAUUUCGCCGGCGCCGAAGGGGAACGAGCGGGUCGUCUUCCGCUCGCACUUCCUUCGCGGCUUCGGCCUCCCGGCGAGCGGCUUCCUCCGCUCGUUCAUGGACUUCAACCACCUCCAGCCGCAUCAUCUGACGCCCAACACCGUGACGCUGCUCCUCGCCUUCGUCAUGGCGUGCGAGGGCUACCUCGGCAUCCUCCCCACACUCGAGCUGUGGGGAGCAUUCUUCUACCGCAAGUUGGGCACCUUCGCCAAGGAGACGGAGGCCGAGUGCGGCGGAUUCGUCGCCGCACGCCGGCCAGCGAAAAGGAAUGCCUUCCGAGUCAUCAAGCUAUCACAGUCGGUGAAACUGUGGCAACAGUCUUAUUUCUAUGUUGAGAACGUCGACCCGGCUGUCGACUUCAUCAACCUGCCGGCCUACAAGGCCGGCCCCCUGUCGGGCUUCAGCCCAACUGGGGCUACAAGCCGAAGCCGGUGUCGGCGGACGCGGCAGCCGCCAUCGGCCGACUCUGGGUGCUUCAGGAGUCGGAGGGCCUCGUGGCCUUCGACCUCCUCAUCGCCUUCAUCGAGCGCCGGGUCCUCCCGCUUCAGGGCCACCCUCAUCUAAUGUGUCGGAUGAGCGGACACCGCGACCCGAGCAGGUUGUGCACGAGGAAGAUGCCGACUGCCAAGGUUGCGAGGAUGGUGAACGAGAUCUCCGACCUCAAGGUGUCGGAGGGAGCCUGGCGGUUCGGGAAGCGGCCGUAUUCCCGCGACAACCCGCCGCCUGCCGUAAGUCCCUCGAUUUCUUCUUUUAGUUCUGAUUUUUAGUCUUGUUCCUGGUGUGACGCAACUCCUUUUUUGGAGCGCAGAUUUAUAUGUCCGCGGCGACGGCCGCCAUAGUAGGCCCGGGUGAUGACUACCUGCUGGACCGGGCAGUGAGCGAUGUGAACGACCCCGACUUCGGGGCAGCCGCCUUGGAGGACGACACAGCAGGCGGCGGCGAGGGAGCAGGCGGCUCCGAGGAGGGCGGCGACGUGGAAACCUGGCCCGAUGACGACGACGACUAAGACCCGCGCCCCUCCCGGAGCACUGCCAACACCGGUGCAGGCCCCUCUACCGGGCCGCCCGUCCGAGGCGGCAAGUGCAAACAGAAGCAAGGCGCCGCCUUGUUCGGCAGCAUGCCGAAGAAGCCCAAGAACCCGGCCGUGGCGACCAGGCGGAAAGAAGCCUCAGCCAAGGUGACGAAGUUCCAGAGGCAGCCGAAGGUUCCGCUCAUGGUGUCAGCGUAAGUGCUCAUCUUAUGCUUCUUCAUUUUUGCCGAUCUGGCCUAGGAAACUUCUUUAUCCUGCCUUAUCUCAAGGCCCCGCUCACCCUCGAAAAGUCGACCGCCGCCUCGGUCAUCAGGUCGGCGGAGACCUCCACCACCAUCCGGCGAAUCGACCCGACCGCCGACCUCCUGGAGGCACAGGAGCGGAACGCGUGGGAGGUGCGCGAGGAGCAGGAAGCCGAUCGCCUGGCGAAGGCGGAUGCGGACAAGGCCGCAGCAUCUGCGGCGAGGAAGCUAGCACAGGUGGAGGCUGACGCCGCGGAGAAAGAGCGGCUUGCAGAGGCCGCACGUCGCCAGGAGCCACUGCUCGUGACUCCUUUGAACACCGCGCCACCUCCGCCGGAGUUUGUGGCGACGCCUGGGGGAGCCAGCGGGGAGAAGCCGGUCAUGAAGAGGGAGGGCGGCGACGUGGCCAUGCUGGACGUCAUCGUGCCGCCGCCACCGCCAACCGGCGGAACACAGGACGAGCAACCGGCUGCGCGGCCGGUGCCACCAGCCAGGAACGAGGUGGUGACGGACCUAACUCCUGAGGUCCGCAUGCCUGCGCGCCGCCGUCUCGUGAAGGCGUCCUCGGCAUCGUGGACCAGCACCGCGCCCGCUAGCUGGGUACGCGGAGGCAGGACGGGUGCCUGAUACGUCCAUUUUGCAUCAUGCUUUUAUGUCGAUAUUUAUUGCAUUAUGGGCUGUUAUUUCACGUUAUGUCACAAUACUUAUGGCUAUUCUCUCUUAUUUUACAAGGUUUACAUGAAGAGGGAGAAUGCCGGCAGCUGGAAUUCUGGGCUGGAAAAGGAGCAAAUAUUGAAGGACUAUUCUGCGCAACUCCAAAAGUCCUGAAACUCCACGGAAUACCUUAGAAUAAAUAAAGAAAAAUCGUCGCCAAAGAUGAAGGCUAGGGGGCCCACACCCUGCUCACGAGGGUGGGGGGCACGCCCCCCUACCUCGUGGGCCCCCUGGUGGCUCUCCGACGUCCAUCUUCUCCCAUAUGAAGUCUUUCGAUGAGAAAAAAAAUAUAGGAGAACCUUUCGGGACGAGACUUCGCCGCCAUGAGGCGGAACCUUGGUGGAACCAAUCUAGGGCUCCGGCAGAGCUGUUCUGCCGGGGACACUUCCCUCCGGGAGGGGGAAAUCAUCACCAUCGUCAUCACCAACGCUCCUCUCAUCGGGAGAGGGCAAUCUCCAUCAACAUCUUCACCAGCACCAUCUCAUCUCCAAACCCUAGUUCAUCUCUUGUAUCCAAUUCUUGUCUCUAAGUCCGGGAUUGGUGCUAGUAGGUUGCUAGUAGUGUUGAUUACUCCUUGUAGUUGAUGCUAGUUGGUUUAUUUGGUGGAAGAUCAUAUGUUCAGAUCCUUUAUGCACAAUAUUACCCCUCUAAUUAUGAACAUGAAUAUGCUUUGUGAGUAGUUACGUUUGUUCCUGAGGACAAGGGAGAAGUCUCGCUAUUAGUAGUCAUGUGAAUUUGGUAUUCGUUCGAUAUUUUGAUAAGAUGUAUGUUGUCUAACCUCUAGUGGUGUUAUGUGAACGUCGACUACAUAACACUUCACCAUUAUUUGGGCCUAGAGGAAGGCAUUGGGAAGUAAUAAGUAGAUGAUGGGUUGCUAGAGUGAUAGAAGCUUAAACCCUAGUUUAUGUGUUGCUUCGUAAGGGGCUGAUUUGGAUCCAUAUGUUUCAUGCUAUGGUUAGGUCUACCUUAAUACUUUUGUUGUAGUUGCGGAUGCUUGCAAUAGAGGUUAAUCAUAAGUGGGAUGCUUGUCCAAGUAAGGGCAGUACCCAAGCACCGGUCCACCCACAUAUCAAAUUAUCAAAGUACCGAACGUGAAUCAUAUGAGCGUGAUGAAAACUAGCUUGACGAUAUUCCCAUGUGUCCUCGGGAGCACUUUUCCUAUUAUAAGAGUUUGUCCAGGCUUGUCCUUUGCUACAAAAAGGAUUGGGCCACCUUGCUGCACUUUAUUUACUUUUGUUACUUGUUGCUCGUUACAAUUUAUUCUAUCACAAAACUAUCUGUUACCACUUAUUUCAGUACUUGCAGAGAAUACCUUGUUGAAAACCGCUUAUCAUUUCCUUCUGCUCCUCGUUGGGUUCGACACUCUUACUUAUCGAAAGGACUAGGGUAGAUCCCCUAUACUUGUGGGUCAUCAAGACUCUUUUCUGGCGCUGUUGCCGGGGAGUGAAGCGCCUUUGGUAGGUGGAAUUUGGUAAGAAAAAAAAUUAGUGUGCUGUAAUUUUCUGUCACUUGUUACCAUGGAAAGUAAUUGCUUGAGGGGCUUGUUCGGGGUAUCUUCACCCCGUCCAGUUGAGCCAAGAGUUGCUCCUCAACCUACUGAACCUACUAAAUCUAUUGAAAAUGAAACUUCUUUUCAGAUUCCUUCGGGUAUGAUGGAAAAACUGCUAGCUAACACUUUCGCAGGAGAUGGAACAAGGCAUCCUGACGAACAUCUACGCUUUGUGGAUGAUAUUUGUGGACUAUUUAAGCUUGCAGGUAUACCCGAUGAUGCCGUUAAGAGGAAGGAUUUCCCUUUAUUUUUGGAGGGAGACGCAUUGACAUGGUAUAGGCUAUGUGAUGAUAUGAGAUCAUGAAACUAUAAAAGAUUGAAACUGGAAUUUCAUCAAAAGUAUUACCCUAUGCAUCUUGUUCAUCGUGAUCGCAAUUAUAUAUAUAAUUUUUGGCCUCGCGAAGGAGAAAGCAUCGCUCAAGCUUGGGGGAGGCUUAAAUCAAUGUUAUAUUCAUGCCCCAAUCAUGAGCUCUCAAAAUUGACAAUUCUCUAGAAUUUUUAUGCUCGGCUUUCUGAUAAUAAUCGCACCAUGCUCGAUACUUCUUGUGCUGGCUCUUUUAUGAUGAAGUCUAUUGAAUUUGGAUGGAAUUUAUUGGAUAGAAUUAAACGCAACUCUGAAGAUUGGGACCUCGACGAAGGUAAGGAGUCAGGUAUGACACCUAAGUUUGAUUGUGUUAAAUCUUUUAUGGAUACCGAUAUUUUCCGUAAGUUUAGCACUAAAUAUGGACUUGACUCUGAGAUAGUAGCUUCUUUCUAUGAAUCUUUUGCUACUUAUGUUGAUCUCCCCAAGGAGAAGUGGUUUAAAUAUCAUCCUCCCAUAGAAGUAAAAGCAGUUGCACCUAUUAAAGUUGAAGAAAAGAUUGUCACUUACAAUGAUCCUAUUGUUCCUACUUAUGUUGAGAAACCUCCUUUCCCUGUUAGAAUGAAGGAUCAUGCUAAAGCUUCAACUGUUGUUCGUAAAAGCAAUAUUAGGACUUAUACACCCCCUGAGCAAGUCAAAGUAGAACCCAAUAUUGCUAUUGUUAAAGAUCUCUUGUCUGAUAAUAUUGAUGGGCAUGUUAUUCAAUUCACUGGUGAAACUGCUAGAAUUGCUAAACCCUGUGAUAGAGAUAAACAUAGACCUAUGGUAGGCGUGCCUAUUAUUUUUGUUAAAAUAAGAGAUCAUUGUUAUCAUGGCUUAUGUGAUAUGGGUGCUAGUGCUAGUGUUAUACCCAUUGGCUUAUACAAAGAAAUUAUGCAUGAGAUUGCACCUGCUGAGUUAGAAGAAAUUGAUGUUACAAUUAAACUUGCAAAGAGAGAUACUAUAUCUCCAAUGGGAACUGUUAGAGAUGUUGAAGUCUUGUGUGGGAAAACCAAAUAUCCCACUGAUUUUCUUGUUCUUGGUUCUCCACAAGAUAGCUUUUGUCCCAUAAUAUUUGGUAGACCCUUCUUGCAUACUGUUAAUGCUACGAUAGAUUGCAAAAAGAAUGUUGUUACUGUUGGCUUGGAUGAUAUGGUUCGUGAGUUUAAUUUCUCUAAAUUUAGUAAACAACAUCGUGAGGAAGAAUUGCCUAGUAAGGAUUAAAUUAUUGGUCUUGCUUACCUCCUAGUGAUCCUUUAGAACACUAUUUGCUAGACCAUGAAAAUGAUAUGUUCAUAAAUGAAAGAAGGGAAAUAGAUGAAGUAUUCUUUAAACAGGAACCUAUUCUGCAACACAAUUUGCUUGUUGAAAUCCUAGGGGAUCCUCCUCCACCCAAGGGUGAUCCCAUGUUUGAGCUUAAACCAUUGCCUGAUAAUCUUAAAUAUGCUUAUCUUGAUGAAAAGAAAAUAUAUCCUGUUAUUAGUAGCGCUAACCUUCCAGAGCAUGAAGAAGAAAGAUUAUUGAAAACUCUGAAGAAGCAUCGUGCCGCUAUUGGGUAUACUCUGGAUGAUCUUAAGGGCAUCAGUCCCACUCUAUGUCAACAUAAAAUAAAUUUGGAAGCUGAUGCCAAACCAGUUUGUGAUCCUCAACGACGUUUGAAUCCUAAAAUGAAAGAAGUGGUAAGAAAAGAAAUACUCAAGCUUCUGGAGGCAGGUAUAAUUUAUCCCGUUGCUGAUAGUCAGUGGGUAAGUCCUGUCCAUUGUGUCCCUAAGAAGGGAGGUAUUACUGUUGUCCCUAAUGAUAAAGAUGAAUUGAUUCCACAAAGAAUUAUCACAGGUUAUAGGAUGGUAAUUGAUUUCCGCAAAUUAAAUAAGGCUACUAAGAAAGAUCAUUACCCCUUACCUUUUAUUGAUCAAAUGCUAGAAAGAUUAUGCAAACAUACACAUUAUUGCUUUCUAGAUGGUUACUCUGGUUUUUCUCAAAUACUUGUGUGGGCUAAAGAUCAAUCAAAGACUACUUUUACAUGCCCUUUUGGUACUUUUGCUUAUAGAUGUAUGCCUUUUGGUUUAUGUAAUGCACCUGCUACCUUUCAAAGAUGCAUGAUGGCUAUAUUCGCUGACUUUUGUGAGAAAAUUUGUGAGGUUUUCAUGGAUGACUUUUCCGUCUAUGGUUCCUCUUUUGAUGAUUGCUUGAGCAAUCUCGCUCGAGUUUUGCAGAGAUGUGAAGAAACUAAUCUUGUCUUGAAUUGGGAAAAGUGCCACUUUAUGGUUAAUGAAGGUAUUGUCUUGGGGCACAAAGUUUCUGAAAGAGGUAUUGAAGUUGAUAAAUCCAAGGUUGAUGCUAUUGAAAAGAUGCCAUGUCCCAAGGACAUCAAAGGUAUAAGAAGUUUCCUUGGUCACGCCGGAUUUUAUAGGAGGUUCAUCAAGGACUUCUAAAAAAUCUCUCGGCCUCUGACUAAUUUAUUACAAAAAGAUGUACCAUUUGUCUUUGAUGAUGAUUAUGUAGAAGCAUUUGAAAUACUUAAGAAAGCAUCAGUCUCUGCACCUGUUGUUCAGUCACCUGAUUGGAAUUUACCCUUUGAAAUUAUGUGUGAUGCUAGUGAUUAUGCCGUAUGUGCUGUUCUAGGGCAAAGAGUUGAUAAGAAAUUGAAUGUUAUCCAUUAUGCUAGUAAGACUCUAGACAAUGCUCAAAGAAAUUAUGCUACUACCAAAAAGGAACUUUUAGCGGUUGUAUUUGCUUGUGAUAAUUUCAAACCCUAUAUUGUUGAUUCUAGAGUAACUAUUCAUAGAUCAUGCUACUAUUAAAUAUCUUAUGGAAAAGAAAGAUGCAAAACCUAGACUCAUUAGAUGGGUUCUCUUGCUUCAAGAAUUUGAUUUACAUAUCGUUGAUAGAAAAGGAGAUGAGAACCCCGUCGCAGACAACCUGUCUAGGCUAGAGAAUGUUCUUGAUGAACCACUACCUAUUGAUGAUAGCUUUCCUGAUGAGCAAUUAAAUGUCAUAAGUACUUCUCGUAGCACUCCAUGGUAUGCUGAUUAUGCUAAUUAUAUUGUUGCUAAAUUUAUACCGCCUAUCUUGACAUACUAACAAAAGAAAAAGUUUUUCUAUGACGUGCGACAUUACUUUUGGGAUGACCCACAUCUUUAUAAAGAAGGAGUAGAUGGUGUUAUUAGACGUUGUGUACCUGAGCAUGAACAGGAACAGAUCCUACGCAAGUGUCACUCCGAAUCUUAUGGAGGACAUCACGCUGGAGAUAGAACUGCACAUAAGGUAUUGCAAUCCGGGUUUUAUUGGCCUACUCUCUUCAAGGAUGCCCGUAAGUUUGUUUUGUCUUGCGAUGAAUGUCAAAGAAUUGGUAAUAUCAGUAGACGUCAAGAAAUGCCUAUGAAUUAUUCACUUGUUAUUGAGCCAUUUGAUGUUUGGGGCUUUGAUUAUAUGGGACCUUUUCUUGCCUCUAAUGGUUACACACAUAUUCUAGUUGCUGUUGAUUACGUUACUAAGUGGGUAGAAGCUAUUCCAACUAGUAGUGCUGAUCAUAACACUUCUAUUAAAAUGCUUAAGGAAGUUAUUUUUCCGAGGUUUGGAGUCCCUGGAUACUUAAUGAUUGAUGGUGGUUCACACUUUAUUCAUGGUGCUUUCCGUAAGAUGCUUGCUAAAUACAACGUUAAUCAUAGGAUUGCAUCUCCAUAUCACCCGCAGUCUAGUGGUCAGGUAGAAUUGAGCAAUAGAGAGCUCAAAUUAAUUUUGCAAAAGACUGUCAAUAGGUCUAGAAAGAAUUGGUCCAAAAAACUGGAUGAUGCAUUAUGGACUGAUAGAACUGCAUAUAAAAAUCCUAUGUGUAUGUCUCCGUAUAAAAUGGUUUAUGGAAAAGCAUGUCAUUUACCUCUCGAACUAGAACAUAAGGCAUAUUGGGCUAUUAAGGAGCUCAACUAUGAUUUCAAACUUGCCGGUGAGAAGAGGUUAUUUGAUAUUAGCUCACUUGAUGAAUGGAGAACCCAAGCUUAUGAAAAUGCCAAGCUGUUUAAAGAAAAAGUUAAAAGGUGGCAUGACAAAAGGAUACAAAAGCGUGAGUUUAAUGUAGGUGAUUAUGUAUUGCUAUACAACUCUUGUUUAAGACUUUUUGCAGGAAAACUUCUCUCCAAAUGGGAAGGUCCUUAUGUUAUCGAGGAGGUCUAUCGUUCCGGUGCCAUAAAAAUCAACAACUUCGCAUGCACAAAUCCGAAGGUGGUGAACAGACAAAGGAUCAAACACUAUAUCUCAGGUAAUCCUAUAAAUGUUGAAACUAAUAUUAUUGAAACCGUAACCCCGGAGGAAUACAUAAGGGACACUUUCCAGAAUGUUCCAGACUCCGAAAAGGAAUAGGUAUGUGGUACGGUAAGUAAACCGACUCCAAAACAAUUUUUAAGUCAACAUCUCUCCAUUUUGGAAUAUUGAGAAAAAUAGAAAAAUAAGUACCAGUCCGGGGAGGACACGAGGCCUCCACGAGGGUGGAGGGCGCGCCCUACCCCCCUGGGCGCGCCCCCUACCUCGUGAGCACCUCGUGUGCCCUCUGGACUCUGUUUCCUUGCACGAUACAUACUUUGGUCGGUAAAAAUUCAUCAUAUAUACUCCCGAAGGUUUUGACUCUCGUAUCACUCAAAUCUCCCCUGUUCUUGUUUUGAGCUCUUUUUCUAACAGGUCUAGAUCAUCAUGACGACCCCAAGUGCUUCCAAGGACAAGUUCUUCGAGAAGGUUAUCAACCCUUACCUCGCGGAGGUGCUGCGACACCCUCAAACCAUUGAGAUGCGUGAUGGGUUGCUGCACAUCCGCGAUGUUGAGGGACCAAAGGGAACCGGAAGCAUGGAGUUGAGGCUCGAAGCAAUGGAGCAACAAGUUUUCAAGUGCCAGGGGAUGGUGGAGCAUGGAAUCAACGCUACCCACAAGAUGCUCGCGGAGUUCACCAACAACUAUGAGCCGGAUGCCAAGAAGACCGAGGGAGCCAUAUAUAAGCUACAUGAGAAGAUCGAGCACCUCCAAGCCCAAAUCUAUGAUCUGCAAAACCAAAACUGUGAGUAUGAAUAUAGAUUCAAAAGGAUGAGUUUGGCUGCAUAUUUGAGGAUUCCGGAGACUCGAUCAUCCUUCUAUGAUGGUGAGCCUAUGCCAUGGAAGGUGGAUGACAAGCUUGCAUCAUCAUCAACACCUCCACCGCCAACAAGGAAGGAGACAUAAUCACAUGGGUAUGGGCACUCCCCUUGGCAGCUGCCAAGCUUGGGGGAGGUGCCCUGGUAUCGUAUCACCAUCACAACUCCUAUCUUUACCAUUUUCUUAGUUCGAUCCUAUUAGUAGUAUCUUGAUUUAGUAGAAUAAAGUCAUGGCAUGAUCUAGUUUUGAUUUUUGCUUUAUGAUCCUUCUUUGUAAUCGAGUCAGUGAGCUAUAUAAUAAAGAUUAGUGUUGAGUCAAGGGCUUGAGUAUUUUGCCAUGAUCUUGGGUGAUUAAAAGAAAAGGAAUAAAAAGAAUCAAGAGUUCAUAUUGGUCUUAUUAAGAGUAAUGACUUCACAUAGAAAGAGUAUGAUGAUUUAAAGUUGUUGGGAGUUGGCAAAUAUAGCUUUGGUCAUCAUUGCAAUUAAUAGGAAGUAAUAAUGAAAGAGAGGUUUCACAUAUAGAUAUAUUAUCAUUGACAUCUUUUAUGAUUGGGAGCACUCAUUAAAAUAUGACAUGCUAAAGAGUUGAUGUUGGACAAGGAAGACAACAUAAUGAGUUAUGUUCUCUUACAUCUGAGAUAAAGUAUGUUGUCAUGGUUCCUCUACCGUGUCGAGUUUGCCUUUCCCCCUCAUGCUAGCCAAUUCUCAGCACUAAGUAGAAAUACUAAUUGUGCUUCCAAAUACCCUUAAACCAGUUUUGCCAUGAGAGUCCACCAUAUCUACCUAUGGAUUGAGUAAGAUCCUUCAAGUAAGUUGUCAUCGGUGCAAGCAAUAAAAAUUGCUCUCUAAAUAUGCAUGACUUAUUAGUGCGGAGAAAAUAAACUUUGUACGAACUUAUUGUGGACGCAAUAAAAGCGACGGACUGCAUAAUAAAGGUUCACAUACAAGGGGCAAUAUAAAGUGAUGUUCUUUUGCAUUAAGAUUUUGUGCAUCAACCCUAAACGCGCAUGACGACCUCUGCUUCCCUCUGCGAAGGGCCUAUCUUUUAUUAUUAUCCUCUACCUUAUGCAAGAGUCACGGUGAUCUUCACCCUUCCUUUUUCAUUUUAUCCUUUGGGAAGCUCAGCAUGUUGGAAAUAACAUGAUAUAUAUAUCUAAUUGGAUGUGGGGGAGCGUGAUUUGUUAUUGUUGACAUUACCCUUGAGGUAAAAGGUUGUGGGGCAAAACCUAUAAGCCCCUAUCUUUCUCUGUGUCCGAUUAAAACUCUGUAACCACAAGUAUCGCGUGAGUGUUAACAAUUAUGAAGGACUAAGUGAUAGUUGAGUAUGUGGACUUGCUUUUAAGCUCUGACAUAGACUCUUUCCGAUGUUAUGAUAAAUUGCAAUUGUUUUAAUGACUGAGAUUAUAAUUGUCGGUGCCCAAUAAAGUUUCUGAUUCAUAUUUUGGCUUUGUGAAAAGAUCAUCACUAGAACAUAAGUAAUCAUAUGACAAAAUUUAUAUAUGUUGCUUUUAUGAAGUAAUCAUGAUGCCUUCAUGUCCGUAUUUUAUUUUUAUCGACGCCUCUACCUCUAAACAUCAAGGACAUAUUUAUUGUUAUUGGCUUUUCGCUUGAGGACAAGCGAGGUCUAAGCUUGGGGGAGUUGAUACGUCCAUUUUGCAUCAUGCUUUUAUGUCGAUAUUUAUUGCAUUAUGGGUUGUUAUUUCACGUUAUGUCACAAUAUUAUGGCUAUUCUCUCUUAUUUUACAAGGUUUACAUGAAGAGGGAGAAUGCCGGCAGCUGGAAUUCUGGGCUGGAAAAGGAGCAAAUAUUGAAGGACUAUUCUGCGCAACUUCAAAAGUCCUGAAACUCCAUGGAAUACCUUAGAAUAAAUAAAGAAAAAUCGUCGCCAAAGAUGAAGGCCAGGGGGCCCACACCCUGCUCACGAGGGUGGGGGGCGCGCCCCCCCUGGGCGCACCCCCCUACCUCGUGGGCCCCCUGGUGGCUCUCCGACGUCCAUCUUCUCCCAUAUGAAGUCUUUCGAUGAGAAAAAAAAUAUAGGAGAACCUUUCGGGACGAGACUCCGCCGCCAUGAGGCGGAACCUUGGCGGAACCAAUCUAGGGCUUCAGCAGAGCUGCUCUGCCGGGGACACUACCCUCCGGGAGGGGGAAAUCAUCACCAUCGUCAUCACCAACACUCCUCUCAUCGGGAGAGGGCAAUCUCCAUCAACAUCUUCACCAGCACCAUCUCAUCUCCAAACCCUAGUUCAUCGCUUGUAUCCAAUUCUUGUCUCUAAGUCCGGGAUUGGUGCUAGUAGGUUGCUAGUAGUGUUGAUUACUCCUUGUAGUUGAUGCUAGUUGGUUUAUUUGGUGGAAGAUCAUAUGUUCAGAUCCUUUAUGCACAAUAUUACCCCUCUGAUUAUGAACAUGAAUAUGCUUUGUGAGUAGUUACGUUUGUUCCUGAGGACAAGGGAGAAGUCUCGCUAUUAGUAGUCAUGUGAAUUUGGUAUUCGAUUGAUAUUUUGAUAAGAUGUAUGUUGUCUAACCUCUAGUGGUGUUAUGUGAACGUCGACUACAUAACACUUCACCAUUAUUUGGGCCUAGAGGAAGGCAUUGGGAAGUAAUAAGUAGAUGAUGGGUUGCUAGAGUGGCAGAAGCUUAAACCCUAGUUUAUGCGUUGCUUCGUAAGGGGCUGAUUUGGAUCCACAUGUUUCAUGCUAUGGUUAGGUUUACCUUAAUACUUUUGUUGUAGUUGCGGAUGCUUGCAAUAGAGGUUAAUCAUAAGUGGGAUGCUUGUCCAAGUAAGGGCAGUACCCAAGCACCGGUCCACCCACAUAUCAAAUUAUCAAAGUACCGAACGCGAAUCAUAUGAGCGUGAUGAAAACUAGCAUGACGAUAUUCCCAUGUGUCCUCGGGAGCGCUUUUCCUAUUAUAAGAGUUUGUCCAGGCUUGCCCUUUGCUACAAAAAGGAUUGGGCCACCUUGCUUCACUUUAUUUACUUUUGUUACUUGUUGCUCGUUACAAUUUAUUCUAUCACAAAACUAUCUGUUACCACUUAUUUCAGUACUUGCAGAGAAUACCUUGCUAAAAACCGCUUAUCAUUUCCUUCUGCUCCUCAUUGGUCUCAACACUCUUACUUAUAGAAAGUACUAUGAUAGAUCCCCUAUACUUGUGGGUCAUCAGUGCCUUCAACCAGGCGGCCCUCGACGUCCAGGCCAAACUCCGGGCCGAAGCCGAAGCCCUCAAGCGAUGCAACGAGGCAUUCCUGGAUUCGCGGGCAGCCAUCCACGUAAGUUUAUUACUUCUCUUUAUUUUGAUCUUCUUGCUUCCUUCGUGGGGGCGCGCCAGCGCACUCACUGAGUGUAGUCCCCAAGUUUCGGGCCGGCUGCUGAGCAGGCGGUCCGGAACUUUAACUUGCAAGUGUCGAAUGCUAACUUUAUCUGAUAUCCCUCUUGCAGGAUUACCACAAUUGUCGCGCGGCCACCUUCAACUCCGGAGUCCGGGAGCUGGAGAAGCAGACCGCCAACUUGUCCGAGAGCCGGAGUAAGUUUUGACUUCCUUUCUUUGCGGGGGCGCGCUGGCUCACCUGCGGGCUGUAGUCCCCGAGGUUCGGGCCGACUGCUGAGCAGUCGGGCCGAAUCUUCCCAGUGAUUCUGUUUUGUUGGUAACUUUUCCUCUGCGGGGGCGCGAUAGCGCACCUGCGGGCUGUAGUCCCCGAGAUUCGGGCCGACUGCUGAGCAGUCGGGCCGGAUUUCCCUGGCAACUGCAUCCCUUCUUUGUUGUUUGACUGACAUUCUUUCUUCUUCUCUUUUUACAGAGGCCAACGCCGCCUUGCAGCAGUAGCUGGGCGAAGCCAACACCGCCUGCGCGGCAAGGAGGCGGAGUGCAGCAAGCUGGCCGAAGAGCGUGACCGGCUGGUCACUUAGCUCGCGGAGCAGGAGGAGGCUCUCAAGAUGGCUCAGAGGGAGGUGAAGGCGAAGGAGACCGACCUCCUCGCUGAGUUCAAGAUCGAGCGCUCCGCCUGGGCCGACAAGGAGGCGCAGAUGCCUGCCUGCUUCAGCAGCAUCGAAGACUUGGUCGAUGGUGAGCUUCGCUUUCUUUUCUUUCUUGUUUUUGAGUUGCCAGCCCUUAUCUAGGCCGACUGCUAGUUUCUGACCUCUGGCUUUCCUUGCCUUUUGUCCAAACAGACUUCUUCCCAGGCCACUCCGUCGCCGCGAACUAGAUCAUCGAGGCCCAAUGCCAGGAGCGGAGGGCAGAAGGCGUGCAGAUUGCCACUGAUGCCCCCCGGACCCUCAACGAGCAGCUCCUCAGCAUCCAGGCCCACCUUCGGCCUGCCAAUCAGAUGUUCCGCCGCCUUCAGCGCAUCGGGGCCCAAGCGAUCUCUACCCUCUGGACAGGUGUGCAGGCUCGGCGCACCCCCAGUCGGACUGCCGACUGGUUGGAGGUGGCGGCCGGCGGCCUAGAGGACUGGAAGGGCUCUACAGCCCAGGCAGGAGCACGCCGAGCCCUGGAGUUCGUCAAGGCGUGGUACCCUGGGCUAGAUCUAGCCCAGCCGACCACGUUUCGGCUGGAGGCGCAAGAGGAGCUGGUGGCGGUGGAAGCCAAACUUAUCAGCAGGGCGGUGGCGAUCGCCGACUACACUGACACCAGCAUAUUCAUCCUGGAGGUGGUCGAAGAAGGCGCCGAAGCGCCGCUGGAGUGGCUCGGGCUGAACCCGGAGGACAACGAGGAUUCAGCUGAAGUAAUCGACUCCAGCGAUGAAGAGGAGGAGGAGGAGGAAAGCGAGGAUGAUGUGCCGGAGGUUGGAGCGGAUGGUCAGCCUCAACCUGACCGGGCCUCAAGCAAUGAUCCGUGCUCCAAAGCGCCGAUUGCUGCUGGAGGCGGCCAGGCGGAGACCGACCAGCCGCCCGUUCGACCAACGGACGCCGCCGACUCUGCCAUCCAGCCAUCCGCCGCCCCAACUGGUGCCGCCGACUCCACCGACCAGCCGGAGCCUUCUGCUGCACCAACCGGCACCGCCGACUCCACCGUCCAGCCGGAGCCUUCUGCUGCACCAACUGGCACCGCCGACUCCACCGACCAGCCGGAGCUUUCUGCUGCCCCUUAGGAUGUUAUCUUUUUCUUUUUCUGCUUGCUAGUCUGGACAACUUGGUUAAAUUUGCACAAUUCCACCCUCGGGGUGUACAUCAAACUCUGUUGAAUGCUAGCCGAUAGGCCUUUAUCUAUGUAAAUAUUUUAUCGCAAUUCAUGCUUUGUUUUGCCGGCUUCUAACUUUUCUUGCUUUAUGCUCCUUGCUUUUUUCCUUUGCCGCCCUCCCUUGGCUAUCCUCUUUCCAGCCAAGCAGCCGCUCUGCGGACUGCGGCUGGGUUGAGUACUUAGCUUUUUGCGAGAGGGCAAGUACUAAGCCGUUUGGAGUGUCGACAAGAUGAGCAGAAGCUGGCCGGCCGGCUGCUUGGCAGCCGGCCGAACAGGCGGGAUGCCGGCCUCGGCUAUAUGCGUUCUUUCCUUAGCCAUUUUUCAUGUGGGCACUGUUUUGCAACCCCUGCCCGCCAUUCAGUCGCUUUGCAAGCUGCGGCUUCUUACAGGGAAAGUUUUUGGUGCCAACACACUACUUGUCCGACUGCAGGAGGCGUCAUAUAGCAGAAGGCGGCGAGCCUCCGGGCCGACUGAUCGAACCCGAUGCUAGGCGGAAAUAAUAAAACAAUACACACUCAUAGGCAUAACACUUAUCAUAUAGAUAAAAAGAGGGUAGUCCCCGAGUUAUUCUCGGGGGACCCGGAGUCUUCGUACAUAAUACAAAAGGUAGCGUGAUACAUACUGCUUUCAACUGUAAAAUCUUCGGAGGAGGUUCGCGUUCCAUGGCCUCUCCGUCUCCUUGCCUGAGUCAUCUCUUUUACGUGCUCUGGGCUUCUGAGCGUCGAUCAGAUAGUAGGAAUCAUUACCCAGCAUCUUGCUGAUGAUGAAAGGGCCUUCCCAAGGUGCCGAGAGUUUGUGCUGGUCGGCUGUUCGCUGGAUCAGCCAGAGCACAAGGUCUCCCUCUUGGAAGGAUCUUGGCUUCACUUUGCGGUUGUAGUAUCGGCACAGACUCUGCUGGUAGAUGGCGAACCGGCUGAGUGCCAACAGCCGGCCCUCCUCCAGCAGGUCGACAUCGUCUUCUCGUGCCUCCUUGGCAUCCGCCUCGGUCUACAUGGUGACUCGUGGGGAGUCGAACUCUAUGUCCGUCGGGAUGACUGCUUCAGCAUUGUAGACGAGGAAGAAGGGCGUGAAUCCGGUUGACUUGUUCAGAGUCGUGCGCAGGCUCCAGAGGACUGCCGGCAGCUCAUCGAGUCAGCAGCCGGCCAAAUGCGCUAGAGGCUCGACCAGUCGGGGCUUGAUGCCAGACAGAAUGAGGUCAUUUGCUCACUCAACUUGGCCGUUUGACUGUGGAUGGGCAACGGAUGCUAAGUCCAGUCGAAUGCCCUGCGUCGCGCAGAAACGAGCCAAGGCUCCUUUGGCAAAGUUUGUGCCGUUGUCGGUGAUGAUGUUAUGUGUUAUGCCAUACCGAGUGGUGAUGUCGGCAAUGAAAGUCACGGCAGUCGGCCCAUUCAGCUUCUUGAUUGGCUUUGCCUCUAUCCACUUGGUGAACUUGUCCACAGCGACAAGCAGAUGAGUCAUGCCACCUCGGGCCGUCUUGAAUGGCCCCACCAUAUCCAAACCCCAAACAGCAAAGGGCAGGCAAUGGGAAUGAUCUUGAGUGCAGAAGCUGGCAAGUGUGGCUUGGAGCGGAACUUCUGACACCCUUUGCACUUCUGGACCAACUCUUUGGUGUCUUCUAGAACAGUCAGCCAGAAGAAUCCAUGGCGGAAAGCUUUGGCAACAAGUGAUCUUGAAGCCGCGUGGUGACCACAUUCACCUUGGUGAAUAUAUUUGAGGAUUGCUUGACCCUGGUCCGUCUCCAUGCAGCGCUGGUACACACCAGUGACACUGCGCCGAACCAGCUCUUUGUUGACUAUGGUGUAUGUUGCUGCCCGCCAUUGCACUUGUCGGGCUAGGAUCUCGUCAGCCGGCAGCUCUUUGUGCACCAGGAAGUUGAGGAUGGGUUGAUCCCAUGAGGGUGUUCUUAUCUCUCCGACUGCCACGACUACAACUUGUACAAGGGCGGUUGGGACGGGAGGCGGCGGGUUGGAGUCGAUUGCCGCCUGCUGCUUUGAAGAAGUCCCCGGGCCUACUACUACAGCCCCCUGUUGGGGAACGUUGCAGAAAACAAAAAUUUUCCUACUCGUUUCACCAAGAUCAUCUAGGAGUUCAUCUAGCAACGAGUGAUUAGAUGCAUCUACAUACCUUUGUAGAUCGCGCACGGAAGCGUUCAAAAGAACGAUGAUGAUGUAGUCGUACUCGACGUGAUCCAAAUCACCGAUGACCAGCGCCGAACGGACGGCACCUCCGCGUUCAACACACGUACGGGACGGGAGACGUCUCCUCCUUCUUGAUCCAGCAAGGGGGGAGGAGAGGUUAAUGAAGAUCCAGCAGCACGAUGGCGUGGUGGUGGAUGCAGGGCGUCACAGCAGCAGGGCUUCGCCGAGACUACGAGGGAGAGACGUAGCGGGGGGAGAUGGAGGCGCCAGGGGCUGGUGUGAAAUCCCUCCUCUCCCCCCACUAUAUAUAGGGGUGCCAGGGGGCGCCGGUCCUAGUAGAUGAGAUCUACUAGGGGGGGGGGCCAAGGGGAGGUUUCCCUCCCCCCAAGGCACCUAGGGGUGCCUUCCACCACAUGGACUCUUCCAUGGUGGAAACCCUAGGCGCAUGGGCCUAUAGGGGCUGGUGCCCUUGGCCCAUCUAGGCCAAGGCGCACCCCCUACAGCCCAUGUGGCCCCCCGGGACAGGUGGCCCCACCCGGUGGACCCCCGGGACCCUUUCGGUGGUCCCGGUACAAUACCGAUAACCCCGAAACUUGUCCCGAUGCCUGAAAUAGCACUUCCUAUAUAUAAUUCUUUACCUCCGGACCAUUCCGGAACUCCUCGUGACGUCCGGGAUCUCAUCCGGGACUCCGAACAACAUUCGGGUUUCUGCAUAUACAUAUCUUCAUAACCCUAGCGUCACUGAACCUUAAGUGUGUAGACCCUACGGGUUCGGGAGACAAGCAUACAUGACCGAGACGACUCUCCGGUCAAUAACCAACAGCGGGAUCUGGAUACCCAUGUUGGCUCCCACAUGCUCCACGAUGAUCUCAUCGGAUGAACCACGAUGUCGAGGAUUCAAUCAAUCCCGUACGCUAUUCCCUUUGUCUAUCGAUAUGUUACUUGCCCGAGAUUCGAUCGUCGGUAUCCCAAUACCUCGUUCAAUCUCGUUACCGGCAAGUCACUUUACUCGUACCAUAAUGCAUGAUCCUGUGACCAGACACUUGGUCACUCUGAGCUCAUUAUGAUGAUGCAUUACCGAGUGGGCCCAGUGAUACCUCUCCGUCAUACGGAGUGACAAAUCCCAGUCUUGAUCCAUGUCACCCAACAGACACUUUCGGAGAUACCCGUAGUCUACUUUUAUAGUCACCCAAUUACGUUGUGACGUUUGGCAUACCCAAAGCACUCCUACGGUAUCCGGGAGUUACACGAUCUCAUGGUCUAAGGAAAAGAUACUUUGACAUUGGAAAACUCUAGCAAACGAACUAUAUGAUCUUGUGCUAUGUUUAGGAUUGGGUCUUGUCCAUCACAUCAUUCUCCCAAUGAUGUGAUCUCGUUAUCAAUGACAUCCAGUGUCCAUAGUCAGGAAACCAUGACUAUCUAUUGAUCAACGAGCUAGUCAACUAGAGGCUCACUAGGGACAUGUUGGUGUCUGUUAUUCACACAUGUAUUACGAUUUCCGGAUAACACAAUUAUAGCAUGAAUAAAGACAAUUAUCAUGAACAAGGAAAUAUAAUAAUAAUGCUUUUAUUAUUUCCUCUAGGGCAUAUUUCCAACACCCCCGGGCCAGGUUCUGAAGUCCUCGGGCUGGGUGCGAUGGCUGCAGUCCCCGGGCCGCCUGCCGAAGUCCCCGCGCCGGCUUCUGGGGUCCUCAAGUCGGAUCCGACUGCUUCAAGAGGGGCCGACACGAAGAUGGAGUCAAACUCUAGUGAUGGCUUGACAGACGGCUUGAGGAGGCGCUGCAAGGCGACGCCGGCUGGUAUCGCCUCCCGGGUGGAGCCGAUCCGUGCCAAGGCAUCUGCUUGCUCGUUGUCAUUUCUUGGCACAUGGAGGAACUUGCACCCGUCAAAGUAUCCACUGAGUUGCUGCACGAGGAAGCGGUAGCUUGCCAUAUUUGCGUCCUUGGCGUCCCAGUCGCCUGAUGACUGCUGGACCACCAAGUCGGAGUCACCAUAGCACAGGAUCUGGCGAAUGCCGAGUUCCUUGGCAGGCCGGAGCCCGUGUAUGAGUGCCUUGUACUCGGCUACGGUGUUGGAGGCGGCAAAAUGGAUUUGCAGCACAUAUCUGAGCUUGUCACCUUUGGGAGAGGUGAGGCCGAUGCCGCCUCCUAGACCGGUGCACAUUUUUGAACCAUCAAAAUGCAUCCGCCAAUGGGUGGAGUCUGGCGCUGGCGGCAAGUACUAGGUCUUGGCCCAGUCGACGAGGUAGUCGGCCAGUGCUUGUGACUUGAUGGCGGCACGAGGCUGGUAGUAGAUGGUAAAAGGGGCCAGAUCAAUAGCCCACUUGGCCACUCGGCCAGAAGCAUCUCGGCUUCCAAUGAUCUCGGCAAGCAGAGCAGUGCAGACAACAGUAACUGGGUGCUUUUGAAAGUAAUCCGGGCCCGCCAUUGCUUCUUCAUAGUUCGAAGGUUCACCGUUGUCUAACAGCAUGAUUUCCAAGACAGGGUUGCUGUACCACUCUGGUGCGGAAUGUGUCCUUGUGGACCUUCGAAUUUUAGUAGGGUCUUGAUCAGAAGUAUCUUGAUCAUUGUCAUUAACUUCCUCUCUAGUCGGUGCAGGCACCUCAGGAACAUUUUCUUGAGUUGCGCCAUUUUCCGGUUCCAGAGGUAAUACUUCAUCAAGCUCUACUUUCCUCCCACUUACUUCUUUCGAGAGAAACUCUUUCUCCAGAAAGGACCCAUUCUUGGCAACAAAGAUCUUGCCUUCGGAUCUGAGAUAGAAGGUGUACCCAAUAGUUUCUUUUGGGUAUCCUAUGAAGACGCAUUUUUCCGACUUGGGUUCGAGCUUUUCAGGUUGAAGUUUCUUGACAUAAGCAUCGCAUCCCCAAACUUUUAGAAACGACAGCUUAGGUUUCUUCCCAAACCAUAAUUCAUACGGUGUCGUCUCAACGGAUUUCGACGGAGCCCUAUUUAAAGUGAAUGCGGCAGUCUCUAAAGCAUAGCCCCAAAAGGAUAGCGGUAAAUUGGUAAGAGACAUCAUAGAUCGCACCAUAUCUAAUAGAGUGCGAUUACGACGUUCGGACACACCAUUACGCUGAGGUGUUCCAGGCGGCGUGAGUUGUGAAACUAUUCCAUAUUUUCUUAAGUGUGUGCCAAACUCGUGACUCAAGUAUUCCCCUCCACGAUCUGAUCGUAGAAACUUGAUUUUCCUGUCACGUUGAUUUUCAACCUCACUCUGAAAUUCCUUGAACUUUUCAAAGGUUUCAGACUUGUGUUUCAUUAAGUAGAUAUACCCAUACCUACUUAAAUCAUCAGUGAGGGUGAGAACAUAACGAUAGCCACCGCGAGCCUCAACACUCAUUGGACCGCACACAUCAGUAUGUAUGAUUUCCAAUAAGUCGGUUGCUCGCUCCAUUGUUCCUGAGAACGGAGUCUUGGUCAUUUUACCCAUAAGGCAUGGUUCGCAUGUGUCAAAUGAUUCAUAAUCAAGAGACUCUAAAAGUCCAUCAGCAUGGAGCUUCUUCAUGCGUUUGACACCUAUGUGACCAAGGCGGCAGUGCCACAGGUAUGUGGGACUAUCAUUAUCAACCUUACUUCUUUUGGUACUCACAUUAUGAACAUGUGUAGCAUCACGUUCGAGAUUCGUAAAGAAUAAACCAUUCACCAUAGGAGCAUGACCAUAAAACAUAUCUCUCAUAAAAAUGGAACAACCAUUAUUCUCAGAUUUAAAAGAGUAGCCAUCUCGAAUUAAACGAGAUCCCGAUACAAUGUUCAUGCUCAAAGCUGGCACUAAAUAACAAUUAUUAAGGUUUAAAACUAAUCCCGAAGGGAGAUGCAGAGGUAGCGUGCCGACGGCGACCACAUUGACCUUGGAACCAUUCCCGACGUGCAUCGUCACCUCGUCCUUUGCCAGUUUCCGCUUAUUCCGCAGCCCCUGCUUUGAGUUACAAAUGUGAGCAACUGCACCGGUAUCAAAUACCCAAGAGCUACUACGGGAACUAGUAAGGUACACAUCAAUUACAUGUAUAUCACAUAUACCUUUUGUUUUGCCGGCCUUCUUAUCCGCUAAGUACUUAGGGCAGUUCCGCUUCCAGUGACCGCUUCCCUUGCAAUAAAAGCACCCAGUCUCGGGCUUGGGUCCAUUCUUUGGCUUCUUCCCGGCAGCUUGCUUGCCGGGCGCGGCAACCUCCUUGCCGUCCUUCUUGAAGUUCUUUUUACCCUUGCCUUUCUUGAACUUAGUGGUUUUAUUGACCAUCAACACUUGAUGUUCCUUCCUGACUUCUACCUCUGCUGAUUUCAGCAUAGCAAAUACUUCAGGAAUGGUCUUUUCCAUCCCCUGCAUAUUGAAGUUCAUCACAAAGCCCUUGUAGCUUGGUGGAAGCGACUGGAGGAUUCUAUCAAUGACCGCAUCAUCCGGGAGAUUAACUCCCAGCUGAGUCAAGCGGUUAUGCAACCCAGACAUAGUGAGUAUGUGCUCACUGACAGAACUGUUUUCCUCCAUCUUACAGCUGAAGAAUUUGUCGGAGACUUCAUAUCUCUCGACCCGGGCAUGAGCUUGGAAAACCAUUUUCAGCUCUUCGAACAUCUCAUAUGCUCCAUGUCUCUCAAAACGCUUUUGGAGCCCCGGCUCUAGGCUGUAAAGCAUGCCGCACUGAACGAGGGAGUAGUCAUCGGAACGUGCCUGCCAAGCGUUCAUAACAUCUUGUUCUGCAGGGAGAACGGGUGCGUCACCAAGCGGUGCUUGUAGGACAUAAUCUUUCGUGGCAGCUAUGAGGAUGAUCCUCAGGUUCCGGACCCAGUCCGUAUAGUUGCUGCCAUCGUCUUUCAGCUUGAUUUUCUCUAGGAACGCGUUGAAGUUGAGGACUACGUUGGCCAUUUAAUCUACAAGACAUAUUGUAAAAUAUUUAGACUAAGUUCAUGAUAAUUAAGUUCAACUAAUCAAAUUAUUAAUGAACUCCCACUUAGAUUAGACAUCCCUCCAGUCAUCUAAGUAUUACAUGAUCCGAGUUUAACUAGACCGUGUCCGAUCAUCACGUGAGACGGACUAGUCAACGUCGGUGAACAUCUUCAUGUUGAUCGUAUCUUCUAUACGACUCAUGCUCGACCUUUCGGUCUUCUGUGUUCCGAGGCCAUGUCUGUACAUGCUAGGCUCGUCAAGUUAACCUAAGUGUUUGCAUGUGUAAAUCUGUCUUACACCCGUUGUAUGUGAACGUCUGAAUAAAACACCCGAUCAUCACGUGGUGUUUUGAAACAGCGAACUGUCGCAACGGUGCACAGUUAGGGGGAACACUUCUUGAAUUUAUUGUGAGGGAUCAUCUUAUUUACUACCGUCGUUCUAAGUAAACAAGAUGCAAAACAUGAUAAACAUCACAUGCAAUCAAAUAAUAAACGUGACAUGAUAUGGCCAAUAUCACAUAGCUCCUUUGAUCUCCAUCUUGGGGCUCCAUGAUCAUCUUGUCACCGGCUUGACACCAUGAUCUCCAUCAUCGUGUCUCCAUGAAGUUGCUCGCCAACUAUUACUUCUACUAUGGCUAACGCGUUUAGCAAUAAAGUAAAGUAAUUUACAUGGCAUUUCUCGAUGACACGCAGGUCAUAAAAAGAAUAAAGACAACUCCUAUGGCUCCUGCCGGUUGUCAUACUCAUCGACAUGCAAGUCGUGAAUCCUAUUACAAUAGCAUGAACAUCUCAUACAUCACAUAUAGAUCAUUCAUCAUUCAUCACAACUUUGGCCAUAUCAUAUCACAAACCACUUGCUGCAAAAACAAGUUAGACGUCCUCUAAUUGUUGUUGCAAGUUUUACGUGGCUGAAUUAGGGUUCUAGCAAGAACAUUUUCUUACCUACGUUAAAGCCACAACGUGAUUUGUCAACUUCUAUUUACCCUUCAUAAGGACCCUGUUCAUCGAUUCCGCUCCAACUAAAGUGAGAGAGACAGACACCCGCCAGCCACCUUAUGCAACUAGUGCAUGUUAGUCGGUGGAACCGGUCUCACGUAAGCGUACGUGUAAGGUUGGUCCGGGCUGCUUCAUCCCACAAUACCGCUGAAGCAAGAAAGGACUAGUAACGGCAAGAAAGUUGACAAAUCUACGCCCACAACAAAUUGUGUUCUACUCGCACAAGAAGAACUACGCAUAGACCUAGCUCAUGAUGCCACUAUUGGGGAACGUUGCAGAAAACAAAAAAUUUCCUACUCGUUUCACCAAGAUCAUCUAGGAGUUCAUCUAGCAACGAGUGAUUAGAUGCAUCUACAUACCUUUGUAGAUUGCGCACGGAAGCGUUCAAAAGAACGGUGAUGAUGUAGUCGUACUCGACGUGAUCCAAAUCACCGAUGACCAGCGCCGAACGGACGGCACCUCCGCGUUCAACACACGUACGGGACGGGAGACGUCUCCUCCUUCUUGAUCCAGCAAGGGGGGAGGAGAGGUUGAUGAAGAUCCAGCAGCACGACGGCGUGGUGGUGGAUGCAGGGCGUCACAGCAGCAGGGCUUCGCCGAGACUACGAGGGAGAGACGUAACGGGGGGAGAUGGAGGCGCCAGGGGCUGGUGUGAAAUCCCUCCUCUCCCCCCCACUAUAUAUAGGGGUGCCAGGGGGGGCGCCGGCCCUAGUAGAUGAGAUCUACUAGGGGGGGGCGGCGGCCAAGGGGAGGUUUCCCUCCCCCCAAGGCACCUAGGGGUGCCUUCCACCACAUGGACUCUUCCAUGGUGGAAACCCUAGGCGCAUGGACCUAUAGGGGCUGGUGCCCUUGGCCCAUCUAGGCCAAGGCGCACCCCCUAUAGCCCAUGUGGCCCCCCGGGACAGGUGGCCCCACCCGGUGGACCCCCGGGACCCUUUCGGUGGUCCCGGUACAAUACCGAUAACCCCGAAACUUGUCCCGAUGCCCGAAAUAGCACUUCCUAUAUAUAAUUCUUUACCUCCGGACCAUUCCGGAACUCCUCGUGACGUCCGGGAUCUCAUCCGGGACUUCGAACAACAUUCGGGUUUCUGCAUAUACAUAUCUUCAUAACCCUAGCGUCACCGAACCUUAAGUGUGUAGACCCUACGGGUUCGGGAGACAAGCAGACAUGACCGAGACGACUCUCCGGUCAAUAACCAACAGCGGGAUCUGGAUACCCAUGUUGGCUCCCACAUGCUCCACGAUGAUCUCAUCGGAUGAACCACGAUGUCGAGGAUUCAAUCAAUCCCGUACGCUAUUCCCUUUGUCUAUCGAUAUGUUACUUGCCCGAGAUUCGAUCGUCGGUAUCCCAAUACCUCGUUCAAUCUCGUUAUCGGCAAGUCACUUUACUCGUACCGUAAUGCAUGAUCCCGUGACCAGACACUUGGUCACUCUGAGCUCAUUAUGAUGAUGCAUUACCGAGUGGGCCCAGUGAUACCUCUCCGUCAUACGGAGUGACAAAUCCCAGUCUUGAUCCAUGUCACCCAACAGACACUUUCGGAGAUACCCGUAGUCUACCUUUAUAGUCACCCAGUUACGUUGUGACGUUUGGCAUACCCAAAGCACUCCUACGGUAUCCGGGAGUUACACGAUCUCAUGGUCUAAGGAAAAGAUACUUUGACAUUGCAAAACUCUAGCAAACGAACUAUACGAUCUUGUGCUAUGUUUAGGAUUGGGUCUUGUCCAUCACAUCAUUCUCCUAAUGAUGUGAUCUCGUUAUCAAUGACAUCCAGUGUCCAUAGUCAGGAAAUCAUGACUAUCUGUUGAUCAACGAGCCAGUCAACUAGAGGCUCACUAGGGACAUGUUGGUGUCUAUUAUUCACACAUGUAUUACGAUUUCCGGAUAACACAAUUAUAGCAUGAAUAAAGACAAUUAUCAUGAACAAGGAAAUAUAAUAAUAAUGCUUUUAUUAUUGCCUCUAGGGCAUAUUUCCAACAGUCUCCCACUUGCACUAGAGUCAAUAAUCUAGUUACAUUGUGAUGAAUCGAACACCCAUGGAAUUCUGGUGUUGAUCAUGUUUUGCUCUAGGGAGAGGUUUAGUCAACGGAUCUGCUACAUUCAGGUCCGUAUGUACUUUACAAAUCUCUAUGUCUCCAUCUUGAACAUUUUCACGAAUGGAGUUGAAGCGACGCUUGAUGUGCCUUGUCUUCUUGUGAAACCUGGGCUCCUUGGCAAGUGCAAUAGCUCCAGUGUUGUCACAGAAGAGCUUGAUCGGCCCCGACGCAUUGGGUAUGACUCCUAGGUCGGUGAUGAACUCCUUCACCCAUAUUGCUUCAUGUGCUGCCUCCGAGGCUGCCAUGUACUCCGCUUCACAUGUAGAUCCCGCCACGACGCUUUGCUUGCAACUGCACCAGCUUACUGCCCCACCAUUCAAAAUAUACACGUAUCCGGUUUGUGACUUAGAGUCAUCCAGAUCUGUGUCGAAGCUAGCAUCGACGUAACCCUUUACGACGAGCUUUUCGUCACCUCCAUAAACGAGAAACAUUUCCUUAGUCCUUUUCAGGUACUUCAGGAUAUUCUUGACCGCUGUCCAGUGUUCCUUGCCGGGAUUACUUUGGUACCUUCCUACCAAACUUACGGCAAGGUUUACAUCAGGUCUGGUACACAGCAUGGCAUACAUAAUAGAACCUAUGGCUGAGGCAUAGGGGAUGACACUCAUCUCUUCUAUCUCUGCUGCCGUGGUCGGACAUUGAGCUGAGCUCAAUUUCACACCUUGCAAAACAGGCAAGAACCCUUUCUUGGACUGAUCCAUUUUGAACUUCUUCAAAAUCUUAUCAAGAUAUGUGCUUUGUGAAAGACCUAUGAGGCGUCUUGAUCUAUCUCUAUAGAUUUUGAUGCCUAAUAUAUAAGCAGCUUCUCCAAGGUCCUUCAUUGAAAAACUUUUAUUCAAGUAGGCCUUGAUGCUGUCCAAGAGUUCUAUAUCAUUUCCCAUCAAAAGUAUGUCAUCUACAUAUAAUAUGAGAAAUGCUACAGAGCUCCCACUCACUUUCUUGUAAACGCAGGCUUCUCCAUAAGUCUGUGUAAACCCAAACGCUUUGAUCAUCUCAUCAAAGCGAAUGUUCCAACUCCAAGAUGCUUGCACCAGCCCAUAAAUCGAGCGUUGGAGCUUGCACACUUUGUCAGCAUUCUUAGGAUUGACAAAACCUUCCGGCUGCAUCAUAUACAAUUCUUCCUUAAGGAAACCAUUAAGGAAUGCCGUUUUGACGUCCAUUUGCCAAAUUUCAUAAUCAUAAAAUGCGGCAAUUGCUAACAUGAUUCGGACGGACUUCAGCUUCGCUACCGGUGAGAAAGUCUCAUCGUAGUCAACCCCUUGAACUUGUCGAUAACCCUUAGCGACAAGCCGAGCUUUAUAGAUGGUCACAUUACCAUCCGCGUCUGUCUUCUUCUUAAAGAUCCAUUUAUUUUCUAUGGCUCGCCGUUCUACGGGCAAGUCAGUCAAAGUCCAUACUUCGUUUUCAUACAUGGAUCCUAUCUCGGAUUUCAUGGCUUCUAGCCAUUUGUCGGAAUCUGGUCCCGCCAUCGCUUCUUCAUAGUUCGAAGGUUCACCGUUUCUAACAACAUGAUUUCCAAGACAGGGUUGCCGUACCACUCUGGUGCGGAACGUGUCCUUGUGGACCUUCGAAUUUCAGUAGGAGCUUGAUCAGAAGUAUCUUGAUCAUUAUCAUUAACUUCCUCUCUAGUCGGUGCAGGCACCUCAGGAACAUUUUCUUGAGUUGCGCCAUUUUCCGGUUCAAGAGGUAAUACUUCAUCAAGUUCUACUUUCCUCCCACUUACUUCUUUCGAGAGAAACUCUUUCUCCAGAAAGGACCCAUUCUUGGCAACAAAGAUCUUGCCUUCGGAUCUGUGGUAGAAGGUGUACCCAACAGUUUUUUUUGGGUAUCCUAUGAAGACGCAUUUUUCCGAUUUGGGUUCGAGCUUUUCAGGUUGAAGUUUCUUGACAUAAGCAUCGCAUCCCCAAACUUUUAGAAACGACAGCUUAGGUUUCUUCCCAAACCAUAAUUCAUACGGUGUCGUCUUAACGGAUUUCGAUGGAGCCCUAUUUAAAGUGAAUGCGGCAGUCUCUAAAGCAUAGCCCCAGAAGGAAAGCGGUAAAUCGGUAAGAGACAUCAUAGAUCGCACCAUAUCUAACAGAGUGCGAUUACGACGUUCGGACACACCAUUACGCUGAGGUGUUCCAGGCGGCGUGAGUUGUGAAACUAUUCCACAUUUUCUUAAGUGUGCCCCAAACUCGUGACUCAAGUAUUCUCCUCCACGAUCUGAUCGUAGAAACUUGAUUUUCCUGUCACGUUGAUUUUCAACCUCACUCUGAAAUUCCUUGAACUUUUCAAAGGUUUCAGACUUGUGUUUCAUUAAGUAGAUAUACCCAUACCUACUUAAAUCAUCAGUGAGGGUGAGAACAUAACGAUAGCCACCGCGAGCCUCAACACUCAUUGGACCGCACACAUCAGUAUGUAUGAUUUCCAAUAAGUUGGUUGCUCGCUCCAUUGUUCCUGAGAACGGAGUCUUGGUCAUUUUACCCAUAAGGCAUGGUUCGCAUGUGUCAAAUGAUUCAUAAUCAAGAGACUCUAAAAGUCCAUCAGCAUGGAGCUUCUUCAUGCGUUUGACACCUAUGUGACCAAGGCGGCAGUGCCACAGGUAUGUGGGACUAUCAUUAUUAACCUUACUUCUUUUGGUACUCACAUUAUGAAUAUGUGUAGCAUCACGUUCGAGAUUCAUAAGGAAUAAACCAUUCACCAUAGGAGCAUGACCAUAAAACAUAUCUCUCAUAAAAAUGGAACAACCAUUAUUCUCAGAUUUAAAAGAGUAGCCAUCUCGAAUUAAACGAGAUCCCGAUACAAUGUUCAUGCUCAAAGCUGGCACUAAAUAACAAUUAUUAAGGUUUAAAACUAAUCCCGAAGGGAGAUGCAGAGGUAGCGUGCCGACGGCGAUCACAUUGACCUUGGAACCAUUCCCGACGCGCAUCGUCACCUCGUCCUUUGCCAGUUUCCGCUUAUUCCGCAGCCCCUGCUUUGAGUUACAAAUGUGAGCAACUGCACCGGUAUCAAAUACCCAGGAGCUACUACGGGCACUAGUAAGGUACACAUGUAUAUCACAUAUACCUUUUGUUUUGCCGGCCUUCUUAUCCGCUAAGUACUUAGGGCAGUUCCGCUUCCAGUGACCGCUUCCCUUGCAAUAAAAGCACUCAGUCUCGGGCUUGGGUCCAUUCUUUGGCUUCUUCCCAGCAGCUUGCUUGCCGGGCGCGGCAACCUCCUUGCCGUCCUUCUUGAAGUUCUUUUUACCCUUGCCUUUCUUGAACUUAGUGGUUUUAUUGACCAUCAACACUUGAUGUUCCUUUCUGACUUCUACCUCUGCUGAUUUCAGCAUAGCAAAUACUUCAGGAAUGGUCUUUUCCAUCCCCUGCAUAUUGAAGUUCAUCACAAAGCUCUUGUAGCUUGGUGGAAGCGACUGGAGGAUUCUGUCAAUGACCGCAUCAUCCGGGAGAUUAACUCCCAGCUGAGUCAAGCGGUUAUGCAACCCAGACAUAGUGAGUAUGUGCUCACUGACAGAACUGUUUUCCUCCAUCUUACAGCUAAAGAAUUUGUCGGAGACUUCAUAUCUCUCGACCCGGGCAUGAGCUUGGAAAACCAUUUCAGCUCUUCGAACAUCUCAUAUGCUCCAUGUCUCUCAAAACGCUUUUGGAGCCCCGGCUCUAGGCUGUAAAGCAUGCCGCACUGAACGAGGGAGUAGUCAUCGAAACGUGCCUGCCAAGUGUUCAUAACGUCUUGUUCCGCAGGGAGAACGGGUGCGUCACCAAGCGGUGCUUGUAGGACAUAAUCUUUCUUGGCAGCUAUGAGGAUGAUCCUCAGGUUCCGGACCCAGUCCGUAUAGUUGCUGCCAUCGUCUUUCAGCUUAGUUUUCUCUAGGAACGCGUUGAAGUUGAGGACUACGUUGGCCAUUUGAUCUACAAGACAUAUUGCAAAGAUUUUAGACUAAGUUCAUGAUAAUUAAGUUCAACUAAUCAAAUUAUUAGUGAACUCCACUUAGAUUAGACAUCCCUCUGGUCAUCUAAGUAUUACAUGAUCCGAGUUAAACUAGACCGUGUCCGAUCAUCACGUGAGACGGACUAGUCAACAUCGGUGAACAUCUUCAUGUUGAUCGUAUCUUCUAUACGACUCAUGCUCGACCUUUCGGUCUUCUGUGUUCCGAGGCCAUGUCUGUACAUGCUAGGCUCGUCAAGUCAACCUAAGUGUUUGCAUGUGUAAAUCUGUCUUACACCCGUUGUAUGUGAACGUCUGAAUAAAACACCCGAUCAUCACGUGAUGUUUUGAAACAGCGAACUGUCGCAACGGUGCACAGUUAGGGGGAACACUUCUUGAAAUUAGUAUGAGGGAUCACCUUAUUUACUACCGUCGUUCUAAGUAAACAAGAUGCAAAACAUGAUAAACAUCACAUGCAAUCAAAUAAUAAACGUGACAUGAUAUGGCCAAUAUCACACAGCUCCUUUGAUCUCCAUCUUGGGGCUCCAUGAUCAUCUUGUCACCGGCUUGACACCAUGAUCUCCAUCAUCAUGAUCUCCAUCAUCAUGUCUCCAUGAAGUUGCUCGCCAACCAUUACUUCUACUACUAUGGCUAACGCGUUUAGCAAUAAAGUAAAGUAAUUUACAUGGCGUUUCUUGAUGACACGCAGGUCAUAUAAAAGAAUAAAGACAACUCCUAUGGCUCCUGCCGGUUGUCAUACUCAUCGACAUGCAAGGCGUGAAUCCUAUUACAAUAGCAUGAACAUCUCAUACAUCACAUAUAGAUCAUUCAUCAUUCAUCACAACUUUGGCCAUAUCAUAUCACAAACCACUUGCUGCAAAAACAAGUUAGACGUCCUCUAAUUGUUGUUGCAUGUUUUACGUGGCUGAAUUAGGGUUCUAGCAAGAACGUUUUCUUACCUACGUUAAAGCCACAACGUGAUUUGUCAACUUCUAUUUACCCUUCAUAAGGACCCUGUUCAUCGAUUCCGCUCCAACUAAAGUAGGAGAGACAGACACCCGCCAGCCACCUUAUGCAACUAGUGCAUGUUAGUCGGUGGAACCGGUCUCACGUAAGCGUACGUGUAAGGUUGGUCCGGGCCGCUUCAUCCCACAAUACCGCUGAAGCAAGAAAGGACUAGUAACGGCAAGAAAGUUGACAAAUCUACGCCCACAACAAAUUGUGUUCUACUCGCGCAAGAAGAACUACGCAUAGACCUAGCUCAUGAUGCCACUGUUGGAGAACGUUGCAGAAAACAAAAAAUUUCCUACUCGUUUCACCAAGAUCAUCUAGGAGUUCAUCUAGCAACGAGUGAUUAGAUGCAUCUACAUACCUUUGUAGAUCGCGAGCGGAAGCGUUCAAAAGAACGGUGAUGAUGUAGUCGUACUCGACGUGAUCCAAAUCACCGAUGACCAGCGCCGAACGGACGGCACCUCCGCGUUCAACACACGUACGGAACAGCCACGUCUCCUCCUUGAUCCAGCAAGGGAGGGAGGAGAGGUUGAGGGAGAUGGCACCAGCAGCAGCACGACGGCGUGGUGUUGAUGGAGCUGCAGUACUCCGGCAGAGCUUCGCUAAGCACUAUGGAGGUGGAGGAGGUGUUGGGGAGGGAGAAGGAGGCAACCAAAGGCCAAGGCGUUCAGGUAUGAAGUCCCUCCUCUCCCCCCACUAUAUAUAGGAGGGCCAAGGGGGGGUGGCCGGCCCUAGGAGAUCCAAUCUCCUAGGGGGUGCGGCGGCCAAGGGGGGUUUUCCCUCCCCCCAAGGCACCUAGGAGGUGCCUUACCCUCCUAGGACUCUUGCCCCCUUAAACCCUAGGCGCAUGGGCCCAUGUGGGGCUGGUGCCCUUGGCCCAUUAGGCCAAGGCGCACCCCCUUACAGCCCAUGUGGCCCCCCGGGACAGGUGGACCCACCCGGUGGACCCCCGGGACCCUUCCGGUGGUCCCGGUACAAUACCGAUGACCCCGAAACUUGUCCCGAUGCCCGAAACAGGACUUCCCAUAUAUAAAUCUUUAUCUCCGGACCAUUCCGGAACUCCUCGUGACGUCCGGGAUCUCAUCCGGGACUCCGAACAACAUUCGGGUUACUGCAUAUACAUAUCCCUACAACCCUAGCGUAAGCGAACCUUAAGUGUGUAGACCCUACGGGUUCGGGAGACAAGCAGACAUGACCGAGACGACUCUCCGGUCAAUAACCAACAGCGGGAUCUGGAUACCCAUGUUGGCUCCCACAUGCUCCACGAUGAUCUCAUCGGAUGAACCACGAUGUCGAGGAUUCUAUCAACCCCGUACGCUAUUCCCUUUGUCCAUCGAUAUGUUACUUGCCCGAGAUUCGAUCGUCGGUAUCCCAAUACCUCGUUCAAUCUCGUUACCGGCAAGUCACUUUACUCGUACCGUAAUGCAUGAUCCCGUGACCAGACACUUGGUCACUCUGAGCUCAUUAUGAUGAUGCAUUACCGAGUGGGCCCAGUGAUACCUCUCCGUCAUACGGAGUGACAAAUCCCAGUCUUGAUCCAUGUCACCCAACAAACACUUUCGGAGAUACCCGUAGUCUACCUUUAUAGUCACCCAGUUACGUUGUGACGUUUGGCAUACCCAAAGCACUCCUACGGUAUCCGGGAGUUACACGAUCUCAUGGUCUAAGGAAAAGAUACUUUGACAUUGGAAAACUCUAGCAAACGAACUAUACGAUCUUGUGCUAUGUUUAGGAUUGGGUCUUGUCCAUCACAUCAUUCUCCCAAUGAUGUGAUCUCGUUAUCAAUGACAUCCAGUGUCCAUAGUCAGGAAACCAUGACUAUCUGUUGAUCAACGAGCUAGUCAACUAGAGGCUCACUAGGGACAUGUUGGUGUUUGUUAUUCACACAUGUAUUACGAUUUCCGGAUAACACAAUUAUAGCAUGAAUAAAGACAAUUAUCAUGAACAAGGAAAUAUAAUAAUAAUGCUUUUAUUAUUGCCUCUAGGGCAUAUUUCCAACACCCCCGGGCCAGGUUCUGAAGUCCUCGGGCUGGGUGCGAUGGCUGCAGUCCCCGGGCCGCCUGCCGAAGUCCCCGCGCCGGCUUCUGGGGUCCUCAAGUCGGAUCCGACUGCUUCAAGAGGGGCCGACACGAAGAUGGAGUCAAACUCUAGUGAUGGCUUGACAGACGGCUUGAGGAGGCGCUGCAAGGCGACGCCGGCUGGUAUCGCCUCCCGGGUGGAGCCGAUCCGUGCCAAGGCAUCUGCUUGCUCGUUGUCAUUUCUUGGCACAUGGAGGAACUUGCACCCGUCAAAGUAUCCACUGAGUUGCUGCACGAGGAAGCGGUAGCUUGCCAUAUUUGCGUCCUUGGCGUCCCAGUCGCCUGAUGACCGCUGGACCACCAAGUCGGAGUCACCAUAGCACAGGAUCUGGCGAAUGCCGAGUUCCUUGGCAGGCCGGAGCCCGUGUAUGAGUGCCUUGUACUCGGCUACGGUGUUGGAGGCGGCAAAAUGGAUUUGCAGCACAUAUCUGAGCUUGUCACCUUUGGGAGAGGUGAGGCCGAUGCCGCCUCCUAGACCGGUGCACAUUUUUGAACCAUCAAAAUGCAUCCGCCAAUGGGUGGAGUCUGGCGCUGGCGGCAAGUACUAGGUCUUGGCCCAGUCGACGAGGAAGUCGGCCAGUGCUUGUGACUUGAUGGCGGCACGAGGCUGGUAGUAGAUGGUAAAAGGGGCCAGAUCAAUAGCCCACUUGGACACUCGGCCAGAAGCAUCUCGGCUUCCAAUGAUCUCGGCAAGCAGAGCAGUGCAGACAACAGUAACUGGGUGCUUUUGAAAGUAAGGCUUCAGCUUCUUGGCGGCGAAAUGCACACCAUAGCACAUCUUCUGAUAGUGUGGGUAGUUUUGCUUGGAAGCAGACAAUACUUCACUUAAGUAAUAUACCGGCCUCUGGAUCGGCAAUGCUCUGCCCUCCUCCUUGCGUUCUACCACUAUGACUGUGCUGACCACUCGACUGGUGGCGGCAAUGUAGAGGAGCAUGUACUCUUUCUCAGUUGGAGCCGCCAAGAUAGGCGGGGUGGUCAACAUAUUCUUGAGUUGGAGAAAAGCUUCGUCCGCCUUAUCCUUCCACUCGAAAAAAGUGGUCUUCUUCAUGAGCUGGUAUAGGGGAAGAGCCUUCUCGCCCAGCCGACUGAUGAAACGGCUUAUUGAUGGCAGGCAGCUGGUGAAUUUCUGCACGUCCAGCAGUCGGGUGGGCACCUCCAUCUUCUCAAUGGCCUUGAUCUUCACAGGGUUGCACUCUAUGCCGCGCUCUGAGACCAGAAAACCGAGAAGCAGUCCGACUGGUACUCCAAAGAUGCAUUUCUCUGGGUUGAGCUUGAUCUGGAAACGACGCAGGUUCUCAAAAGUUUCCUUGAGGUCUUCCAGCAGCGUGCCACGCUUCUCCGUCUUCACCACCACAUCAUCCACAUAGACAUGGGCAUUUCUGCCGAGUUGCUUGAGGAGACACUUCUGCAUGCAACGCUAAAACGUGGCGCCGGCAUUUCGCAAGCCGAACAUCAUGGUCAGGUAGCAGAAGGCUCCAAAUGGCGUGAUGAAGGCGGUCUUUAGCUUAUCGGCCGGGUUCAGCUUUAUCUGAUGGUACCCUAAGUACGCAUCCAAAAAACUCAACAGCUCGCAUCCGGCUAUGGAGUCUAUCACUUGGUCGAUUCUCGGCAGGGCAAAGGGAUCUUUGGGGCAAGCUUUGUUGAGGCUGGUAUAAUCAAUACAUAUGCGCCACUGCUUAUUUUUCUUCAGCACAAGAACUGGGUUGGCCAGCCAUUCUAGAAAGAAUACUUUCAUGAUGAAACCGGCUGCCAGAAGUCGGGCUAUCUCUUCUCCGACAACUCUUCUCUCCACUUCUGACAGGCGGCACAAGGGCUGCCUAACCAGCUUGGCGCCAGGUCAGACAUGUAACUUGUGCUCGGCGAAAUCCGUCGGAACACCCGGCAUGUCUUUGGGAGACCAUGCAAAGAUGUCCCGAUUCUCAUGGAGGAAAUCGACAAGCUCGCUUUCCUAUUUGUUGUCCAGGUUGGCACCUAUGACAGCGUGCCUCUCUGGGUACUCCGGGUCCAGGGGUAUCUUCUUCGUUUCCUUUGCCGGCUUGAACGAGCCCUCAACCUCCGACUCCUUGGGGAUGGGUGACAUUUCUGGCUUCUUCCCUGCCAUCGCCACCACCCGGUCAAGGAGCCGCUUCUCAGCUGCAACCACGAGGGACUCGGCCAGCCGGCUGCUGUCCGCGGCACAGGCGGUCGACUUCUUGUAGUCUCCGACUAUAGUCAGGAUCCCCUUGGUGCUCGACAUCUUCAUCUUGAGGUAAGCAUAGUGAGGGACCGCCAUGAACUUGGCCAGGGCAGGCCGGCCAAGCAGCGCAUGGUAGGGGAUUUCAAGGUCCACCACUUCAAACCAAACUGGCUCAUGGCAGAAAUGAUUCUUGUCUCUGAAGAGAACAUCAAUUUGGGUCUUACCGAUUGGUGAUUAGGAAAGGCCAGGGACCAUGCCAUGGAAUAUAGUCCGACUAGGGAGGAGCUGCUUCUGCUUGAUUCCCAACUUCUCCAUCGUGUCACAGUACAGGAUAUUGAUGCUGCUGCCGCCAUCUAUCAGGACUCUGGAGAAACGAGCUGCCCGCCUCUCCAUUGCAAAGGUUGCAUCUAGGACCAAGGCGUAGGAACCAGGGGAAGGCAUCACUUCCGGGUGGUCGGCCCUGCUCCAACUGAUGGGCUUCUCAGACCAAUGCAUGAAUUCUGGAGUAUUUGAGGCCACUGCCUGUACUUCUUGCUGCUGCUGCUGUCUGCUACGUCUGUCAUCGGCCACGCUGGUGAACACAACAUAAGCUCCAUGCUCCACUGGAUACUCAUCUUGUGUGGUGCCGACUGGCCGGGCCGCCGGCUGCUGGGGCUGAGGAGGCGGCGGGCCUGCAGGCGGAGGAGGCAGGAGUUGAUCCAAGUAGAGAAAGUAUGUUAGCUUAUGCCUCUCCCUCAAAUAGAAUUGCAAUAGUGAUUACCGGUCUAGUAACGUAGUCAAUAGCUUAGGGAAAAUUUCACAACUCCUACCACCACUUUUCCACACUUGCUAUAUUUAAUUUAUUGCAUCUUUAUCUAAACAGCCCCUACUCUUUAUUUACGUGCUCUUAUUAUCUUGCAAACCUAUCCAACAACACCUUCAAAGUACUUCUAGUUUCAUACUUGUUCUAGGUAAAGCGAACGUCAAGGGUGCGUAGAGUCGUAUCAGUGGCCGAUAGGACUUGAGAGAGUAUUUGUUCUACCUUUAGCUCCUCGUUGGGUUCGACACUCUUAAUUAUCGAAAGAGGCUACAACUAUCCCGUAUACUUGCGGGUUAUCAAGACCUUUUUCUGGCGCCGUUGCCGAGGAGUCGUAGUGUGGGGUGAAUAUUCUCGUGUGUGCUUGUUUGCUUUAUCACUAAGUAAUUUUUAUUUGCUGUUCUAAGUUGUUCUCUAUCUUUAGUUAUGGAUAUGGAACACGAAAUACCAAAAAAUAGAUGUACUUGCUACUCAGGGAGAUGGGGAACCUCCUAAAACCCUUGAUGCUUGUUAUGGUCGAGAUAUUAUGUACUACUUUAAUAAUCCUGAGAAAACCCCAUUCAAUUAUGUUAUGGGAGACACGUUGGAUCAACGUGAAUACUUUAUGGAUUAUCGCUUGACACAAAAAGGGAAACUAUUAUGGGAUCAAAUUCAAAUGUUGAAGUGGUAUGCUUGAGAUAUGAUAUUAUUUGUUGCUCUAGGAUGAAGGCUCCACACCUUCCCUUUUCAUGCAAAUUUAAUGAUAAUGAAACCUUAUCUUCUUAUGCUGAUGGUAUAUAUGAUUACUAUGAUGUUGAACAAAUAGAAGAAUUUGUUGCUUUUAAGGCUGCUUAUGAAAUUGAAUCUUUGUUUGAAAAGUAUGAAGCUUUUGAUGAUGAUGGUGUUUAUAGGCCUGAAAAUCUUGCUAUACUUAGAUAUUGCUAUGAAAAUUAUGAAUACAAUUACAAUAUUAAUGCAUUUAUUGAGAAAGUCUCUGCUGUCCAAGAAGAGACUAAUAUUUUGCAGGAAGCUAUGGAAGAAGAAAUUGACGAAACCGUGAGCUCAUUAGAUGAAAAAAGAUGACGAGGAGAGCGAAGAACAAAAGGAGGAAGAGCGGAUUGAUCACCCGUGCCCACCCUCUAAUGAGAGUAACUCUUCAACUCAUGCAUUGUUUAAUUCCCCUUCGUGCUUACCGAAGGAUGAUUGCUAUGAUGAUUGCUAUGAUCCCAUUGAUUCUCUUGAAAUACCCUUUUUUGAUGAUGCCUGCUAUGCUUGUGGCCAAGAUGCCAAUAUUAAUUAUGCUUAUGGAGAUGAACUUGCUAUAGUUCCUUAUGUUAAACAUGAAAUUGUUGCUAUUGCACCCAUGCAUGAUAGUCAUAUUAUCUUUUUGAAUUCUCCAAACUACACUAUAUCAGAGAAGUUUGUGCUUAUUAAGGAUUAUAUUGAUGGGUUGCCUUUUACUACUACACAUGAUGAUUUUGAUAGAUAUAAUAUGCAUGUGCUUGCUGCUCCUACUUGCAAUUAUUACGAGAGAGGAACCACAUCUCCGCCUCUUUAUGUUUCCAACACGAUAGAAUUGCAAGAAACUACUUAUACUAUGCGUUGGCCUUUACUAUGUGUGCAGGAAUUGUUCUUUUAUGACAUGACGAUGCAUAUGAAGAGAGUUAGACUUCGUUGUUACUUGAUAUAUGUUACUUUUUGCUCACUACUAAAUUACAAAUCAUUGUUAAUUAAAAUUGGCUUUGAUAUACCUUGGGAUCCGGGUUGAUUCAUUACUUGAGCACUAUAUGCCUAGCUUAAUGGCUUUAAAGAAAGCGCUGCCAGGGAGACAACCCGGAAGUUUUAGAGAGUCAUUUAUUUCUAUUGAGUGCUUUUAUAUAGUUUAAAAACGAAAAAAAUAAAGAGGGGAACCUAAAACUUUUCAAAAAGGAAAGUGAAAGUGAGAAAGACAAGCAUUGUUGAAGUGGGAGCUAGCCUUGAACUUUGUUCAUGCUCACGGAAACUUUGUGAAUCUUGAUUACAGAAAAUUUUCAUAAAAAAUAAUUAUCCCCUUGUAUAAUUCCAUUUUAUUAUAAAAAUAAUAUGCCAAGGUUUGCCUUUAGGAUGUUUGCAAUGCUUGUUGGUUUGUACGGUGCAGGACAGAAACUUUGGUCAUAGUGCGUGAUUUUACAUUUUUAACUGGAACGUCAGUUGGUUCUGAUUCCUUUUGCACUGUCUUUAUAUACAACUUUUUUAUUUUUAAUAAUUUUGGUAGAAUUUUUGGGGUACCAUAAGUAUGGUGGAUGUUCAGAUUGCUACAGACUGUUCUGUUUUUGACAGAUUCUGUUUUUGAUGCAUAGUUUGCUUGUUUUGAUGAAUCUAUCAAUUUAUAUCAGUGGAUUAAGCCAUGAAAAAGUUAUAUUACAGUAGACACAAUGCAAAAACAAAAUAUGAAUUGGUUUGCAACAGUACUUAGAGUAGUGAUUUGCUUUAUUAUACUAACGGUUCUUACCGAGUUUUCUGUUGAAGUUUUGUGUGGAUGAAGUGUCUAAACGAGGAGGUCUCGAUAUGAGGAAAAGGAAGAGAGGCAAGAGCUCAAGCUUGGGGAUGCCCGAGGCACCUCAAGUAAAUAUUCAAGGAGACUCAAGUGUCUAAGCUUGGGGAUGCCCCGGAAGGCAUCCCCUCUUUCUUCAACAAAUAUUGGUAUGUUUUCGUAUUCGUUUCGUUUAUGCAUUAUGUGCAAGUCUUGGAGCGUCUUUUGCAUUUAGUUUUCAUUUUUAUUUUAUGCACCAUGCUGGUAUGAGAUAGUCCUUGGUUGAUUUAUAUAAUGCUCAUCGCACCUCACUUAUAUCUUUUGAGUAUGGCUUUAUAGAAUGCUUCAUGUGCUUCACUUAUAUCAUUUGAAGUUGGAUUGCCUGUUUCUCUUUACAUAGAAAACCGCCAUUUGUAGAAUGCUCUUUUGCUUCACUUAUAUUUGUUAGAGCAUGGGAAUAUAUUUUGUAGAAAGAAUUAAACUCUCUUGUUUCACUUAUAUCUUUUUAGAGAGAUGACAUGAAUUGGUCAUUCACAUGGUUAGUCAUAAAAUCCUACAUAAACUUGUAGAUCGCUGAAUAUGAUAUGUGUGAUUCCUUGCAAUAGUUUUGCGAUAUAAAGAUGGUGAUAUUAGAGUCAUGCUAGUGGGUGGUUGUGGAUUAUAGAGACACUUGUGUUGAGGUUUGCAAGUCCCGUAGCAAGCACAUAUGGUAACCAUUGUGUGACAAAUUUGAAGCAUGGGGUGUUUCUUUGAUUGUCUUCCUUAUGAGUGGCGGUCGGGGACGAACGAUGGUCUUUUCCUACCAAUCUAUCCCCCUAGGGGCAUGCCUAGUAGUACUUUGCUUCGAGGGCUAAUAAACUUUUGCAAUAAGUAUAUGUGUUCUUUAUGACUAAUGUGAGUCCAUGGAUUAUACGCACUUUUACCUUUCCAUCAUUGCUAGCCUGUUCGGUACCAUGCAUUGCCCUUUCUCACCUUGAGAGUUGGUGCAAACUUCGCCGGUGCAUCCAAACCCCGUGAUAUGAUACGCUCUAUCACACAUAAACCUCCUUAUAUCUUCCUCAAAACAGCCACCAUACCUACCUAUUAUGGCAUUUCCAUAGCCAUUCCGAGAUAUAUUGCCAUGCAACUUUCCACCAUUCCAUUCAUCAUCAUCAUGACAUACAUUACUUUUGUCAUAUUGCCAUUGCAUGAUUAUGUAGUUGACAUCAUAUUUGUGGCAAAGCCACCAUGCAUAAUUUUUCAUAUAUGUCACUCUUGAUUCAUUGCAUCAUCCCGGCACACUGCCGGAGGCAUUCAUAUAGAGUCAUAUCUUGUUCUAGUUUCGAGUUGUAAUUCAUAUGUUGUAAUCAAUAAAAGUGUGAUGAUCAUCAUUAUUAGAGCAUUGUCCCCAAAAAGAAAAUAAAAGAAGAAAGGCCAAAGAAAAUAAAUAAAAAGGAAAUAAAGAAAAUAAAUAAAAAGGAGCAAUGUUACUAUCUCUUUUUCCACACUUGUGCUUCAAAGUAGCACCAUGUUCUUCAUGUAGUGAGUAUCAUAUCUUGUGCUUCAAAGUAGCACCAUGUUUUUCAUAUAGUGAGUCUCAUAGGUUGUCAUUUUCAUAUACUAGUGGGAAUUUUUCAUUAUAGAACUUGGCUUAUAUAUUCCUACGAUGGGCUUUCUCAAAUGCCCUAGGUCUUCGUGAGCAAGCAAGUUGGAUGCACACCCACUAGUUUUCUUUUGUUGAGCAUUCAUUUAUAGCUCUAGUGCAUCCGUUGCAUGGCAAUCCCUACUCCUCAUGUUGACAUCAAUUUAUGGGCAUCUCCAUAGCCCGUUGAUUAGCCGCGUCGAUGUGAGACUUCCUCCUUUUUUUGUCUUCUCCACAUAACCUCCAUCAUUAUAUUCUAUUCCACCUAUAGUGCUAUAUCCAUGGCUUGCGCUCAUGUAUUGCGUGAGGGUUGACAAAGUUGAAGCACGUUAAAAAGUAUGAACCAAUUGCUCGGCUUGUCAUCGGGGUUGUGCAUGAUGGGGGCAUUUUAUGUGACGAAAAUGAAGCAUGGCCGAACUAUAUGAUUUUGUAGGGAUAAGCUUUCUUUGGCCUUGUUGUUUUGAAAAGACAUGAUUGCUUUAUUGGUACGCUCGAAGUAUUACUGCUUUUAUGUCAAAUGAUAAGACUAUUGCUUUGAAUCACUCGUGUCUUAAUAUUUAUGCCAUGACUAGUCAUAUGAUCAAGAUUAUGCUAGGUAGCAUUCCACAUCAAAAAUUAUCUUUUUUAUCAUUUACCUACUCGAGGACGAGCAGGAAUUAAGCUUGGGGAUGCUAAUACGUCUCCAUCGUAUCUAUAAUUUUUUAUUGUUCCAUGCCAAUAUUCUACAACUUUCAUAUUCUUUUGGCAACUUUUAUACUAUUUUUUGGGACUAACAUAUUGAUCCAGUGCCCAGUGCCAGUUCCUGUCUGUUGCAUGUUUUAUGUUUCGCAGAAACCCAAUAUCAAACGGAGUCCAAACGGGAUAAAAAUGGACGGAGAAUUAUUUUGAAAUAUUUGUGAUUUUUUGGAGGAAGAAUCAACGCGAAAUGGUGCCCGAGGGCCAUGAGAGUGGCCCACGCCACCACUCUAGGUGGGCGCGCCCCCCACUCUCGUGGGCCACCCGUAAGGCGGUUGAUGCCCUUCUUUGGCCGCAAGAAAGCUAUUUUUUGUAAAACGAUCUGGGCAAAGGUUUCAAUCCAAUCGGAGUUACGGAUCUCCAAAUAUAAAGGAAACGGUGCCAGGGCAGAAUUCCAGAACGCAGAAACAAAGAGAUAGAUCCAAUCUCAGAGGGGCUCUCGCCCCUCCCAAGCCAUGGGAGCCAAGGACCAGAGGGGAAACCCUUCUCCCAUCUAGGGAAUAGGUCAAGGAAGAAGAAGAAGGGGGGGGGCUCUCUCCCCCUUGCUUCCGGUGGCGCCGGAGCGCUGCUGGGGGCCAUCAUCAUCACCGCGAUCUUCACCAACACCUCCGCCAUCUUCAACAACAUCUCCAUCACCUUCCCCCAUCUAUAUUCAGCGGUCCACUCUCCCGCAACCCGUUGUACCCUCUACUUGAACAUGGUGCUUUAUGCUUCAUAUUAUUUUCCAAUGAUGUGUUGCCAUCCUAUGAUGUCUGAGUAGAUUUUUGUUGUCCUAUCGAUGAUUGAUGAAUUGCUAUGAUUUGUUUGAGUUGCAUGUUUUAUUAUUGGUGCUGUCCUAUUGUGUCCACCGUGUCGCGCAAGCGUGAGGGAUUCCCGUUGUAGGGUUUGCAAUAUGUUUAUGAUUUGCUUAUGGUGGGUGGCGUGAGUGACAGAAGCACAGACCCGAGUAAGUAGGUUGUUUGCGUAUGGGAUAAAGGGGACUUGAUACUUUAAUUCUAUGGUUGGGUUUUACCUUAAUGAAUCUUUAGUAUUUGCGGAUGCUUGCUAGAGUUCCAAUCAUAAGUGCAUAUGAUCCAAGUAGAGAAAGUAUGUUAGCUUAUUCCUCUCCCUCAAAUAGAAUUGCAUUAGUGAUUACUGGCCUAGUAACAUAGUCAAUUGCUUAGGGACAAUUUCACAACUCCUACCACCACUUUUCCACACUCGCUAUAUUUACUUUAUUGCAUCUUUAUCUAAACAUCCCCUACUCUUUAUUUGCGUGCUCUUUAUUAUCUUGCAAACCUAUCCAACAACACCUAUAAAGUACUUCUAGUUUCAUACUUGUUCUAGGUAAAGCGAACGUCAAGCGUGCGUAGAGUCGUAUCAGUGGCCGAUAGGACUUGAGAGAGUAUUUGUUCUACCUUUAGCUCCUCGUUGGGUUCGACACUCUUACUUAUCGAAAGAGGCUACAACUAUCCCGUAUACUUGCGGGUUAUCAGGAGUCCAUCUCCCUUGGCUAUCCUAGUGAGCCAAUGGCACUUCCCUGUGGUGUGGUUGGACGGCUUCGCGCCACUAUGGAACUUGCAGGGUGCAUCUAGGGUCUACUCAUAAGAGAAAGCGGGCAACCAAUUGGCUUUCCGCCCUUCUGACGCUUGGGUGCUGGCUGCCCUCCGGGUCCUGGUCCUCGACUGUCGCCACCUGCCGGCUGGGUGGCCUUCCGCUUAUUGUCGCUUGGAUGCUGUCGCCGACUAGUAUCACCAGCCGGAGUCCGAGGAGCCUGAGGUGCCACCUUGCCGGACGCAUCAAUUAGGAUUUCCGCCUUCAUGAAGGAGUCGGCCGUGGCGUGCUUGUCGGUGAUGAUUAGCAGUUCAUGGAGUGUCGCAGGCUUGUCACAAAGAAGUCGGUGCUUGAGGAGGGUGCCUUCUCGGCACCCGGCGGUGAAGUACUCGAUGGCCUGCACCUCGUGCACGCCUUCGCAGGAGUUGCGCAGCUCGACCCAGUGCGUGAUAUAGUCGCGAGUCGAUUUGCUGGGCCCUUGGAUGCACAAGGAUAGCUGUCGGGGCUUGGGAGGCCGCUUGUACGUGCUGGUGAAGUUGCGGAUGAAGGCUUCAGUGAAAUCAACCCAGCUGUUGAUGCUGCGGGGCUUCAUGCUAUUAAGCCACGUCUGAGCUGUGCCUUGAAGCAUGAGCGGGACGUACUUCACAGCAACGCGCUUGUUGCCGUUCACUAUGCUGAUGGCCGUGGAGUAGUCGACCAGCCAGUCCUCCGGCUUCAUGGAGCCGGUGUACUUGGGCGUAUCUCGCGGGAGGGUGAACCCUUUGGGGAAGGGCUCGUCUAGGAUUCGUGGGUCGAAACAAGGCGGGCCCAAUGCGUAUUCUUCUUCUAGCGCUAGAGAUCGGUUGAGGUGGUCGAUCCGAUGGCGGGCGUCAUUCUCUCCGACUCCCUCUCAGCGACCAAGGCGGUCUCCGAGUGUUGGGUGUGUGACAGGUGGCGGAGUGGGAUGCCUCGCUCCACGAGGCGGAGGAGGAGGCGGGUCGCCUUGCCGCUCCACCGCUCGGGGGUGUCCAUCUUCGUCACGCUCGAUGGAGAGGCGAGUCCGGCUACGGCUGGCAGCCGGCUCAUUGCCUCUUCUUCCACGGGAGCCACCAGUCAGCGUCCGGGAUGUCGCGCCAUGGUCCUGGCGAGGGGGCGGUUCAUCGUUCCGUUGGGCGGGCACUCCAGCGUGGCAGCCGGCUUUGUGCUGCGCGACAGCCGCGUCUAGGAGCUGCUGGACCCGCUCCGUCAUGUGGUGACGCUCGUCGCCCUCAUAAUUGUCCAGCUCAUCCAUCACCGCCUGGACGGCCCGGAUGUUCUCUGCAAGCGUGGCGUAGAUGGGGUGUUCCGCCCCGAACAUGCUGGCGAUGGUCGCGCCACGCUGCUGGAUCGAGCCGAUGCAGCUGGGCCCCUCAGGAACCAGCAUGCCACCAACGGCCCGGUCCAUCUCGUGCCGGUAGGCGUUCGAGAGGCGUCGCACGCUGGCCAGUCGGCCAGCGCUCUCGAGGAGCUGGACGUGGCGUGCUUCCAGCGUCUCAGCGUCUGCGUCUUCUGGGAUCGGCGCCGACAGGUCUCGCAGCGCCACAUCGAGUGGGUCUCGAGCACCUCUGUUCGAGCGCUCGCCGCUGUCAAUGACAAGCACCUCCGUAACGGUGCUCCCACCGUUGUGCUCACGAGGAGGCGGCUCGUCGUAAACCACCAUGUUGGUGGGGAACGCGUCAAGCGACGCCGUGUCGGAGUCGACGAUCAUCGGGUCAGUGGAGCCAACAGACUCCAGGUCCAUAGCAGGCUCGCUGGUGACAUGAAGCUGGUCGAGGAGGCUGACGAGACGGCUUUCUGGGCAGCCAGUGCUCACGUCGGAGGCCGGCUCAUCGGAGAGGUGAAUCUCGCCAACAAGGUCGGCGAGGCAGCUCGCCGUGCAGGCGAUCUCCACGCCGUGCAGCGUGUCGAGGCUGACUUCGUCGGGUGUGUUGGGCUGGCUUCACUCGCCAGGAAGGAACAAAGUUCCCUUCCAGAGCAGGUCUCCGGGAGACGGUGCACCUAGCCCCAAGGUGGGCACCAAAUGUCGGGGGUUGGGUGCGACAUAUGCCAAAGGAUGGAUUAUCAUGGUGGAAGCGAGUAGAACAUCGCCGGUGCCUGGAAGCGGGCUAAGGCGUAGACAUGCACGCCGACGCACUUUACCCAGGUUCGGGGCUCUCCUAGGAUAUAACACCCCUAGUCCUGCUCUGCGGGGUCUCCGCGUGAUCACUAAAGCACAAGUGAUACAAUGGUGCUCCUUGAGAUGUGUGCUAGAGGCAGAAGAAGGCAAGGCUAGCUCUCUUCAUGCUCUAGGGGAGUGGCUAGUUCUUAUGGAGUGGGAACCCUUUGCAUGGGUGCCCUGGAGGGUUUAUAUAGGCCUACCCCCCCGGGGUACAACGGUAAUCUGGCCGAGUGCUAGACCCGGCUGUCAGUGUCUCUGGUCUCCGGCUUCUCCACCGACUACUGGGGCCUGCCGCCUGGUGGGCCCCGCCGACUGGUCCGGUACGGAGCCGACAGGCCGCUCCCGCCGCUGGUGGGUCUGGUUGGUGGUUGUUUACUGUAGCCGUGCUGCUAAUGAUGCAAGCUUGGUCAGCUGAGUGUGGCUACAGUCCCGCCGCCUGGCGGGAGAUCACUGUAGCCACACCUUGUCUCAUCAGGUUAAUGACGCGCUGACUUCAAGGGAGGGAACGACCACCUGCUGCAGGCCGGUCUCCCCCAAGUCUGACUGGUCCGACAUCCGCCGUCUUCCGGGCUGUCACUGUCUGAUAGGGCCCGCAGCCCGCAAGCCGUACCGACAGGUCAUCGUGGGGAACAGGGCUCCGCUCGUCUGGAGUGACGUCAAGGGGGGAGUGGCAACAGUGUCGCGCCGUGCGGAGAUCUCCGCCUGUACGGGGCACUGUGGCCACGCCAAGCCCAAGAUUCGGGGGUGAGGUACUUCACUGUAGCCACGCCAUGUCUUGUCCUCUUGAUGGGGGUGCAGACUCUGAGGGUGCCAGUUGGCCGCCUGCACGACGUCGUCCUCUCUAGAGGCCAGCUGACUAGAGCUGGCCGCUCUUGGUGCCGUCUGCUGGUGGUUGGCUGUCCUCCGGUGGCCGGCUGUUGAGCCAGCCGGCCUCCGGAAGGCGGAGCUUUAGUUUGGGGUAUCACGGGGCGAAGCCGGCCCGAAGUUUUGAUAGGUUCAGGGACUCGGGUGAGGCUACCUGUGGCCCAUUACUCCGACAAUAUCACUCGGUAAGGACAUUUCUAACCGAUCUUCUAAUAAUAGCGGAGGAUUCGGCGGAGUAAGCCUUUAGUUUAAGUAUUUUUACUCCACUAAGUUUUCGUCUGACCUAACCGAUUUCUUUAAUUUUUUUCAUUGCAUUUCAUUUUCGGCCACCGAAACACAUUACUUUAUUUCAUUUUGAUACAUUGAAGUACAAAUUCACCAAUUCUUCGCUACAAGAGCAAACCCAAAGACAAACAAAAGCCACAAUGAGACACUCCAAAAGAUAUUCAACUUCCAUAACUGCUCCCACUAGUUGGAUUAAUAUCUUCUCCAUGUCUUCAUUAUUGAUUCUCUCUAUUGGCUUCUUCGAGCUUGCACACUUCUUUUUUCUUCAAUUUUAAAGAAUUCGACGUUGCUUCGCAUCUAAUCUCAUCUCUAGCCUCUAUUCUAGCAACGAGUGCACGGACAUCUAUCAAAUUUCGUGCUAUCAGUAGAUCGAUGUAAUCUUCUUCCCAAUACCAAAAUUUGCAUCCAUCCUACACACAAAUUUGAGCAAACAAUGAGCUACCGAAAUUGCGCAGAAUCCGGUGAACAACCGAAUCAAAAGAAGCACAUACCCAUCUAUUUUUGCAUUUGAAGAAUACCCAUCCGUUCCAACAUGGUAGAAACUACGCGCACCAUCUGUCGCGGACAGUCAUUGCACUUUAUGACCAGCAACGGUGAGCCGACGAGCCACUGGGCCAGCGUCGAGCCUGGGCGACGGCCCGAUGUGUCUUUGCCGGUGAACCGCCGACGGGAGAGAUCCAAGCGACCAAAGGGGGAUUCAAUACCUGCAUGCGGCGCGGAGGCGUUGUCGGGGCUGUGUUGUCCGGUACUCGGCCAAUCCUUGGCAAGGCGCAAUCGCCGGCGACCGGAUGCGCCAAAUCCGACGGCGGCGGCGGCCGCAGAUCUACCGAUUGUGCGCCGGUGAUGGGGCAAGAGAGGCACAGAUUCGGGCGAUCAAGGACCGCGGCGGAGCCUACGGAGCGUCCGUGUGCGGUGGCCGGCGAGGGGGGUCAAAGGGACGGCGUCGGCGUAGAUGCGGCGCAGGAUGGGGUUGUGGAGGCUACAGGGAUCGAGGCUAUAGCGAUGGAGUAAAUAUAAGAAGGUGGGGAUUUGAGGAUAAUUUAUCCUCCACUAACACUGAUUGGGGAUUGGCUAGGUGCCGGUUAGAACAAUAAAAUUAAAUUUGUGCUCCUCUAACCGAUCCAAAGAAUUAGUCCAGGUUAAAGCAGUAAAAUCAAAUUCGUACUCCUCUAACCAGCCCAAGAAAUUGGUGCAGGAUAGAGGAGUAAAAUCAAAUUUGUAUUCGUCUAAUCAGCUAUAGGAUCGGUUAGAAAUGUCGUAAGUACUUUCGCAUGGGCAUCCAGAAUGUGUGAUAUGCUCCCGCCGAAGUUCUUCAACAAAUAUAUUUGUUCUCCCAUGGGAAAAAAAAUGCAUAGCCUUUUUUCUACCCUACCCAAAUGAUAAGCGCCACGAAGUAACACCAUGCUGAUAUUUUUACACUAAAAUUUGGCAUAAAAGAUACCCUAAAAGAAAUUGAAACUUACCAACGAAACAAAUGCCUCUCAACUAAAGUUUUCAUUGUCUUGUAACUAAACUUGUUAUUAAAAACGCCAGGAUGAAAUUGCCUCGUGCCACACGUGUAGCAUUUAUCGGAGUCAUUUUUUUAUAUAGACUGCACCAGAAACAAGAAUCUGCUGUGUAUGUAUGCAUCUAUCGACUCGCUUACUAUUUUUAGGGGCGCAUGACUCCGUGUGAGCAACGACUUGACCACUCAAGAAGAUCCGGUCGACAGUCCGACGUAAAAACGACCCCAACGGCCCAAAAUUCUUUCUUUGCGUCUCGCAUGCCUGCGACGGUGUGCCGUGAAUUCCACUCUGCUUUCGCUCCUGCCUCGUGGUGAAACUGUCGGAGUCGAAGGCUAAACAGACUGAACGAACGACCACGGCCAGAGUCGCCCAUCGGUUUUCGCUUGUGGGGGUCGGGGGCUAAAAUGACGCGCACGUGCAAUUUGGCUGGACCGGAUCGAGUAAUCCAAAAAUUCGGAAGCAGCCUACUGGACUGAAUCUGAACGGGAGACCAGCCACAUGUCACAGUCGAGAGAGUCUUCAGUGCAGUGCAGUCGCAGCACCACUGAAAUUCUUUGCACUUACCGAUACACAUAAUCCCAAUUUCCAACUUUGAAAAUGAGAAGAGAACAUUACCCCAAUUUCUAGCGUACAGUGGUCUAGGAAAUCAUUCUAGAGUUUCCACUGAGCACACUCAAGUGAAGUGUGCACUAAGAAAGUGAGAAUGCAUCUUCACACGGCGGCAGCGCAUAGUUACUCGCUCGCGAAUUUACUCACUUGCGAAUGGAAUAGCUGGGAAGACAACCACCCAAUUUUUGUAGAUCAGUGGUGCUUGCUAAAGGAAGAAAAUACUCUUGACUGACGGACCGCCUGGCAGGACUGACCGGCGGACUGUCUCAUUUUAAACACAACUGUUCCUCCCAGCAAAUUGAUAUCAUAAUGUCUGCAAAACAACAUGAAAGCGUCAAAUUGCAUUAGAAAAUACUGAAGGUCACGAGUUCAAUCAAAACCAUAUGACCAUGUGCGGCCCUGAAUUUUAAUAGGAUAUGUGGGGUUCAUAGCACCCAGAAGAUAACAACUCCUGGUGGAUAGCAGAACGCCACUCGCAUUUUUUGGAGAGAAACAAUCCAAGCUACUCUGUCAAAGCAAGGACCGUGUAACUGUUUUCUAAGGUUUCUUUUCUUGUAGAUUUACACCAGUAGUAGAUGGUGUAAGUUCCCCGCAAAAGGGCAAAAAAACUAAAUGGUGUAAGCAGCCGCCCCGCUUGUUUUAAAUGUUCCAAUGUCGACAAAGGGCCUUCAGAUCUCCAAGUACAGCGUUUCUGGCACCAAUUAGGCAAAGCUGCCUUCAGCAACCCGCUGUAGAAUGCAGCAGCCAGCAGCAGACCCCGCCUUCCAGCUCCACACCCCACACCAACCCACCCACCAUGCCCCGCUCCUCUCCCUAUUUAACCCGUCUUCUGCCUCCAUUCCUCUCCAAGAAGAGCCACAGCUUCUUCUCCAAUUUGAGCUCCUCUUCAGCGCCACUCCGACCUCCAGAAUCCACCACCACUUCCAGAAUUCAUCCAGAAUCACAGAUACGCAUACACCUGCCCGGCUUCAAGCUUCCUUGCUUUAGCACUUCUUUGCAUAUCUCGAUGGAGUGCGAGAACGGGCACGUUGCCGCCAACGGCGAUGGCCUGUGCGUGGCGCAGCCGGCGCGGGCCGACCCGCUCAACUGGGGGAAGGCGGCGGAGGAGCUGUCCGGUAGCCAUUUGGAUGCCGUGAAGCGGAUGGUCGAGGAGUACCGUAAGCCGGCCUGACCAUUGCCAUGGUCGCCGCGGUGGCUGCCGGCAGCGACACCAGGGUGGAGCUCGACGAGUCCGCUCGCGGCCGCGUCAAGGAGAGCAGCGACUGGGUCAUGAACAGCAUGAUGAACGGCACCGACAGCUACGGUGUCACCACAGGCUUCGGCGCCACCUCUCACCGGAGGACCAAGGAGGGCGGCGCUCUCCAGAGGGAGCUCAUUAGGUGCGAAUUAAACCACGAACAAGUUAUAAUACACAUGUUGAUCAUCUCUGUCUGUGAGUUAUGGAAGACUUAUUUUUUUUCGCGUGUUGCUUGUCUGUUCAGAUUCCUUAACGCUGGAGCCUUCGGCAACGGCAGCGACGGCCACGUUCUGCCUGCUGCGGCGACGAGGGCAGCCAUGCUCGUGCGUGUCAACACCCUGCUUCAGGGAUAUUCUGGCAUCCGCUUCGAGAUCCUUGAGACGAUCGCCACGCUCCUCAACGCCAACGUGACACCAUGCCUACCACUUAGAGGCACCAUCACCGCGUCUGGUGACCUGGUCCCGCUUUCCUAUAUUGCGGGACUGGUAACGGGCCGCCCAAACUCCAUGGCCACGGCUCCGGAUGGCACCAAGGUUAACGCGGCGGAGGCAUUUAAGAUUGCCGGCAUCCAGCAUGGCUUCUUCGAGCUGCAGCCCAAGGAAGGCCUUGCUAUGGUGAACGGCACAGCAGUGGGCUCGGGGCUUGCAUCCAUGGUGCUUUUCGAGGCUAACAUCCUUAGCCUUCUUGCCGAGGUCCUUUCGGUUGUCUUCUGUGAGGUCAUGCACGGCAAGCCGGAGUACACCGACCACUUGACCCAUAAGUUGAAGCACCACCCUAGACAGAUUGAGGCUGCCGCCAUCAUGGAGCACAUACUUGAAGGCAGCUCCUACAUGAUGCUUGCUAAGAAGCUCGGCGAGCUCGACCCAUUGAUGAAGCCAAAGCAAGAUAGAUAUGCACUCCGCACCUCACCGCAGUGGCUCGGUCCUCAGAUUGAGGUCAUCCGUGCUGCCACCAAGUCCAUUGAACGAGAGAUCAACUCCGUCAACGACAACCUACUCAUCGACGUCUCUCGCGGCAAGGCUAUCCAUGGUGGAAACUUCCAGGGCACACCAAUCGGUGUGUCUAUGGACAACACCAGGCUUGCCAUUGCUGCAAUUGGCAAGCUCAUGUUUGCCCAAUUCUCGGAGUUGGUGAACGACUUGUACAACAACGGUCUUCCUUCCAACCUCUCUGGUGGGCACAACCCGAGCUUGGACUAUGGCUUCAAGGGUGCCGAGAUUGCCAUGGCCUCGUACUGCUCCGAGCUCCAGUUCUUGGGCAACCCUGUGACCAACCAUGUCCAG